CGAUUCGCUCGAGUCCGAUUCACUUUCAUUUUCACCUUGUGAUGGUGGUGAUGAUGGUGGUGAUGAUGGCAGCUGUGGCUUUUCACCUUCUGCAUCUUCCUCUUCAUUCACCUUUUGUUUCUUCACCGACGGCUCACUGUAUUUCGAUUCGCUUGAUGGCGGUGGCGACUUUGGUGGUUGCAACAUCAUGUCAAAUCGACAAAGAAUCUAAGAUUUGGGUAUGCAGUAUUGCCCCAACCCCAAUAGAGCCUUCAACUAAUACUGGAUAUUAUAAAUAAUAAAAACUUUGAUAUCUUGAUGCAAAUAAAAUAAUUAAAAUACAUUGACAUAUACUUAAAUUACAUUGGUUUCUUCAGUCUAGUAAGCAGAUGAUUAGUGCUUGAUAAUAAUUUUAUAGCAACACCAAACAUAUUCACACUAAUAACUCAAAGUAGAAAGAGAAUUCAUAACCAAAAAGUUAAAAAUAAAUGGAAUUUAACUCCAAAAUAUUACUAAUUUUUUUUUUACUACUUUCUCCAUCUUAUGAUUGCAGGUUGUUUCAAUGUCUUAAUAUAAUCUUCCGAAAUCUAACAAAAGCGUCUUGAACAUAAGAAAAUACGCUCUAUUUAUUGUAAUAUUGACAUACAUUAAUAGCAAAAUUAAUCANNNNNNNNNNNNNNNNNNNNNNNNNNNNNNNNNNNNNNNNNNNNNNNNNNNNNNNNNNNNNNNNNNNNNNNNNNNNNNNNNNNNNNNNNNNNNNNNNNNNNNNNNNNNNNNNNNNNNNNNNNNNNNNNNNNNNNNNNNNNNNNNNNNNNNNNNNNNNNNNNNNNNAGGAAUGAGAUUAUUCGGGAGAAGGUGGGAGUUGCCUCGAUGGAGGAUAAGUUGCGAGAAGUGAGGCUACAUUGGUUCGGACAUGUGAUGAGGAGGGGCCUGAUGCUCCAGUACGGAGGUGUGAGACUCUGGCUAUGGAUGGUUUUAGGUGGGCUAGAGGUAUACCGAAGAAAUAUUGGAGGAAGGUGAUUAGGCAUGAUAUGGAGUAAUUACAGCUUACAGAGGACAUGACCCUUGAUAGGAAGGUGUGGAGGACGCGAAUUAGGGUAGAGGGUUAGGGAGUGGGAGCGCGGUGGUAGUAAUAGGGGAGUGCUCCUUUGGGUCUGGAGUUUCUGGUUCGUAGUAUUGGGGCUGUAGUUUUUGGGAUUAGUGGUGUUGGCUUUUUUGCAUCCCGUGUUAGUUUAUUAUGCACUUAUCUUUUGUGUUUGUUAUACUGUUAGCUUAUUUUGUGUACCAUACUAGUUUGUAUCCGCUUACUUUUUGUAUUUGUUAUACUGUUACUGGUCCUAAGCUGGUGGUCUAUCGGAAACAACCUCUCUACUUAUCUUGAGAUAGUGGUAUGGUCUUCGUACACUCUACCCUCCCCUGAUCCCACUAGGUAUGUUGUUGUUUUUGUUGAUCAUAUCUUUUAGGACUCCUUAAUUAUUAGUUCUCCUAAUAACUCUUACCAUAUUUUAGGACUCUUUAAUUUUAAAUAUUAUAAAAAUAAUUCAAGAAAAAUAGUGAAAAGAUAACUUUGUUUAAAGUAGAGACUUUUAAUGAAGGUCAAAAAGUUCAAUUCACUUUCCUAAGGGUAUUUACACUUUUAAUAUAUUAUUAUAGAUUAUAGAUUAUAGACUAGUUUAAAGUACGUGCUUUGCACGUGGAUCUCACGUCAAAUAACAUAACUAUAUAUAAGAAAAAUAAAAUCAAUUUUUUACAUAUAUUAUUCUCCAUUUUCUUUGAUUUGUCAAUAAUUUAAAGAUAUAUUUUCCUCUGUAAAUCUUCAAAGUGAAAUAUUACCAAUCUAUCAUCAAAAUUUUUACGAAUGCAUGAAAAACAAUACCUAAAUUGAAACUUAAGAGAUGUCACAAAAUAUCCUUAAACUCUAGCUUUUUCUUCAUUCUUCAAUACACAAUAAAAGUGAGACUUCACAUUAUUUCUGUGGUAAUUAAAUAUGUGAUUAUACUUGUUACCAGAAAAGUAAUACGCAGGCAACCUGAGAACGAUAUCCCUCACCUACAACUUUUUCAAACAAAGUUUGUUGCAUCGGUGUAUAUAAUCUUGAUUAAUUGUCACUAAAUACUCAAGUUAUUAUUCGAUUGUCUUUUUAGUUGUUGAGCUUCUAACUUCAGACAUGAAUACUAAUAGCAGUGGGUUAUAAGUGGAUUUCAAGCGCAUAGGCAAACUCUAGCAUUGUGAAUCAAUAUUAUAAUCAUUUAUAUUAAUAAAUCAUAAGAAAAUUUUCUUUUGAAGUUACAUUCAUAAAUUCAAGUUGAUUAAUUUGCUCUAUUCACAAAGAUUUAAACAUUAAAAAUAAAGAUAAUAGGUGGAAUCAGAUUAGAGAACAAAAUGUUACAACUUAGAGACAUGAAAGUUUAUCUAAACAAUAUAUGCAUUUUUUAAUAUCAGAAAAAAAAAGACAAGAUAGAUUCAACACAUCAUUUCUUUAUUGGUUUCAUCAUAAAAUUUGUGACCAUCAGAAAGCAAAAUAAUAUUCAUGAUUAUAAAACCAACAUAAUAAAAAAAGAAAUUUGACCUCUAGAAACCACCAAGUUACUCGACAAUAAAAUCUUGUUAUUCAUGAACAAUAUACCUAAUGUAAUAGAAAAGAAAAUCUUAAACCGACAGAAACCACAAAGCUCCAUGGGAGAUUGAACAACAAAACUUAUUUACAAAUAUAAAAAAAAAAAUUGUUAUUCUUAAUCAAUAAAACCAACGUAAUAGAAAAGAAAAUUGAGAUCUGAAAAUCAAAUUAAAAAUGAUUUUAGAGACUCAACAACAUAAGCUACUUAUAAACAUAAAAAGACGAUUUGUUAUUUAUGAUCAAUAAAAUCAAUGUAAUAGAAAAAGAAAUUCGAAACUUAUAAAUCACAAAAUUACUCAAAAAUGAAAUCUUGUCAUUCAUGAUCAAUAAAUCUAGUGUAUCAAAAAGAAAAUCUCAUAACAUAAGCUAUUUACAAAUAUAUAAGGACAAUACUUAGGGCUGCUUGAUGGUUGGAUCGGUUGGAUAAUUAUGCUUAGCGGUUCGACUUAUUGGUUAUUGGCUUUUAAAUAUACUAAUCCGCUAGCCACCCAAUAAGAUAACGGUUGGUUCGGUAUUUGAUUAGUAAUUAACAGACGGUUAUCGGAUGGUGUAAUGGAUUAAUUUAAGAGACAAUGAAAUAUCGAGUGAUUAUUGAUAGUUCCUCCGUUUCUCACCGACUAAGUUGUUUGUAUACUACGAUUGAUCUAUUUAUAAAUCUUUUAGGCUUCUUAUGGUUAUUUAAUAGGUUAAAACAUAGAAUCAAAUAAGAAUUUUCUUAUAAACCUAAGAUGUACGUAGAAACAUUUUUAAUUACUGGUCGAUAGAAAAAUCAAAACUUUAAUAUUAUUUGAAUUUUUAUGUUUUAUAUAAAACUUUGUGAAGGGCACAUUUGAGUUGUUUCAUUUUUGUUGCGGUCCUUUGUGUUGUCAAGAAUAAUUUAUGUUUUGAUUUAAGAAUUAUUUUUAAGUUUUUGUUACAUUUUAGAGAGCCUGACUGUGCUUUAUGGUUAGAUGUCACAAGAAGUGGCAUGUUAUUUUCUAAAGUAACAACUGAAUAGAACAAUAAAUGGAGUUUUAUACGUUGGAUUGACUAAGAUACUUGAUAUAUCUGUCAUACCCUAUUUUUACCUGAGGUCAAAACGAGCAUGACGUUAUGGAUUCAAAAGAAUAAAUUAAAUACAUAGUCGCCACCUAAUUUUUUAAGGAAAAAUAGGAAACCUAUCUGUUAACAUGUAUAAUUAAUGUUUUUUAGUUUGCGAAGAAAAUCAGUUGAGAUUCCAGGUAAGGGUUCAAGUUAUCUCGAAGGGAAGGGAUUAGGCACCCUUCGAGAUCCUCAACUGUGGUACCCGGCUAUACUAAACUUUUCAAAGAGGGAGGAGAUAUGUAAAAAUAAUGUAAAAGUGUAUAAAAGUGUAUAAAUUACAUGUAAAAGAAUAGUAUUUCUUGUGACAUGUAUGAAAAGAAAUGUAUGUUUUAUGUACUAAGAAGAAAAAAUAUUUUUUAAUAAUAAUACUUUUAUUUGAUCACAUCACGAAGAAAAAUAAAAAUUCAUUUGAAAAGAAAAAGGCUUCAUAAUAGGUGAAUGUAUGAAUUAAUUAAUUAACUUAAUUAUUUUAUGUAAAUAUUAACGGCCUAAGUUUUGCCUAAAAUUGAUGAAAUUAUGUAAAUGAAGAAUAUCUCCGCCCGACACCCAAAAAUAAAGUUUUCACUAUUUGGCCCGAAAAUGCCCCAUUUCGCUCGUUUGUCCACCCAAAUAGCCACAAAAAUUUAAACGGACCAUACUGGGAUGAUCCCCAACCUCCCUGGCAUGCCCCGGUCGAUUUUUGACCUACAGCAUGCCCAAACCCAGAGCCCACCCAUGAAAUCGUGGGCUAUAGCACACCGAUUUGGCCCUAAAAGGACCCGUUCAUGCCACUUCACCCGUUUGUCCACUUAAAUGGCCACGAAAAUUUAAACGGACCACACUGGGACGAUCAUCAACCUCGCUGGCAUGCUUCGGUUGAUUUUCGGCCCACAGCACACUCGAACCUCAGGCCCAUCCCCAAAACUGUGGGCUAUAGCACACCGAUUUGGAUUGAAAAUGCCCCGUUUGCACCGUUUCGCCCGUUUGUCCACCCAGAUGGCCAUGAAAAUUUAAACGGACCAUACUGGGAUGAUCCUUAACCUCCCUGGCACACCCUAGUCGAUUUUUGGCCCACCCACGCCUGGACCUCGGGCCCACUUUCAAAACCGUUGGCUAUAGCACACCAAUUUGACCCGAAAAUUCCUCGUUCACUCUGUUUCGCCCGUUUGUCCACCCAAAUGCCCACAAAAAUUUAAACAGACCAUACUGGGAAGAUCCCUAACCUCCCUGGCACGCCCCGACCGAUUUUCAGCCCACAGCACGUCUGAACCCCGGGCCUACCCCCAAACCUGUGGUCUAUAGCACAUCGAUUUAGCCCGAAAAUGCCUCGUUCACACUGUUUCACCCGUUUGGGCAAUCAAAUGGCCACAAAAAUUUAAACGGACCACACUGGAUGAUCCCCACCCUCCAUGGCACUCCCCAAUUAAUUUUCAGUCAUAGUACGCUGGACCUCGAGCCCACCCAUAAAACCGUAGGCUAUAGCACACCGAUUUGGUUCGAAAAUGCCCAGUUCGUGUCGUUUCGCCCGUUUGCCUAUACUAAUGGAAACGAAAAUUAAAACGGACCAUACUAGGACGAUCCCCAACCUCCCUGAAAUGCCUCGAUUAAUUUUCAGCCCACAGUACGCCCAGACCCCGGGCCCACCCCUAAAACCGUGGUCUAUAGCACACCGAUUUGGUCCGAAAAUGCCCCGUUCGCGUCAUUUCAUCGGUUUGUCUACCAAAAUGGCCACAAAAAUUUAAACGGACCACACUAGGACGAUCCCCAACCUCCUUGGCAUGCCCCAAUCAAUUUUUGACCCACAGCAUGCCCGGACACACCCCAAAACCAUGGGCUAUAACACAUCGAUUUGACCUGAAAAUGCCUCGUUCGUGCGUUUCGCCUGUUUGUCCACCCAAAUAGCUACAAAAAUAUAAACGGACCGCACUGGGAUAAUCCCUAACCUUCCUGGCAUUUCCCGAUAAAUUUCAGCCCAUAACAUGCCUGGCCCCGGGCCCACCACCAAAAUCGUGGGCUACUACAGCACACCGGUUUAGCCCAAAAAUGUCCCGUUCACGCCAUUUUUCUCGUUUGUCCACCCAAAUGGACACGAAAAUUUAAACGGACCACACUAGGAUGAUCCCCAAUAUCUCUGACAUGCCUUAGUCAAUUUUUAUCCCACAACACGCCCGGACCCCGGGCCCACCCUAAAAACGUGGGCUAUAGCAUACUAAUUUGGCUCGAAAAUGCCCUAUUCACGUUGUUUCGCCCAUUUGUCCACCCAAAUGGCCACGAAAAUUUAAACGAAUCAUACUAGGACGAUCCCCAACCUCCUUGGCAUGCCCCAGUAGAUUUUUGGCCCAGAACAUGCCCGAAUCCCGAGCCCACCAACGAAACUGUGGGCUACAGCACACCGAUUUGGCCCUAAAAUGACCCGUUCAUGCCAUUUUGCCCAUUUGUCCACCCAAAUGGCCACGAAAAUUUAAACGGACAACACUGGGAUAAUUCUCAACCUCGCUAGCAAGGCCUGGUUAAUUUUUGACUCAUAGCACACCCGGACCUCGGGUCCACCCCCAAAACCGUGGGCUAUAGCACAACGAUUUGGUUAAAAAAUACCACAUUCACAUCGUUUCCCCCGUGUGUCCACCCAAAUGGCCAAAAAAAUUUGAAUGAACCAUACUGUGAUGAUCAUUAAUCUCCUUGGCACGCUCCGGUGGAUUAUCGACCCACAGCACGCCUGGAACCCGGGCCCACCUCCAAAACCGUGGGCUAUAGCACACCAAUUUGGCCCGAAAAUGCCUCGUUCGCUCUGUUUCGCCCGUUUGUCCACCCAAAUGGCCACAAAAGUUUAAACGAACCACACUGGGAAGAUCCCCAACCUCCCUAGCAUGCCCCGAUUGAUUUUUGGCCCACAACACGCCUGGACCCCGGGCCUACCCCCAAACCAUGGGCUAUAUCACACCAAUUUGGCUCGAAAAUACUUCGUUCUCGCCGUUUCGCCCGUUUGUCCUCCCAAAUGGACAUUAAAAUUUAAAUGAACCAUACUGGGAUGAUCCCCAACCUCCCUAGCACGCUCCGAUCAAUUUUCAACAGACAGCACACCCGAACCCUAGACCCACCCACAAAAUCGUGGGCUAUAACACACCGAUUUGGCCUGAAAAUGCCUUGUUCACUCGUUUCGCCCGUUUGUCCACCCAAAUGGCCACGAAAAUUUAAAUAGACCACACUGAGGUGAUCCUCAACCUCCCUGGCAUUCCUCGAUCAAUUUUGGCCUACAACAUGCCUGGACCCCAGGCCCACCCCUGAAACCAUGGGCUACAGCACACCGAUUUGGCUUGAAAAUGCCCCGUUCACUCUGUUUCUCCCGUUUGUCCACCCAAAUGGCCACGAAAAUUUAAAUGGACCAUACUAGGAUGGUCCCCAACCUCCCUGGCAUGCCCCAUUUGAUUUUCAGCCCAUAGCACACCCGGACCCUGGGCCCACCCCCAAAAACAUGGGCUACAACACACUUAUUUGGCCCAAAAAUACCCCAUUCGCACUGUUUUGCCCAUUUGUCAACCCAAAUGGCCCCAAAAAUUUAUAUGGACCACACUGGGAUGAUCCCCAACCUCCCUAGCAUGUCCCGCUCGAUUUUUGGCCCAUAGUAUGCCCAAACCCCGGGCCCCAGGCCCACCCACAAAACUGUGGACUAUAGUGCACCGAUUUGACCCUAAAAUGACCCGUUCAUGCCAUUUCGCCCAUUUGUCCAGCCAAAUGGCCACGAAAAUUUAAACAGACAACACUGAGAUGAUCCUUAACCUCGCUGGCAUGCCCCAAUUGAUUUUCAGCCCACACCACACCUGGACCCCGGUCCCACUCCUAAAACCAUGGACUAUAGCACACCGAUUCGACUUGAAAUUGCCUCGUUCGUAUCGUUUCGCUCAUUUGUCCACCCAAAUGGCCACGAAAAUUUAAAUGAACCAUACUGGAAUGAUCCUUAACCCCCUUGGCAGGCCCUGGUCGAUUUUUGGCCCACAGCACUCCCGGACCCCGUGCCCACCCCCAAAAUCGUGGGAUAUAGCACACCAAUUUGGCUCGAAAAGGCCUCGUUCAUAUCAUUUCGCCCGUUUGUCCACCCAAAUGGCCACGAAAAUUUAAACAAACCACACUAGAAAGAUCCCCAACCUCCCUGGUAUGCCCUGGUCAAUUUUUGGCCUACAACACGCCUGGACCCUGGGCCCACCCCCAAAAUUAUGGGCUAUAGCACGCCAAUUUGGCCCGAAAAUACCUCUUUCGCUCUUUUUCGCCUGUUUAUCCAACAAAUGGCCACGAAAAUUUAAACAGACUACACUGGGAUGAUCCCCAACCUCACUGACAUGCCUCUAUUGAUUUUUGGCCCACAGCACGCUUGAACUCCAUUUUCACCCCCAAAACCAUGGGCUAUAGCAACCGAUUUGGCCUGAAAAUGCCCCGUUCGCGCCGUUUCACCCGUUUGUCCACUAAAUGGCGACGAAACUUUAAAUGGACUACACUGGGAUGAUCUCCAACCUCCCUGGCAUGUCUACAUCGAUUUUUCACCCACAACAUGCCCGAACCAUAUGCCCACCCCCGAAACCAUGGGUUAUAGUACAUCGGUUUGGCCUAAAAAUGCCCCGUUCGCGUCGUUUUGCCCGUUUAUCCACCCAAAUAGCCACAAAAAUUUAAACGAACCAUACUGGGACAAUCUCCAACCUACUUGGCACACACCGAUUGAUUUUCGAACCACAGCACGCCCGGACCCCAGACCCACCCCCAAAACCAUAGGCUAUAUUGCACACUGAUUUGGCCUGAAAAUGCCCCAUUCGCAUUGUUUUACCCGUUUGUCCACACAAAUGGCAAUGAAAAUUUAAACGGACCUCACUGGGAUGAUCUCCGACCUCCCUGGCAUGCCCCAAUUGAUUUUCGGCCCACAACACACCCGAUCCUCAUGCCCAGCACAGAAACCGUGGGCUAUAGCACACCAAUUUGACCCAAAAAUGCCCCAUUCACGCCGUGCUGCCUAUUUGUCCACCAAAUAGCAACGAAAAUUUAAACGGAUCACACUAGGAUGAUCCCCAACCUCCUUGGCACACUCCAGUUGAUUUUUGGCCCAAAGUACUGUAACACCCCACAUUUUACAUGUGGCCUUAAACGGAGAAAAUCAUUGACAUGCUUAUGGAACUUAGGAAGCUAGCAGGUGAGUCACCUGUGUGCUUAGCUUAAAAAUUUUAUAUACAUGAGGGAGAAGAAUUCAUUCAUAAGUGAACUCACUUGAAGUCUAGACGUUAGUAAAAAGAAAGGGGAACGAAGACAAGGCUUAACGCCGAAACUUUCCAAGUCUUGUGACAAACGAAGCCCAAGUUAGGGAGGCUAUUUAAGCCAAUGGUUUAACAUUUUAGCCUAUCAAAACAGUCCACCAUGGACAGAUUCGGAUUUACUUAAAUUUUUAAGGGCAAUAUGGUCAUUUUCCAUCACCUCAUGGACGAAAAUUGGUCAUUAUAUACAUAUACUUAGCCUUAUAUCCACCAUUUAUCAUCCAAAUCAUUGAAGAAUAAGAAACCCUAGCCUAAGUUCAACUCCAAUUAUCUUGUGAUUCAACCGUAGAAAAUCCAAAUUGAUUCCGUAGUUGUGUUCACCGUCUCAAGGGCUUCGAGAAGCACCCCUUAUUUGUGCCAACAGGACUUCGAAAUCAAAAGGGCCAUUUUUUUUGGUAAGGAUGUAAAUUAUGUUGGUGUUAUUUAUAUGGAUAUGUAUAUAUAUAUAUAUAUGCAUGUGAGCAUAAGAAGUAUGUUAUUUGAUUGUUGUUGAAAGAUGAUUGGAAAUGAUGUUGGAUUAUUCUUGUGCAUGGUUGGAUUAUGUUAAAUUGUGAAGGAAUUUGGGGUGAUGAUGUGGUAUUGAUGAUGUGGUAUUGAGAUGAUGAUUAUAUACAUAUACACACAUAAACCUAUUGUUCAAGUUGGUUUUUGGAAUGUUUUGCAAAUAUUGGUAGUAUGGAAUUAUGGAAGAGAAUUGUGGUGUUGGGUUGCUAAUACUAGAUGCCAAACAUUUCAUUGUAGAUAAGUGAUUUGUAAAGGCGGGAAGUUGUGUUGAAUUGGUAGCUGAAUCUACAACGAGGUAUGUAAAGCAUACUCUAACAAUGUUCUUUGGCAUGAAAACACCAAUGUUCCAUCAAGUAAGAUUCCGAGGUUGUCCAAAAACAUGUAUUGUUCUACGUUACCAACGAAGUUGUUUCCAUCCUAUAAAGUGUCAAAAUGUUCAUUGAUAUACCAAAAGGCUCUUAUUUCAUUGUUGUGAUAUUGAUGAUUCUGAAACAUAUUGUUGAUGUACCAAUGAGUCCUUAUUACAUCGUUAUUGUAUAGAAGGUCUAUUACUUGGUUCCUAUUGAUGUAUCAUUGUUUCAAGGUAUCAAAAAUGUGGUGACGACCGAAAUAACAAUCUCAAAGAUUAAUUGAACUAAGUGAUGAAAGUUCUCUCUUAUCGGGUGGUAUCCCAGGGGCAUAAGCCUAGCAUGGGUCGAUCCCUAUUUCAUGUGUUUAUGGGUGGUAUCCCAGGGGCAUAAGCCUAGCAUGGGUCGAUCCCAGUUGAUAUGUACUGGAGGCAUCCUAAUGGUCACAGUACAGUACAGUAAUGAUUACAAAGACGAUAAGAACGAAGGUAAAGUGAUUGAAUAAAUACAAUGUACAGGUUGUCACAAGUUCUAGUAAGUGUGGUCCACUCCUAUUACGACUUAUUCACUUGUUUCUGAUUUCUAUUGAGCUCCUAUAUCAUAUGUGAUUAUUUACAGCUUUACAUACUCAGUACAUAUUUCGUACUGACGUCCCUCACGGGGGACCUGCAUUUCAUGCUGCAGGCACAGGUACCUCAACUCAUACACCGCACAAGUAGGAGCCAGGUCAUACAGCUAUUGUUGGUGAGCUCCAGUUUGCUUCGGAGCUUUCCGAGUCGGUUCCUUAUGUUUUGUUAUUGUACAUGAGUCACGUGUGGGCGGGGGUUUGUCCCGACCCUAGUUAUGUCAUGUAUAUCCUAGAGGCUUUGUAGACAUAAGGAAGGGUAAAGUCAUGGAAGUUUAUAUAGUAACGUUAUAUUUGUAUAUGUGGUGGCCCCGACGGCCAAGUAUUAUAUAUAUAUAUUUGUGCGUGUUGUGCUGAUACAGGUAAUUAGACCUUUCUAUAUGCAACGAAGUGCUGUCCAAUUUUUUUGGUGACAUGUAAGUGAAAGUACAGGUAUUUGAACGGGUUCUCCCGGGCCUUCUCGGCUUCGGGUGCCAGUCCGGCCCGAUGGGAUUUUGGGGCGUGACAAAAGUGGUAUCAGAGAGGUUCGUCCUAGUGAGUCUACAAAGCCGUGUCUACGUAGGGUCUUGUUUAUCGGUGUGUUGUGCACCACAUCUAUAAACAGGAGGCUAUGGACAUUUAGGAAUUGUUUCUUUUCUUCAUGUCUUAGAUCGUGCGAUAGAGCUUAUAUUGUAUAUGAAGUCAUAGUUGACCACUGAAUCAGUUUGUUUCUCUUAUUAUAGUAAUGAUGCCGGUUACCAGAAGCAAGAAUACCGGUAAGCAAGUAGAUGUGGCUGCCGGAGAGGGGACUAGUAAGUCACCCACUAUACCAGCUAAUCAAAGUGAGGCUCCAGCUGAGCAUGCAUCAGAAACUUCCUCCAGUCCGGAAGAAAUAAGGGGGAGGAGAACUAUAUCCGCAGAGCCACCUAUUAAUGUUGUUGAUCAAGAUCUUAGAAAUGCAGUGCAACUUUUGACUCGUAUAGUUGCUGGGCAAGCUCAAGGGCAAGCCAUUCCUACUGCAGGUCCUAGUGGUAUAGAUAGGGCGGCUAGCCUUCGAACACAGGAUUUUCUUAAGAUGGAUCCUCCCACUUUUACUGGAUCAGAUCUUAACGAGGACCCACAGGACUUUAUCGAUCAAAUUCAAAGGGCCUUGGAUGUUAUGCAUGUAACGGGUAGAGAGACAGUGGAGUUAGCGGCGUAUAGAUUUAAAGGGGAGGCUAUAUAUUGGUAUGAGGACUGGAAACGAUCUAGGGGUAUUGAUGCACCCCCAGCUACUUGGAAGGAGUUCAAAGAGGCAUUUCUUGAUCAUUAUCUUCCAUUCGAGAUUCGUCAGGCCCGUGCAGAUCAGUUUUUAAAUCUUCGUCAGGGGAAUAUGAGCGUGAGGGAGUACAGUCUUCGAUUUAAUUCCUUGUCGAGAUAUGCUCCUAAUGUUGUAGCUACUAUGGUUGACAGAGUUCAUCAAUAUGUGGAUAGGCUAGAUCCAUAUCUGGUUAGAGAUUGUACUAUUGCUGCUUUGAACAAAGAUAUGGACAUAGCGAGAAUCCAAGCUUUUGCACAAAAAAUGGAAGAUCAGAGGCAGAGGAGAAGAACACAGGAAUCAGAAAGAGGAUAUUCCAAGAGGGCCAGAUCUACAGGGCAGUUCAUGGCAUUCGAAAGAGGGUUCAGACCACAGUUUUCUGCUAGACCACCUAGGCCAUUAUCCUCUUAUUCUACAGCUAGUGCCCCACCACAGUUCCAAGGGUUCAGAGGAAAUCAAUUUGGGCACAGAAGUGAGAGUCAGAGUUCGCGGACAGUGGGGUACCAAGGUCAAGGGAAUAUGAGCCAAUCAAGACCUCCUCGAGAGCCAUGCAAUAAAUGUGGAAGGUAUCAUUUGGGCGCAUGUCGGCUGGGGACCAAUGUUUGCUUUUGGUGCGGUAUGUCGGGGCAUAUGAUGAGGGAAUGCCCACGAAGGGACAUAGGGGGUAUGGCACGACCUACGGGGUCAUUUGUUGCAUCAUCAUCAUCGAUGCCUUAUUCAGGAAGGGGUGCACAGCCAAUGGGUCGUGUUAGAGGUGAUAGAGGAGCCACGAGUUCUAGCGGGGCUCAAAAUCGUACGUAUGCUCUAGCAGAUCGACAGAAUUUAGAGGCUUCUCCAGAUGUGGUUACGGGUAUGUUGGCUAUAUUUUCAUUCAAUUUAUAUGCCUUAAUUGAUCCCGGUUCUACAUUAUCUUAUGUUACUCCAUUGGUUGCUGGAAAGUUCGAAAGAAUACCCGAACUGUUAGUUAAGCCAUUUGAAGUGUCCACACCGGUCGGGGAAUCUAUUAUAGCUAGAAGGGUUUAUCGAAACUGCAUAGUAACUGUUUGUGGUCGUGAUACGAUGGCUGAUCUUGUGGAGUUAGAAAUGGUAGAUUUUGAUGUUAUAAUGGGUAUGGACUGGUUGGCGUCUUGUUAUGCCACAAUUGAUUGCUGCACGAAAAAGGUAUAUUUCCAUUUUCCAAAUGAAUCAGUCCUUGAAUGGAAAGGUGAAAUUAGCGUGCCAAGAGGUAGAUUUAUUUCUUAUUUUAAGGCGAGAAGAAUGAUUUCCAAGGGAUAUAUAUAUCAUUUAGUUAGAGUAAGGGAUACAGAAGCGGAGCCACCAACUCUUCACGCUGUUCCGGUGGUAAAUGAAUUUUCUGAUGUAUUUCCUGAAGAUCUUCCAGGUUUGCCUCCUGAACGAGAAGUAGAGUUUGGUAUUGAUGUAAUACCAGGCACCCAACCAAUCUCCAUUCCUCCGUAUAGAAUGGCCCCAGCAGAAUUACGAGAAUUGAAAGAGCAAUUGAAAGAUUUGCUAGAAAAGGGGUUCAUUAGGCCUAGUAUUUCCCCUUGGGGAGCACCAGUGUUAUUUGUACGCAAAAAGGAUGGCUCGCUGAGGAUGUGUAUUGAUUAUCGGCAAUUGAAUAAGGUGACUAUUAAGAAUAAAUAUCCUCUCCCAAGAAUUGAUGAUUUAUUUGAUCAGUUACAGGGCGCCAAGUGCUUUUCUAAGAUUGAUUUGAGGUCAGGUUACCACCAAGUGAGGGUCAAAGAAAAAGAUAUACCCAAAACAGCUUUCCGAACAAGGUAUGGUCAUUAUGAGUUUCUAGUUAUGUCAUUUGGGCUAACAAAUGCACCCGCAGCUUUUAUGGAUUUGAUGAAUAGGGUUUUUAAGCCAUUCCUGGAUGUAUUUGUGAUAGUUUUUAUAGAUGAUAUUCUAGUUUAUUCUAGAUCAGAAGAGGACCAUGCCAAUCACUUACGACAGGCAUUGCAGACUCUUCGUGAUUGUAAGCUUUAUGCAAAGUUCUCUAAAUGUGAGUUUUGGUUAAAGUCGGUGGCAUUUUUGGGUCAUAUUGUAUCUAGUGAAGGGAUAAAGGUUGAUGCUCAAAAGAUAGAGGCUGUGAAGAACUGGCCAAGGCCCACAACGCCUACGGAGAUUCGUAGUUUUCUUGGGUUGGCCGGUUAUUAUAGAAGGUUUGUCAAAGACUUUUCUUCCAUUUCAGCACCCUUAACCAAGCUAACCCAUAAAGCAUCCAAAUUCCAAUGGAAUGAUGCCUGUGAGAAGAGUUUUCAAGAUUUAAAGAACAAGUUGAUUUCUACACCCGUGUUGGUACUACCAGAAGGCACCGAAGGGUAUACAGUGUAUUGUGAUGCUUCCAGAAUUGGUUUAGGAUGUGUAUUGAUGCAGCAUGGUAAGGUAAUAGCAUAUGCUUCUAGACAAUUACGGCCACAUGAGAAAAAUUAUCCUACACACGAUCUUGAGCUGGCAGCGGUUAUUUUUGCUUUAAAGAUAUGGCGCCACUACUUAUAUGGGGUUCACGUUGAUAUAUAUACUGACCAUAAGAGCUUGCAAUAUAUUUUUAAUCAGAAGGAUCUAAAUUUAAGGCAGCGGAGAUGGCUUGAACUAUUAAAGGACUAUGAUGUUGAUAUCUUGUACCAUCCAGGGAAAGCAAAUGUGGUAGCUGAUGCGUUAAGUCGUAAGGCUAUGAUGGCGCCUAUAGAAAGGCAAGGGAUGGUUAAAGAUCUUCACCAGUUAGCUAGUUUGGGAGUUCGCCUUCUUGAAACUCCGAAUAAAGAGCUUAUCGUACAUAAUGCUGCGGAAUCUUCAUUAGUAGCUGAAGUGAAAGAGAAGCAAUAUGCAGAUCCUAUUUUAUUACAUCUUAAGGAGAACGUUCAGAGUGGUGCGACCAAGGCAUUUGAGCUUACGCGAGAAGGAGUACUUCAGUGCCAAAACCGAUUGUGUGUGCCGGAUAUAGACGGGCUAAGAAAGAAGAUUAUGACAGAGGCACAUUUUUCAAGGUAUUCCAUUCAUCCAGGAUCAACCAAAAUGUAUCAAGAUUUGAAAGAUAUGUAUUGGUGGAAUGACAUGAAGAAGAGCAUUGCAGAAUUUGUAGCUGAAUGUCCAAAUUGUCAAAGAGUUAAAGUUGAGCACCAAAAACCCGGAGGCUAUAUGCAAUGCAUAGAUCUUCCAAUUUGGAAGUGGGACAUGAUCAACAUGGAUUUUGUUACAGGUUUGCCUCGUACAGCUCGAAAAUUUGAUUCUAUAUGGGUGAUUGUGGAUAGGCUUACUAAAUCCGCACAUUUCUUACCCGUUAAGACCACUUACACAGUUGAAGAAUAUUCGAAGCUGUAUGUUAAAGAAAUAGUCCGAUUACAUGGAGUGCCAACUUCUAUUAUAUCGGAUCGGGGAACUCAAUUUACUGCAAACUUUUGGAAGUCUUUCCAACGGGGUUUGGGAACACAAGUGAAUCUGAGUACAGCUUUUCACCCUCAGACGGAUGGACAAGCAGAGCGCACCAUUCAAACACUUGAAGAUAUGCUACGAGCAUGUGUUAUAGAUUUUAAAGGCAGCUGGGAUGAUCAUUUACCUCUUAUUGAGUUUGCCUACAAUAAUAGCUAUCAUUCAAGUAUCAAAAUGGCACCAUAUGAAGCUUUAUAUGGGAGAAAGUGUAGAUCACCAAUAGGAUGGUUCGAAGCGGGUGAAACUCUUAUGUUCGGACCGGAUCUUGUGUAUCAAGCCAUAGAAAAAGUCAAGGUGAUACAACAACGGCUAAAAACAGCCCAAAGUCGUCAUAAAUCAUAUGCAGAUAUUCGGAGAAGAGGGCUGGAAUUCUCUAUUGGAGAUUGGGUAUUUUUAAAGGUAUCACCAAUGAAAGGGGUUAUGAGAUUUGGUAAGAAGGGGAAACUAAGCCCACGUUACAUAGGGCCAUAUAAGAUUACCAAGAGGGUCGGACAAGUUGCAUAUGAAUUAGAGCUACCCCAGGAACUUUCAAUGGUUCAUCCAGUGUUUCAUGUGUCAAUGCUUCGAAAAUGCAUAGGUGACCCCUCUCGUAUCACUCCUAUAGAAGAUGUACAGGUCACAGAGGAUCUUACUUAUGAAGAGGUACCGGUUGCUAUUCUAGAUCGCCAAGUUAAAAAGUUAAGGAACAAAGAAAUGGCAUCAGUAAAGGUACUCUGGAGAAACAACCAAGUAGAAGAGAUAACGUGGGAACCGGAGGAAGUAAUGAUAUCCAAAUACCCUCAUCUAUUUGAAGACAAGGAGGGACCAAAAGAUACAGAGGAGGAACAUUAAUAGGUAUGUGUUUGAAUACUAGUUAUGUUAUUAAAAGUUGUGUGACCAGAAAUUCAAACCUGCCUAGACUAUACAGUUAUGUUAACAUUCGGGACGAAUGUUCCUAAGGGGGGGAGGAUGUAACACCCCACAUUUUACAUGUACUAGUAAUGUUCACAUAAAAUGACAUACGACUUGAUUUAAUUACUACCAAAAUUUUUCAAGUGUUCAAGUGUUAGAUUGGGGCACUAUAUGGAAGUCUAUUUAGAGACUGUGGCCUUAAACGGAAAAAAAACAUUGACAUGCUUAUGGAACUUAGGGAGCUAGCAGGUGAGUCACCUGUGUGCUUAGCUUAAAAAUUAUAUAUACAUGAGGGAGAAGAAUUCAUUCAUAAGUGAACUCACUUGAAGUCUAGACGUUAGUAAAAAGAAAGGGGAACGAAGACAAGGCUUAACGCCGAAACUUUCCAAGUCUUGUGACAAACGAAGCCCAAGUUAGGGAGGCUAUUAAAGACAAUGGUUUAACAUUAUAUUGGGCCAAGAUGUUCAGCCCAAGAUUUUUAUAUAAUAGGCCCAACUACAUUCAUUCACUACUAACAAAAUUGAGCCCAAACAAAGUGCAAGAAAGAGUAAGGAAAUGGGCCACUAAAGCCCAUUGAUUUAGAGAUCCAAAAGGCCCAAGUGAAAGGGGAAAAUUAGUCAUUGACCAACUUGAGUUAAUCAGCUACAAAUAUUAGGAGAAAGUCGGUCUAAAGUCUCCUUAAAAAGGGACCAAAACCGAGCUCUAGGUUAACCAAAGAAAAGACCAAAAAAUUUCAGAAUUUCUCUCUAAGUUUCUCUUGGUAUUUCUUCACCUUGGAAGGCAACCAAAGGCUACUUUUUGAGUUCUUGAAUUAGACCUACACCUUGGGAGUUAAGGUAUGUAAAAAUAACCAUAUACUUGAUAUGAAUUUUCCAUGGAAAACAAGAUAAGUUGGCUGGUUCACUGUGCAGGAAUUUCUGGACAGCUUGUGUCCUGAAAGUUGUUGUUUGGUUUUCUUGGCUUUGGAACGAUUUUUACCCUGAUUUUUCACUUUAAUAUGAUGUAAAGUUGAGGUUAUUAACAUGUUAUAGUGUGUAUAUGGUUGCCAAGGUUGCUGGACUGUUUUGCUAGUUCUUUGGAAACAAGUAUCCUUAUAUGAUCUUAUGUGCUUCCAAACUGGUAUUGGACUGUUUUGUUGAGGGGGAUGUUGUUUCACGUUUCCCCUACGUUUUGAGCUAUUUUGUGACUAUGUUAAGGUUUAUUUGAUGUAUAUAUAUGUUGGGAGCAUCUGGUUCAAAGUUGGGACAAGUAUGAAUUGUUAACGACGAAAUGUAGGGAGACGACGAGAUGUUGUGCUUCUUAGUUGAGCGUUUUGUAAAAUGGUUAUGUGUUGUAGUUAUGGACUGUUGCCAGCAUGUUAUAGAACUAAUAUAGGCUGUAUACAUCAUGUAUAUGAUAAUCUAUGCUGGUUGAAUACAGUUAGAAUUGAGAAAGUCGGAAUAACACCAUUGAGUUGAUGGUUAUACGUUUGUUGCCAAAGUGUUGUGUCUUGUGAGAUUGGGCUGUCCAGAUGCAUUGAUUAGCUGCUAAUACUAGCUUUAAAACAUGAUAUUGUAGAUAAAUAGUUGGAAGAAAAGAAGUCAUUUCGACGUAAAAACAAGUUGAUAUGUCGAGGUAUGUAAGGCUAUUCGAUCUCUUAUUAUUUGGCAUGGAAUCCAAAGUCUUCAUUGGCACAUAGAGAUCUUUACAAACUUUGACAUAACCACUCCACUCUUUAACAUGUACUUGUGUGUCCAGAUUCGAGCAUUGUCACUGCUGCAUACAUACAUUGGGUACCAUGACAUAUGAGUCUUCUUUUUAGCUAAAUAAAGUUCAUACGUUGUUUAUGUCCUACAUGUUUCACUAAUUGUACAACCCACUCUUUUCAUUAUGAUAUGAUGUUACAUGGACACAUACUUGUCAUUUGUCAUGCUUAUAGUCUUAUAGCUCAAAUGUUACGACCACCAAAGAUUCAUCUCAAAAGUAAUAAGAAGAUAUAUGUAUACAGUUGCUUCUGUUGGGUGGUAUCCCAGGGGUGAAAGAAUCACCUAGCAUGGGUCAAUCCCAGUAUUACAGGGGGUAUCCCAGGGGUGAAAGGAAAGCCUAGCAUGGGUCGAUCCUGAUAUAGAAUUACCACUGAUCAGCUGGUCAUUUGUAUUACAUGCUGUGCACAGAUUAUUCAAGUAAUAAGAGUAAAGUAACAUAAUUGUUAUAAGAUACAUGACUCCACAAUAUUCAUAAAGGUGGUCUUUUACCCUACAGCAGUACAUGGUUUCAUUUGAGUUUUUAUCUCAUAUAUAGUACAUGUUGCCUUACAUAUUCAGUACAUUAUUUCGUACUGACGUCCCUCUUGGGGGACCUGCAUUCCAUGCUGCAGGUACAGAAGCUAAUAAACCUCCCUAGUAAGAGUACAGGAUAUCAACCGCAGUCACUGAGCUCCAGGUUGCUUCGGGGCUUUGAGUCUUAUCAUAUCUUUUUGCAUUGUAUAGUAUCUUAUCAUGAGGCGGGGCCUGUCCCGACCCUUAUAAGAUAACUUUUCUUGUCUAGAGGCUUUGUAGACUACGUAAAGUAUAGUAUGGUCAUGUAUCCUAUCCUAGACAUUGUGGCUCCAACGACCUAGUCAUAUAAUAUCUUUUGGCUUGCUAGUCCUAUUUAUCUUUUGAGGGCGUGUUUAGUAUGAAAGGAACUUAUAAUGUUCAUAGGUAAUAUAUUGCUACAGGUUGGUUCUCCCGAGCCUUACCGGCAACGGGUGCCAGUCCGCCUUAAUAGGAUUUGGGGCGUGACAAGUACGCCCGGACCCCAGGUCCAUCCCAAAAAUAGUGGGCUAUAGAACCCCAAUUUGGCACGAAAAUGCCCCAUUCACGUCGUUUGCUCGUUUGUCCACCCAAAUGGCCACGAAAAUUUAAACAGACCACACUGGAAUGAUCCCUAAUAUCUCUGGCAGUCCUCGGUCAAUUUUUCACCCACAACACACUCGGACCCCGGGCCCACCCCCAAAACUGUUGGCUAUAGCUUACAGAUUUAGCCUAAAAAUGCCCCGUUCACAUCGUUUCGCCCGUUUGACCACCUAAAUGGACACAAAAAUUUAAAUGAACCAUACUGGGAUAAUUCCCAACCUCUCUGGCAUGCUCUGGUCGAUUUUCGGCCCACAGCACGCCCGGAACCCUAGCCCACCCUCGAAAAUAUGGGCUAUAGCACACCAAUUUAGCCCGAUUCGCAUCGUUUAUGCCCGUUUGUCCACCAAAAUUGCCACGAAACUCUAAAUGAACCACACUGGGAUGAUCCCCAACCUACCUGACCCGCCCCAUUUGAUUUUUAGCCCACAACACGCUCGUACCAUGGGCCCACCCCAAAACCUACGCUAUAGCAAUCCGAUUUGGUCUGAAAAUGCCUUUUUCACGUUGUAUUGCCCGUUUGUCCAUCCAAAUGGCCAUGAAAAUUUAAACGGACCUCACUAGGACAAUCCCCAACCACCUUGGCAUGCCCCGAUCGAUUUUUUCCCAACAGCACGCUCCAACCAUCAUGGGCUAUAGCACACCAAUUUGGCCCGAAAAUACCCCGUUCGCAUCGUUUCGCCCAUUUAUCCUCCUAAAUGGCUACAAAAAAUCUAAACGGACCACACUAGGAUGAUCCCCAACCUCCCUGGCAUGCCCCGGUCAAGUUUUCGCCCACAGCAUGUCUGGACCCCGAGCCCAGCCCAAAACUGUUGGAUAUAGCACACUGAUUUGGCCUAAAAAUGCCUUGUACGUGCUGUUUCGCCCAUUUGUCCACCCAAAUGGCCACAAAAAUUUAAAAGGACCACACUGGGAUGAUCCUCAUCCUCCCUCCCAAGCCUCGAUCGAUUUUUAGCCAACAGCAUGCCCAGACCCCAGGCUCACCUUGAAAAUUGUGGGCUAUAGCACACCAAUUUUGCCCAAAAAUUCUCCGUUCGCAUCGUUUUGCCCGUUUGUCCACCCAAAUGGCCACAAAAAUUUAAACGGACCUCACUAGGAUGAUAUAUAACCUCCCUGGCAUGCCCCAAUUAAUUUUUAGCCAACAGCUUACCCGGACCCUGGGCGCACACCCAAAAUCGCGGGCUAUAGCACAGUGAUUUGGCUAAAAAAUGCUCCAUUCGCGUUGUUUUGCUCAUUUGUCCACCCAAAUGGCCACGAAAAUUUAAACAGAUCACUCUAGGACGAUCCUUAACCUCCCUAGCAUGCCCCAAUAGAUUUUUGGCCCAUAACAUGCCCGAAUCCCAAGUCCACCAACGAAACUGUGGGCUACAGCACACCGAUUUGGCCCUAAAAUGACCCGUUCAUGCUAUUUCGCCCGUUUGUCCACCCAAAUGGCCAUGAAAAUUUAAACGAACAAUACUGGGAUGAUCGUCAACCUCGCUGGCUAGGCCUGGUUGAUUUUAGGCCCACAGCACACCCGUACCCCGGGCCCACCCCCAAAAACGUGGGCUAUAGCACACCAAUUUGUCUAAAAAAUGCCCAGUUUGCAUCGUUUCCCCCGUUUGUCCACCCAAAUGGCCACAAAAAAUUGAACGAACCAUACUAAGAUGAUCCUUAACCUCCUUGGCACGCUCCGGUCAAUUUUCAGCCCACAGAACGCUUAGACCCCGGGCCCAUCCCUAAAACCGUAGGCCAUAGCACACCAAUUUGGCUAAAAAAUAACUCGUUCGCUCAGUUUCGCCCGUUUGUCCACACAAAUGGCCACGAAAGUUUAAACGAACCACAUUAGAAAGAUCCCCAACCUCCCUAGCAUGACCCGGUUAAUUUUUCACCCACAACACGACUAGACCCGAGCCCACCCCCAAAACCGUGGGCUAUAGCACACCAAUUUGGCUCAAAAGUUCUCCGUUCGCGCCGUUUCGCCCGUUUGUCCUCCCAAAUGGCCAUGAAAAUUUAAACGAACCACACUGGGAUAAUCCCCAACUUCCCUGACAUACCUCGGUCAAUUUUCAGUACACAGUACGCCCGAACCCCUGGCCUACCCACGAAAUCGUGGGCUAUAACACAUCGAUUUGGCCUGAAAAUGCCUUAUUCGUACAUUUCACUCGUUUGUCCACCCAAAUGGCCACGAAAAUUUAAACAAACCUCACUGAGAUGAUUUCCAACCUCCCUGGCAUUCCCCAAUCAAUUUCAGCCCACAACAUGCCUGGACCCCAGGCCCACCCCCGAAACCAUGGGCUAUAGCACACCGAUUUGACCCGAAAAUACCUCGUUCACUCCGUUUCUACCGUUUUCCACCCAAAUGACCACAAAAGUUUAAACAGACCAUACUAGAAUGGUCCCUAACCUCCCUGGCAUGCCCCAUUUGAUUUUUGGCCCAUAGCACGCCUGGAACCCGAGCCCACCCUCAAAAACAUGGGCUAUAGCCAACUAAUUUGGCCUAAAAAUGCCCCAUUCACCCUGUUUUGCCCAUUUGUCCACCCAAAUGGACAUUAAUGUUUAAACGGACCACACUGGUACAAUCCUCAACCUCCCUAACAUAUCUCGGUCGAUUUUUGGCCCACAGCAUGCCCGAACCCCGGGGCCACCCAUAAAACCGUGGACUAUUAUGCACCGAUUUGGCCCUAAAAUGACCCGUUCACGCCAUUUCGCUCGUUUGUCCAGUCAAAUGGCCACAAAAAUUUAAACAGACCACACUGAGAUAAUUCUCAACCUCGCUGGCAUGGCCCGAUAGAUUUUUGGACCACACCACACCUGGAACCUGGGGCCACCCCCAAAAUCGUGGGCUAUAGCACACCGAUUUGGCUCGAAAAUGCCCCGUUUGCACCGUUUCGCCCGUUUGUCCACCCAAAUGGCCAUAAAAAUUUAAACGAACCAUACUGGGAUGAUCCUUAACCUCCUUGGCCGGCCCCGAUUGAUUUUCGGCCUACAGUACACUUGAACCCCAUGCCCACCCCUAAAAUCGUGGGAUAUAGCACACCAAUUUGGCCCGAAAAGGCCUCAUUCAUAUUGUUUUGCCCAUUUGUCCACCCAAAUGACCACCAAAUUUAAAGGGACCACACUAGGAAGAUCCCCAACCUCCCUGGCAUGCCUUAUUCGAUUUUUGGCCUACAGCACGCCUGGACCCCGGGCCCACCCCCAAAAAUGUAGGCUAUUACACUCUAAUUUGGCCCGAAAGCACCCCUUUCGCGCUGUUUGGCCCAUUUGUCCACCAAAAUGGCCAUGAAAAUUUAAACGGACUACACUUGGAUGAUCCCCAACCUCCCUGGCCAUCCUCUAUCAAUUUUUGUCCCACAUCACGCCCUAACCCUAUUUCCACCAUUAAAACCAAGGGCUAUAGCAUACCGAUUUGUCCAAAAAAUACACCAUUCGCGCUGUUUCACCCGUUUGUCCACUAAUAAAUGGCCACAAAAAUUUAAACGGACCACACUGGGAUGAUCCCCAACCUCCCUGGCAUGCCUAUAUCAAUUUUUUGCCCACAACACGCCCGGACCACGUGCCCACCCUCGAAACCAUGGGCUAUAGCACACCGAUUUAGCCUGAAAAUGCCCCGUUCGCAUCUUUUCGCCCGUUUAUCCACCCAAAUAGCCACAAAAAUUUAAAUUGACCAUACUGGGAUGAUCUCCAACCUCAUUGGCACACACUGAUCGAUUUUCGGACCACAGCACGCCUGGGCCCCAGGCCCACCCCCAAAACUGUGGGCUAUUGCACACUAAUUUGGCCCGAAAAUGCCCCGUUCGCAUUAUUUUACCUGUUUGUCCACACAAAUAGCAACGACAAUUUAAACGGACCUCACUGGGAUGAUCCCCAACCUCCCUAGCACGCCCCAAUCGAUUUUCGACCCACAGCACGCCCGGUCCUCGUGCCCACCACCAAAACCAUGGGCUAUAGCACACCGAUUUUGCCGAAAAAUGUCCCGUUCAAGCCAUUUUGCCCGUUUAUCACCCCAACUUGCAACAAAAAAUUAAACGGGCAAUAUUGGGACGAUCCCCAACCUCUCUGGCACACCCGAGCUGAUUAUCAGCCCACUGCACGCUUGGACCUCUGGCCCACCCCCAAAACCGUGGGGUAUAGCACACCAACUUGGCUAAAAAAUGCCCCAUUCACGCCGUUUCGCCUGUUUGUCCACCCAAAUAUCCACGAAAAAUUAAAUGGACCACACUGGGAUGAUCCCCAACCUCCCUAGCAUGCCCCAUCGAUUUUUGACCCUCAGCACGCCCGGACCCCGAGGCCACCCCCGAAAUCGUGGGCUAUAUAGCACACUGAUUUGGCCCGGAAAUGCCCCGUUCACCCUGUUUCGCCCGUUUGUCCACCCAAAUAGCCACAAAAAUUUAAACUAACCACACUGACACGAUCCCCAACCUCUCUGGCAAGCCCGGUCAAUUUUUUACCCUCAGCACACUUGGACCUUGGGCCCACUCCCAAAACUGUGGGCUAUAUAGCACAUCGAUUUGGCCCGAAAAUGCCCUAUUUGCGCCAUUUCACCUAUUUGUCCACCCAAAUGGCCAUAAAAAUUUAAAUGGACCACACUGGCAAGAUCUCCAACCUCCCUGGCAUGUCCCAAUUAAUUUUUUGCCCAUAGCACGCCCGGACCCCGGGCCCACCCCCAAAAUUAUGGGCUAUAACACAUCGAUUUAGUUCGAAAAUGCCCCGUUAGCGCAGUUUCGCCCAUUUGACCACCCAAAUGGCCAAGAAAAUUUAAAUGGACCAUACUGGAAUGACCCCUAACAUCCAUGGCACGCCCUAGUCAAUUUUAAGCACACAGCACACUCAAACCUCGGGCCCACCCCCAAAACCGUGGGCUAUAGCACACCAAUUUAGCUUGGAAAUGCCCCAUACACCCAGUUUUGCCCAUUUAUCCACCCAAAUGGCCACAAAACUUUAAACGGACCACACUAGAAUGAUCUUCAACCUCCUUGGCAUGCCCCGAUCAAUUUUGACCCACAACGCCCCCAUACCCCGUGCCCACCCCCGAAAUAAUGGUCUAUAACGCACUAAAUUGGCUUGAAAAUGCCUCGUUCGCUCCUUUUUCGCUCGUUUGUCCACCCAUAUGGCAACAAAAAUAUAAACGGACCACACUGGGACUAUCCCCAACCUUCCUGGUAUACCCUAAUCGAUUUUCGACCAAUAUCACGCCCAAACCUUGAGCCCACCCUGAAACUAUUGGCUUUAGCAUACCGAUUUGGCCCAAAAUGCCCCGUUCGUGCCAUUUUGCCUGUUUGUACACCCAAAUGGCCAUAAAAAUUUAAACGGACUACACUGGGACAAUCCCCCAACCUCCCUGGUAUGACCCGAUUAAUUUUUGGCUUAUAGCAUGCAUGGACCCUGGGCCCACCCCCAAAUCGUGGGCUAUAGCAUAUCGACUUGGCCUGAAAAUGCCCCGUUCACGCUGUUUCAUCCGUUUGUCCACCCAAAUGGCCACAGAAAUUUAAAAGGACCACACAAGGAUGAUCCCCAACCUCCCUAGCAUGCCUCGGUUGAUUUUUAGCCCACAGCACCCCCAAAAUCGUGGUCUAUAUAGCACACUGAUUUGGCCUAGAAAUGCCCCGUUCGCCCUGUUUCGCUCGUUUGUCCACCCAAAUAGCCACAAAAAUUUAAACUAACCACACUGAGACGAUCCCCAACCUCCCUGGAAAGCCCGAUCAAUUUUUUACCCUCAGCAUACUGGACCUCGAGGCCACUCCCAAAACUGUGGGCUAUAUAGCACAUCGAUUUGGCCCGAAAAUACCCUGUUUGCGCCAUUUUGCCCAUUUGUCCACUCAAAUGGCCACAAAAAUUUAAACGGACCACGCUGGAAAGAUCUCCAACCUCUCUAGCAUGUCUCAGUCAAUUUUCCACCCGCAGCACGCUCGGACCCUGGGCCCACCCUCGAAAUUGUGGGCUAUAACACAUCGAUUUGGCUCAAAAAUGCCCCGUUAGUGUAGUUUCGCCUAUUUGACCACCCAAAUGGCCAAGAAAAUUUAAAUGGACCAUACUGGAAUGAUCCCUAACAUCCAUGGCAUGCCCCAGUCAAUUUUUAGCACACAGCACACUCGAACCUCAGGCCCACCCCCAAAACCGUAGGCUAUAGCACUCCAAUUUAGCUUGGAAAUGCCCCGUACACCCAGUUUUACCCAUUUGUCCACCCAAAUAGCCACAAAACUUAAAACGGACCACACUGGAAUGAUCUUCAACCUCCUUGGCAUGCCCCGAUCAAUUUUUGGCCCACAACACCCCCGGACCCCGUGCCCAUCCCCGAAAUCAUGGUCUAUAGCAGACUGAGUUGGCUCGAAAAUGCCACGUUUGCGCCCUUUUCGCUCGUGUGUCCACCCAUAUGGCAACGAAAAUAUAAAUAGACUACACUGAGAUGAUCCCCAACCUUCCUGGUAUACCCCAAUCUAUUUUCGGCAAAUAUCACGCCCAAACCUUGAGCCCACCCUGAAACUAUUGGCUUUAGCACACCGAUUUGGCCUAAAAUACCCUGUUCGUGCCGUUUUGCCUGUUUGUACACCCAAAUGGCCACAAAAACUUAAACGAACCACACUGGGACGAUCCCCAACCUCCCUGGCAUACCCAGAUUAAUUUUUGGCCCAUAACAUGCGCGAACCCUGGGCCCACCCCAAACCGUGGGCUAUAGCACAUCGACUUGCCCCAAAAAUACCCCAUUCACGCUGUUUCGUCCGUUUGUCCGCCCAAAUGGCCACGAAAAUUCAAACGGACCACAGAAAGAUGAUCCCCAACCUCUCUGGCAUGCCCCGAUUGAUAUUUAGCUCACAGCACCCCCGAAACCCAAUCCCACCCCCGAAACCGUGGGCUAUAGAAUGCCAAUUUGGCCCGAAAAUACCCCAUUCGCGCCGUUUUACCCAUAUUUUCCACCUAAAAGGCCACAAAAAUUUAAACAGACCAUACUAGGACAAUCUCCAACCUCCCUGGCACACCCUGGUUGAUUUUCAGACCACAACACGGCCGAACCCACCAACAAAACCGUGUGCUAUAGCACACUGAUUUGGCCUAAAAAUGCCCCAUUCGCGCCAUUUCGCCAAUUUGUCCACCAAAAUAGCCAAAAAAAUUUAAACGGACCAUACUGGUAUGAACUCCAAGCUCCCUGUCACGCCAUGGUCAAUUUUCAGCCCACAACACGCCCAGACCCUGAGCCCACCCCCAAAACCGUGGGCUAUAGCACACCGAUUUGGCCCAAAAAUGCCCUGUUUAAGCCAUUUCGCCCGUUUGUCCACCCAAAAUGGCAAUGAAAAUUUAAACGCACCACAUUGGGAUGAUCCCUAACCACCCUUGCAUGCCCCAUUUAAGUUUUUACACACAGCACGCUCGAAUCCCGGGCCCACCCUCAAAACCGUGGGCUAUAGCACACCGAUUUAGCCAGAAAAUGCCCUUUUCGUGCUAUUUUGCCCAUUUGUCCACCCAAGUUGCCACGAAAAUUUAAACUAACUACAUCGGGACAAUCCCCAACCUUCCUAGCACGCCUUGAUCUAUUUUUGGCCCACAACAUACCCGGACCCUGGGCCCACCCUUGAAACCAUAGGCUAUAGCACACCGAUUUGGCCCGAAAAUACCACGUUCAUGAUAUUUCUCUCAUUUAUCCACCCAAAUUGCCACAAAAAUUUAAAUGGAUAACACUGGGAUAAUACCCAACCUACUUUGCACGCCUCAGUCAGUUUUUUGCCCUCAUCACGCUCGGACCCCGGCCCACCCCGGAAAUCAUGGGCUAUAGCACACCGAUUUGGCUCAAAAAUGCCCUGUUCGUGCUUUUAUGCGCAUUUGCCCACCCAAAUGGCUACAAAAAUUUAAACGAACCACACUGGGAAGAUCCCUAACCUUUUUGGCAUACCCCGAUCGAUUUUCAGCCCAUAACACGCCCGGACCCCGAUCUCACUCUUAAAAUCGUGGGCUAUAGCACACCAAUUUGGCCCGAAAAUAUUCCAUUCGCGCCAUUUCAACUGUUUUUCCUCCCAAACAGCCAUAAAAAUUUAAACGGACCACACUGGGAGGAUCCCCAUCCUCCCUGGCAUGCCCCAGUCGAUUUUUGGUCCAAAGCAUGCCCGGACCCCGAACCUUCCCCAAAAACUGUGGGCUAUAGCUCACCGAUUUGGCCCAAAAAUGCCCCGUUCGCAUCAUUUCGCCUGUUUGUCCACCCAAAUGGCCAUAAAAAUUUAAACGAACCACACUGGGAUGAACCCCAACCUCUCUGCCAUGCCCCGAUCUAUUUUUAGCAUACAACACACCCUGAACCCGAGCACCCCUCAAAACCACGAGCUACAACAUACUAAUUUGGCCCAAAAAUGCCUCGUUCGCAUCAUUUUGCUCGUUUGUCUACCCAAAUGCCACAAAAAUUUAAAAAAAAAUUACUCGGACGAUCCCCAACCUUCCUGGCAUGCCCCGAUAAAUUUUUAGCCCAUAACAGGUUCGAACCCUGGGCCCACCCAUAAAAUCAUAGGCUAUAGCACAACGAUUUGGCUUGAAAAUGUCCCGUUCGCACCGUUUUGACUGUUUUUCCAUCCAAAUGGCCAUGAAAAUUUAAACAGACCAUACUUGGAUGAUCCCCAACCUCCCUAGCAAGCCUCGAUUGAUUUUUGGUCGACAACAUGCCCAGACUGCGGGCCAACUCCCGAAACAGUGGGUUAUAGCACAUUUAUUUAGCCCAAAAAUGGCUCGUUCGCGCCGUUUCACCCAUUUGUCCACCCAAAUAGCCAAGAAAAUAUAAAUGGACCACAAUGGGACAAUCCUCGACCUCCCUAACAUAUCUCAGUCAAUUUUCGGCCCAUAGGACACUCGGACCCCAGGUCACCCCCGAAACCGUUGGCUAUAGCACACCGAUUUGGCUUAAAAAUGCCCUAUUCGUGUCGUUUCACUCGUUUGUCCACACAAAUGGCCACGAAAAUUUAAAUGGACCACAAUGGGACGAUCCCAAACUUCCCUGGCAUACCCCAAUCAAUUUUUGACCCACAACAUGCCCAAACCAUGGACCCACCCCCAAAAUCAUGGGCUAUAGCACACCAAUUUGGCCCAUAAACGCCUCGUUAGCAUCGUUUCACCCUUUGGUCCACCCAAAUAGCAUCAAAAAUUUAAACGGAACACAAUGAGAUGAUCCCCAACCUCCUUGGACUGCCAUGAUUGAUUUUUGGCGCAUAGCACGCCUGAACCCCAGGCCCACCCCAAAACAGUGCGCUAUAGCACACUAAUUUGGUUCGAGAAUGCCCCGUUCACGCUUUUUCACCCGUUUGUCCACCUAAAUAGCCACAAAAAUUUAAACGAACUACAUUGGGAUGAUCCCCAACCUUCCUCUCAUGCCCCAGUUGAUUUUUGCCCCACAGCACACCCAGACCCCAGACCCACCCCCUAAAAUAGUAGGCCAUAGCACACCAAUUUGGACCGAUAAUGCCCCAUUAGUGUCGUUUCGCCCAUUUUUCCACCUAAAUGGCCGCAAAAAUUUAAAUGGACCAGGGACAAUCCCCAAUCCCCUGGCAUGCCCCUAUCAAUUUUUAACCCACAGUACGCCCAAACCCCGGGCCCACCCUCAAAACCAUGGGCUAUAGCACACCGAUUUGGCCCAAAAAUGCCCCGUUCGUGCAGUUUCGCUCGUUUGUCCACCCAAAUAUCCAUGAAAACUUAAAUGGUCCAUACUGGGAUAAUCCCCAACCACGCUGGCAUGCCACGAUCAAUUUUCGGCAUACAACACGCUCAAAACUGGGGACUACCCCUGAAACAGGGGGCUAUAGUGCACCGAUUUGGCCCGAAAAUGCCCCAUUUGUGCUGUUUCGCUCGUUUGUCCACCCAAUUAUCACAAAAAUUUAAACGGACCACACUGGGAUGAUCUUCAACCUCCCUAGAACACCCCUAUCAAUUUUGGCCCACAACACACAUGGACCCUAGGCCCACCCCCAAAAUCGUGGGCUAUAGCACAUCGAUUUAUCCCAAAAAUGGCCCGUUUGCGUUGUUUUGACCAUUUGUUUACUCAAAUGGCCACAAAAAUUUAAAUAGACCACACUGGGACGAUCCCCAACCUCGCUGGCACAUCCUUACAUAUUUUUUGCCCACAGCAUGCCCUGACCCCGAGUUCACCCCCAAAACCGUAGGCUAUAGCACACGAAUUUGGCCCGAAAAUGCCCCGUUCACGCCGUUUCGCCCGUUUGACCUCCUAAAUGGCCACGAAACAGAUCACACUGGGAUGAUUCUUUUCUUCCCUGGCAUAUCCUGAAUUGUUUUUGGCCCACAGCACGCUCGAACCCUGGGCCUACCACCAAAACCAUAUGCUAUAGCACAUUAAUUUGGCCUGAAAAUGCCCCAUUCGCGCUGUUUUGCCCAUUUGUCCACCCAAAUAGCUAUAAAAAUUUAAACGAACCAUACUAGGAUGAUCCGAAACCUCCCUGGCAUGACCCGAUCAAUUUUCAGCCCAUAGCACACCCAAACCAUGGAUCCACCCCUAAAACCGUGGGCUAUGGCACAUAGAUUUGGCCCAAAAAUGCCCCAUUCACGCCGUUUAGCCCGUUUCUCCACCAGAAUGGCCAGGAAAUUUAAACGGACUAUACUGGGAUGAUUCCCGACCUCCCUGUCAUACCCCGGUCUAUUUUCGGCCUACAGUACGCCCGGACCCCAGGCCCACCCCCGAAACCAUAGGCUAUAGCACACCAAUUUAGCUAAAAAAUGCGUCGUUCGCAUCGUUUCACCCAUUUGUCCACCCAAAUGGCCACAAAAAAUUAAAUGGACUGCACUGGGAGGAUCCCCAACCUCCCUGGCAUGCCCCGAUAGAUUUUCGGCCCACAGCACGCCCGGACACCCAGCCCACCCCAAAACCAUGUGCUAUAGCACAUCGAUUUGGCUCAAAAAUGGCUCGUUUGUAUGUUUAUCCACCCAAAUGGCCAUGAAAAUUUAAACGGAUCAUACUGGGACGAUCCCCAACCUCCCUGGCAUGCCCAGAUAAAUUUUCAACCCACAGCAUCCCCGGACCUCAGGCCCAACCCCAAAACCGUAGGCUAUAGCACACUGAUUUAGCCCCAAAAUACCUCGGUCGCAUCGUUUCGCCCAUUUAUCCACCCAAAUAGUCACAAAAAAUUUAAUGAACCACGCUGUGAUGAUCCCUACUUCCCUGGCAUGUCCCGAUUGAUUUUUGGCCUACAGCACGCCCGAACCUCGGGCCCAUCCCCGAAACCGUUUGCUAUAGCAUACCAAUUUGGCCUAAAAAUGCCUUGUUUGCGUCGUUUUGCCUGCUUGACCUCCCAAAUGGCCAGUAAAAUUUAAACGGACCACACUAGGAUGAUCCCCAACCUUCCUGGCACGCCGCGGUCAAUUUUUGACCUACAGCAUGCCCGAACACCGAGACCACCCCCAAAAUCAUGGCCUAUAGCACAUCGAUUUUGCCCGAUAAUGCCCCGUUCGUGCUGUUUUACCUGUUUGUCCACCCAAAUGGCAACAAAAAUUUAAACGAACCACACUGGGAUGAUCCCCGACCUCCCGGGCAUAUCCCAAUCGAUUUUUGUCCUACAGCAUGCCCGACCUGGGCCUACCCCCAAAACUGUGGGCUAUAGUACACCAAUUUAGCUUGAAAAUGCCCCAUUUGCACCAUUUUGCCUGUUUGUGCACCCAAAUAGCCACGAAAAUUUAAACGGACCAUACUGGGACGAUCCCCGACCUUCCUGGCACGUCCCGAUUGAUUUUUGGACCACAACACGGCCGAACCCUAUGCCUGAUCAAUUUUUGAACAACAAUACGCUUGAACCCCGUGCCCACCCUUUAAACCGUGGGCUAUAGCUCACCGAUUUAGCCCAAAAAUAUCCCAUUCGUGCUGUUUCACCCGUUUGUCUACCCAAAUGGCAAUGAAAAUUUAAACGGACCGUACUGGGAUGAUCCCCGACCUUCCUGGCACGCCCUGAUAAAUUUUUGGCCCACUGCACGCCCGAACCCUUGGCCCACCCCCAAAACUGUGGGCUAUAGCAUACCAAUUUAGCCCAAAGAUGCCCCGUUCGCGCCGUUUCGCCCGUUUGUCCACCCAAAUGGAAACGAAAAUUUAAACAGACCAUACUGGGACUAUCCCGAACUCACUGAAAUGCCCAAAUCAAUUUUCAGAGCACAGAACGCCUGGACCCCGGGCCCACCACCAAAAUCGUGGGCUAUAGCACACCGAUAUGGUUUGAAAAUGCCCUGUUCGCACUGUUUUUCCAUUUGUCCACCCAAAUAGGCACAAAAUAUUAAACGGACCACACUAGGAUGAUUUUCGACCUCCCUAAAAUGCCCGAACCUCAUGCCCACCCCUAAAACCGUGGGCUAUAGCACACUGAUUUGGUGCAGAAAUGCCCUAUUCUUGCUGUUUCGCCCGUUUGUCCACCCAAAUGGCCACGAAAAUUUAAAAGUACCAUACAGGUAUGAUCCCCGACUUUCCUAACAUGCCUCGAUCAAAUUUUAACCCAUAGCACACCCGGAACCCGGGCCCACCCCUAAAACCAUGGGCUAUAUAGCACACCGAUUUGGCCCGAACAUGUCUCGUUCGUAUUAUUUUGCUCAUUUAUCCACCCAAAUAGCCAUAAAAAUUUAACCAGACCAUACUGGGACGGUUCUCGACCUCCCUUGAAUGCCAAAAUCAAUUUUUGGCCCACAGCACGCUGGACCCCAGGCCCACCACCAAAACCGUGGGCUAUAGCACACCAAUAUGGCCCGAAAAUGCCCCGUUCGCACUAUUUUUCUAGUUUGUCGACCCAAAUGGCCACGAAAAUUUUAACGGACCACACUAGGACUUUUCCUGACCUCCCUGGAAUGACCCAAUCAGUUUUUGUCCCACAGCAUGGCUGUACCCCGAUCCUACCCCCAAAAGCAUGGGCAAUAGCAUACCAAUUUGGCUUGAAAAUGCCCUGUUCGUGCCGUUUGGCCCGUUUGGCCCGUUUGUCCACCCAAAUGGCCACAAAUAUUUAAACAGAUGACACUGGGAUGAUUCCCAACCUCCCUGGAUCUCCCCGAUUGAUUUUUGACCCACAGCAUGCCUAGACCCCGAGCCCGCCCCUCCUACCCUAAAGCCGUGGGCUAUUGCACAUCAGUUUGUUUCAAAAAUGCCCCGUUCGAGCCGGUUCGCCCGUUUGUCCACCCAAAUGAUCAAAAAAUUUAAAUGGACUACACUGGGAUGAUCCCCAACCUCCCUGGCACGCCCCGAUCAAUUUUCAGCACAUAGCACGCCCGGACCCCAGGCCCACCCCCAAAAUCGUGGGCUAUUGCACACUGAUUUAGCCCGAAAAUGCCCCGUUUGCACUGUUUUGCUUGUUUGUCCACUCAAAUAGUCACAAAAUUUUGAACGGACCACCCUGGACGAUCCCCAACCUACCUGGCACGACCCAGUUAGCUUUUAGUCCACAACACAUUGGACCCCGAGCCCACCCUAGAAACCGUGGGCUAUAGCACACUAAUUUGGCCUGAAAAUAUCCCAUUUGCACCGUUUUGCCCGUUUGUCCACCCAAAUGGCCACAAAAAUUUAAACGAACAACACUAUAAUCAUCCCCACCCCCUGGCAUGCCUCUAUCAAUAUUAGACCUACAGGACGCCCGAACCCUGGGCCCACCCUCAAAAUCGUGGGCUUUAGCACACCGAUUUGUCCCGAAAAUACCUCGUUUGCGCAGUUUCACUCGUUUGUCAACCCAAAUGACCACGAAAAUUUAAAUGGUCCAUACUGGGAUAAUCUCCAACCACCCUGGCACACCACGGUCAAUUUUCAACCCACAGCACGCCCGGACCCGGGUCCGCCCCCAAAAUAGGGGGCUAUAGUGCACCGAUUUGGCCCGAAAAUGCCCAUUUGUGCUGUUUCGCUCGUUUGUCCACCCAAUUUCCACAAAAAUUUAAACGGACCACAUUGGGAUGAUCUCCAACCUCCCUAGCACGCCUUGAUCAAUUUCAACCCACAACACGCACGGACCCCAGGCGCACUCCCGAAAUCGUGGGCUAUAGCACACCAAUUUAUUCUAAAAAUGACCCAUUCACGUCGUUUCGACCGUUUGUCCACUCAAAUGACCACAAAAAUUUAAAUGGUUCAUACUGGGAUGAUCUCCAACCUCCCUGGCACACCUCGAUCAAUUUUGGCACACAACACACACGGACCCCAGGCCCACCCCCAAAACCGUGGGCUAUAGCACACCAAUUUGUCCUAAAAAUAACCUAUUUGCGUCGUUUCGACCGUUUGUCCACUCAAAUGGCCACAAAAAUUUAAAUGGACUACACUGAGAUGAUCCCCAACCUUCCUGGUACACCCCUGCCAAUUUUCGGUGGACAACAUGCCCCAACACCGAUUCCAACCCCAAAACCGCAGGCUAUGGCACACGAAUUUGGCUCGAAAACACCCCGUUCCCCGUUCACCCGUUUUUCUUCCUAAAUAGCCACGAAAAAUUAAACAGACCACACUAGGAUGAUCCUUUUCUUCCCUAGAAUAUCCCGAUUAUUUUCAGCACGCAGCACGCCCGAACCCUGAACCCACCCCUGAAACCGUACGCUAUAGCACACCGAUUUAGCCUGAAAAUGCUCUAUUCAUGCCGUUUUACCCAUUUGUCCAUCCAAAUAGCCACAAAAAUUUAAACAGACCAUACUGGGAUGAUGCCCAACCUCCCUGGCAUGACCUGAUCGGGCCCACAGCACACCCGAACCCCGGAUCCACCCCAAAAUUGUGGGCUGUAGCACACCGAUUUGGCUAAAAAAUGCCCCAUUCAUGCCGUUUCGCCCGUUUGUUCGCCCGAAUGGCCAGGAAGUUUAAACGGACUACACUGGGAUGAUUUCUGACCUCCCUAGCUGCCCUGGUCGAUUUUUUGCCCACAACAUGCCCAGACCUCGGGACCACCCCUGAAACCAUACACUAUAACACACCGAUUUAGCUUAAAAAUGCAUCGUUCACGCUGUUUCACUUGUUUAUCCACCCAAAUAGGAAAAAAAAAUUAAAUGGACUACACUGGGAGGAUCCUCAACCUCCCUGGCAUGGCCCGAUUGUUUUUCGGCCCACAGCACACCUGGACCCCGAGCCCACCCCAAAAUCGUGCCCUAGAGCACAUCGAUUUGGCUAAAAAAUGAACUAUUCGUCCAUUUAUCCACCCAACCUCCCUGGCAUGCCCCGAUCGAUUUUCAACCCACAGCAUGCCCGAACCUCGGGCCCAACCCCAAAACCAUGGGCUAUAGCACACCGAUUUAGCCCCAAAAUGCCUCGUUCACGUUAUUUCGCUCAUUUGUCCACCCAAAUAGCCACAAAAAUUUUAACGGACCAUGCUGUGAUGAUCUCAACUUCCCUGGCAUGCCUUGAUUGAUUUUUGGCGCACAGCACGCUCGGACCCUGUGCCCAUCCCCGAAACCGUAGGCUAUAGCACACCGAUUUGGACCGAAAAUGCCCCGUUCGUGCUGUUUUGCCCGCUUGACCUCCCAAAUGGCCACAAAAAUUUAAACGGACCUCACUGGGAUGAGCUUCGAUCUCCCUGGCAUGCCCCGAUCAAUUUUUGGUGUACAGCAUGCCCGAACACAGAGCCCACCCCCCAAAAUCGUGGGCUAUAGCACACCAAUUUUUCCCAAUACUUCUGCGUUCACACCGUUUCUCCUGUUUGUCCACCCAAAUGGCAACGAAAAUUUAAACGAACCACACUGGGAUGAUUUCCAACCUCCCUGGCAUGUCUUAAUCGAUUUUUGUCCUACAUCAUGCCCGGACCUGGGCCCACCCCCAAAACCGUCGGCUAUAGCACACUGAUUUGGCUUGAAAAUGCCCCGUUCGCACUGUUUUGCCUGUUUGUGCACCCAAACAACCACAAAAAUUUAAACGGACCCACACUAGGAGGAUCCCCAUCCUCCCUGGCAAACCCCGAUCGAUAUUUAGCCCAAAGCACGCUCGUAUCCCGAAUGCACCCCAAAAACUGUGGGCUAUAGCUCAUUGAUUUGGCCCAAAAAUGCCCCAUUCGUGUCAUUUCGACUGUUUGUCCACCCAAAUGGCCACAAAAAUUUAAACGAACCAUACUGGAAUGAUCCCCAACCUCCCUGCCAUGCCCCGGUCAAUUUUUAGUAUAUAGUAUGCCCAGACCUCGAGCACCCCCCCAAAACCGUGGGGUAUAGCAUACUAAUUUGGCCCAAAAAUGCCCCGUUCGCAUCAUUUUGCCCGGUUUUCCACCCAAAUGCCACAAAAAUUUAAACUAAAGUCACUGGGACGAUCCCCAACCUCCCUGGCAUGCCCCGAUUAAUUUUUGUCCCACAGCAGGUCUGGACCCCGGGCCCACCCCCUAAACCAUGGGCUAUAGCACAACAAUUUGGCCCGAAAAUGCCCCGUUCACGCUGUUUUGACUGUUUUUCCACCCAAAUGGCCAUGAAAAUUUAAAUACACCAUACUGGGAUGAUCCCCAACCUCCCUAGCAAGCCCCGAUCGAUUUUUGGCCCACAGCAUGCCCAGACCAUGGGCCCACUCCCUAAAUCGUGGGUUCUAGCACACCUAUUUACCCCAAAAAUGGCUCGUUCGCGCUGUUUUGCCCAUUUGUCCACCCAAAUAGCCAUGAAAAAAUAAAUGGACCACAAUGGGUUGAUCCCCAACCUCCCUAGUAUAUCCCGAUCAAUUUUUGACCCAUAGGACACUCAGACCCCAGGCCCACUAUCGAAACCGUUGGCUAUAGCACACUAGUUUGGGUUGAAAAUGCCCUGUUUGAGCCGUUUCACCCGUUUGUCCACCCAAAUGGCCACAAAAAUUUAAAUGGACCACAAUGGGACAAUCCCCAACAUCCCUGGCAUGACCCGGUCAAUUUUUGACCCAUAACACGCCUGAACCAUGGGCUCACCCCCAAAAUCGUGGGCUAUAGCACACCGAUUUAGCCCGUAAAUGCAUCGUUAGUGCCGUUUCGCCCUUUUGUCCACCCAAAUAGCAAUGAAAAUUUAAACAGAACACAAUGAGAUGAUCCCCAGCCUCCUUGGCAUGCCACGAUCGAUUUUCAACCCAUAGAACGCCCAAACCCAAGGACCACCCCCAAAACAGUGCACUAUAGCACACUAAUUUGGUUCGAGAAUGCCCCAUUCGCGCUAUUUCACCCGUAUGUCAGCCCAAAUAGCCACAAAAAUUUAAACGAACUACACUGGGAUGAUCCCCAACCUCCCUGGGAUGCCCCGGACCCACCCCCUAAAAUAGUUGUCUAUAGCUCACCGAUUUGGACUGACAACUCCCCAUUUGUGCCGUUUCGCCCGUUUGUCCACCCAAAUGGCCACAAAAAUUUAAAUAGACCAUACUGGGAUGAUCCCCAACCCCCCUGGCAUGCCUCUAUCAAUUUUAAACCCACAGCACGGCCGAACCCUGUGCCCACCCUUGAAACCGUAGGCUUUAGCACACCGAUUUGGCUCGAAAAUGCCCCGAUCGUGCAGUUUCUCUCGAUUGUCAACCCAAAUAGACACAAAAAUUUAAAUGGUCCAUACUGGGAUAAUCUCCAACCACCCUGGCAUGCCACAAUCAAUUUUUGACCCACAGCACGCCCGGACCCCGGGUCCGCCCCCAAAACAGAGGGCUAUAGUGCACCGAUUUGACCACACUGGGAUGAUCUCCAACCUCCCUGGCACACCCGGAUCAAUUUCGACCCAUAACACGCACGAACCCCAGGCCCACCCCCAAAACCAUGGGCUAUAGCACACCAAUUUGUCCUAAAAAUGAUCCGUUCGCGCCGUUUUGACCGUUUGUCCACUCAAAUGGCCACAAAAAUUUAAAUGGACCACACUGGGAUGAUCCCUAACCUCGCUGGCACACCCCUUCCAAUUUUUGGCGGACAGCAUGCCCCAACUGCGAUUCCACCCCUAAAAUCGCAGGCUUUGGCACACGAAUUUGGCUCGAAAAUGCCUCGUUCACGCCGUUCGCCCAUUUUUCCUCCUAAAUGGCCACAAAAAAUUAAACGAACCACACUAGGAUGAUCCAUUUCUUCCCUGGCAUAUCCCAAUUAUUUUUGGCCCACAGCACACCCGAACCCUGAACCCUCCCCUAAAACCGUAUGCUACAGCACACCGAUUUAGCCCGAAAAUGCUCCAUUCACGCUGUUUUACCCAUUUGUCCACCCAAAUAGCCAACAAAAUUUAAACGGACCAUACUGGGAUGAUCCCCAACCUCCCUGGCAUGACUUGAUUGAUUUUUGGCCCACAGCACACCCGAACCCCGGAUCCAAACCCAAAAUUGUGGGUUGCAGCACACCGAUUUGGCUCGAAAAUGCCCCAUUCACACCAUUUCGCCCGUUUGUUCGCCUGAAUGGCCAGGAAAUUUAAACAAACUACACUGGGAUGAUUCCUGACCUCCCUGGAAUGCCCUGGUCGAUUUUUUCCCCAAAGUAUUCCCAGAACCCGGGCCCACCCCCAAAACCAUAGGCUGUAGCACACCGAUUUAGCUCAAAAAUGCAUCGUUCGCGCCGUUUCACCCAUUUAUCCACCCAAAUGGCAACAAAAAAUUAAAUGGACUACACUGAGAGGAUCCUCAACCUCCCUGGCAUGACCCGAUAGAUUUUUAGCCCACAACACGCCUAAACCCCGAGCCCAUCCCAAAAUCGUGCCCUAGAGCACAUCGAUUUGGCCUGAAAAUGACCCAUUCAUCCGUUUAUCCACCCAACCUCCCUGGCAUCGCCCGAUCGAUUUUCAACCCACAGCAUGCCCGAACCUCGAUCCCAAUGCUAAAACCAUGGGCUAUAACACACUGAUUUAGCCCCAAAAUGCCUCGUUCGCAUUAUUUCGCCCAUUUGUCCACCCAAAUAGCCGCAAAAUUUUUAACAGACCACGCUGUGAUGAUCCCAACUUGCCUGGCAUGCCCCGAUUGAUUUUCAUCCCACAGCACGCCCGGACCCUGUGCCCAUCCCCGAAACCAUAGGCUAUAGCACACUGAUUUGGCUCAAAAAUGCCACGUUCACGCCGUUUUGCCUGCUUGACCUCCCAAAUAGCCAUAAAAAUUUAAACGGACCACACUGGGAUGAGCCCCGAUGUCGUUGGCAUGCCCCGAUCAAUUUUUCGCCUACAGCAUGCCCGAACACCGAGGCCACCUCCCAAAAUCGUGGUCUAUAGAACAUCGAUUUUUCCCAAUACUUCCGCGUUCACGCUGUUUCACCUGUUUGUCCACCCAAAUGGCAACAAAAAUUUAAACGAACCAUACUGGGAUGAUCCCCGACCUCCCUGGCAUGUCUCAAUCAAUUUUUGUCCUACAGAAUGCCCGGACCCGAGCCCACCCCCAAAACCGUCGGCUAUAGCACACUGAUUUGGCUUGAAAAUGCCCUGUUCGAAUUGUUUUGCCCGUUUGUGCUCCCAAAUAGCCAAAAAAAUUUAAGCAGACCACACUGGGAUGAUCCCCGACCUCCUUGGCAUGUCCCAGUCAAUUUUUGGACUACAACACGAUCUAACCCUAUACCCGAUCAAUUUUCGAACCACAACACGCCCGAACCCCAUGCCCACCCCUAAAAUCGUGGGCUAUAGCUCACCAAUUUUGCCCAAAAGUGCCCCGUUCGUGCUGUUACGCCCGUUUGUCCACCCAAAUGGCCACAAAAAUUUAAACGGACCAUACUGGGAUGAUCCCUGACCUCCCUGACAUGCCUCGAUCAAUUUUUGGCCCACAGCACCCCCGGACCCUUGUCCCACCCCCAAAACCGUGGGCUAUAGAAUACCGAUUUAGCUCGAAGAUGCCUCAUUCGCGCCGUUUUGCUCGUUUGUCCACCCAAAUGGCCACGAAAAUUUAAAUGGACCAUACUUAGACUAUCCCCAACCUCCCUGGAAUGCCCAAAUCAAUUUUCGGCCCACGACACGCCUGGACCCCGAGCCCAGCUAUAAAAUCGUGGGCUAUAGCACACCGAUAUGGUCCAAGAAUGUCUUGUUCGCACCAUUUUUCCCAUUUGUCAACCCAAAUGGGCACAAAAUUUUAAACGAACCACAUUAGGACGAUCCCCGACCUCCCUAAAAUGCCCGGACCUCGAGCCCCCUAAAACCAUGGGCUAUAGUACACCGAUUUGGCCCAAAGAUGCCUCGUUCGCAUUAUUUCGCUCGUUUGUUCACCCAAAUGGCAAUGAAAAUUUAAACGGACCAUACUGGGACGAUUCUCGACCUCCCAUGAAUGCCCAAAUCAAUUUUUGGCCCACAGCACGCCUGGACCUUGGGCCCACCCCCAAAACCGUGGGCUAUAGCACAUCGAUAUGGCUAGAAAAUGCCCCGUUCAUACCAUUUUUCCCGUUUACCGACCUAAAUAGCCACGAAAAUUUAAACGGACCACACUAGGACUUUCCCCGACCUCCCUGAAAUGCCCCGAUUAGUUUUUGGCCCAUAACACUACUAUACCUUGGUCCCACCCCCGAAAUCAUGGGCAAUAGCACAUCGAUUUGGCUCAAAAAUACUUCGUUCAUGUCAUUUCGCCCGUUUGUCCACCCAAAUGGCCACAAAUAUUUAAACGGACCACACUGGGAUGAUCCCCAACCUCCUUGGCUCUCCCCAAUUGAUUUUGGGCUCACAACACACCUAGACCCCGAGCUCGCCCCUCCUACCCCAAAGUCGCGGUCUAUUGCACACCGAUUUGUUCUGAAAAUGCCCCAUUCGAGCUGUUUUGCCCGUUUGUCCACCCAAAUCAUCAAAAAAAUUUAAAUGGACAAUACUAGGACGAUCUCCAACCUCCCUGGUAUGCCCCGGUCAAUUUUCAGCCCACAGCAUGCCCGGACCCCAGGACCACCCCUAAAAUCGUGGGCUAUUGCACACUGAUUUGGCCCAAAAGUGCCCCGCUUGUGCUGUUUUGCUUGUUUGUCCACCCAAAUGGCCACAAAAAUUUAAACGGACCACAUUGAAUGAUCCCCAACUUCCCUGGCACACCUCGGUUAGUUUUUAGCCCACAGCACAUUGGACCCCAGGCCUACCCAAGAAACCGUGGGCUAUAGCACACUGAUUUUGGCCCGAAAUUGCCUCAUUUACGCCAUUUCGCCCGUUUGUAGACCCAAAUGGCCACAAAAAUUUAAACGGACCACAAUGGGAUAAUCCGCAACCUCCCUGGCAUGGCUCGGCCGAUUUUCAGCCCACAACACACCCAGACCCCGAGCCCACCCCCAAAACUGUGGGCUAUAGCUAACCGAUUUGUCCAAAAAAUACCCCGUUCGUGCCGUUUUGCCCGUUUGUCAACCCAAAUGGCCACAAAAAUUUAAACAGACCACAUUUAGAUGAUCCCCAACCUCCCUGUCAUGCACCAGUCAAUUUUUGUCCCACAGCACGCUCGGACCCCAGGCCCACCCCCUAAAUUGUGGUCUAGUACAUUGAUUUGGCUCGAAAAUGCCUCAUUCGUCCAGUUUCGCCCGUUUGUCCAUCCAAAUGGCCAUAAAAAUUUAAACGGACCAUACUGGAAUGAUCCCUAACCUCCCUGGCAUGCCCAAUUUUUUUUUCAAGCCACAGCAUGCCCGAAUCCCAGGCCCUCACCCGAAACCGUGGGCUAUAGCACACCGAUUUGGCGAAAAAAUGCCCCAUUCACACCGUUUCACUCAUUUGUUCACCCAAAUGGACACAAAAGUUUAAAUGAACCACACAGGGACGAUCCCCAACCUCCCUAGCAUACCCCGAUUGAUUUUUCAAAUCACACCACGCCCAGCCCCCCUUAAAAUCGUUGGCUACAGCCUACCGAUUUGGCUCAAAAAAGCAUCGUUUGCACUAUUUUACAUGUUUCUCCACCCAAAUAGCACGAAAAUUUUAACAGACCACACUGGGACAAUCCCUAACCUCCCUGGCAUGCCCCGAUUGAUUUUUGUCCCACAGUACAUCGGACCCCGAGCCCACCCUCAAAAUCAUGGGCUAUAGUACACUGAUUUGGCCUGAAAACGGUCCACACUAAGAUGGUCCCCAACUUCCCUAGCAUGCCCCGAUCAAUUUUUAGCCUAUAACACACCUGAACCCCAGGCCCACUCCCAAAACCGUGGGCUAUAGCACACCAAUUUAGCUAAAAAAAUGCCCCGUUUACAUCCGUUCGCUCGUUUGUCCACCCAAAAGGCCAUAAAAAUUUAAAUGGACCACACUGGGAAAUUCCCCAACCUCCUAGGCAUGCUCCGGUCAAUUUUUCUCCCACAGCAUGCCAGAACCACCCUCAAAACCAUGGGCUAUAAGCACAACGAUUUGGCCCAAAAAUGCCCCGUUCAUGCUGUUUUUCCCUUUUGUACACCCAAAUAGCCAUAAAAAUUUAAACUGACCAUACUGGGUUAAUCCCAAGCCUCGCUGGCAUGCCCCGGUUGAUUUUAGGCCCAUAGCACGCCUAAACCCCUCGUCCACCCCUAAAACCGUGGGCUGUAGCACACUGAUUUGUCUGAAAAAUGCCUCGUUCGCGCUGUUUCGCCCGUUUGUCCACCCAAGUGGCCACCAAAAUUAAAUGGACCACACUGGGACAAUCACCAGCCUCUCUGGUAUGCCCCAGAUGAUUUUCAACCCACAGCAUGCCCGGACCCCGGGCUUACCCCCAAAACCAUGGGCAUAGCACACCCAUUUGGCCCAAAAAUGCCUUGUUUGCGCUGUUUCGCCCGUUUGUCCUCCCAAAUCGACAUAAAAAUUUAAAUGGCCCAUACUGGGAUGAUCCUCGAUUUCCUUGGCAUGACCUGGUCAAUUUUUGGCCCACAGCACGCCCGAACCCCAUGCCCACCCCAAAAUCGUGGGUUAUAGCACACCAAUUUGGUCCAAAAAUACCCGAUUCAUGCCGUUUUGCUCGUUUAUCCACCCAAAUGGCCAUCAAAAUUUAAAUGGAUCACACUGGGACGAUCCUAACCUUCCUGGAAUGCCCCAAUCUAUUUUUAUCCCACAACACACUCGGAUCCCCGCCCCACCCCCAAAACAGUGGGUUAUAGCACACCGAUUUGGCCAGAAAAUGCCCCAUUCGCGUCGUUUCACCCGUUUGGGCACCCAAAUGGCCACAAAAAAUUAAACGGACCAAAUUAGGAUGAUCCCCAACCUCCCUGGCUCGCUUCGAUCGAUUUUUGACCUACAGCAUGCUCGAACCCUGGGCCGACCCCCGAAACCGUGGGCUAUAGCACACCAAUUUAGCCUGAAAAUGCCCCAUUCGUACCGUUUCGCCCAUUUGUCUACCCACAUGGCCACGAAAAUUUAAACGAACCACACUGGGAUGAUCCCUAGCCUCCCUGUCAUACCUCGAAUGAAUUUUAGACUACAGCACACCCGAAUCCUGGGACCACCCCCAAAAUCAAGGGCUAUAGCACACCGAUUUAUCACGAAAAUGCCCCGUUCACGUUAUUUCACUUGUUUGUCCACCCAAAUGGCCAUAAAAAUUUAAACGGACCAUAAUGGGAUGAUCCCAAAUCCCCUGGCAUGUCCAGGUUGAAUUUUGACCCACAGCACGCUCAGACCCCGAGCCCACCCCCGAAACCAUGAGCUAUAGCACACCUAUUUGGGUCAAAAUGCCUCAAUCGCACCAUUUUGCCCGUUUGUCCACCAAAAUGGCCACAAAAAUUUAAACGGACCAUAUUGGGAUGAUAUCCAACAUCCCUGGCAUGUCUCGGUCAAUUUUUGGCCCACAGCAUAACUGGACCCCGGGCUCAUCCCCAAAAGCAUGGGCAUAGCACACCGAUUUAGCCCAAAAAUGCCUUGUUCGCAUUGUUUCGCUCGUUUGUCCUCCCAAAUAGCCAUGAAAAUUUAAAUGGACCAUAUUAAGAAGAUCCCCAACCUCCCUGGCAUGCCUAGGUUGAUUUUUGGCCCACAAUAUGCUCGGACCUUGUGCCACCCCAAAAACCGUGGGCUAAAGCACACUGAAUUGGCCCAAAAUGCCCCAUUUGCGCUGUUUUGCCCGUUUGUCCACCCAAAUGGCCACAAAAUUUAAACGAACCAUACUGGGACAAUCCCUAACCUUCCUGGUACAGCUUGAUCAAUUUUUGGCCUACACUACGCCUGAAUCUUGGGCCCACCCUCAAAAUUGUGGGCUAUAGCACUUCGAUUUUACCUAAAAACACCCAAUUCGCGUUGUUUCGCCUCUUUAUCCACCCAAAUGGCCACGAAAAUUUAAAUAGACGACACUGGGAUGAUCCCCAAACUCCUUGGGACGCCCCGAUCAAAUUUUAGCCUGCAACAAGCCUAGAUCUUGAUCCAACCCCAAAAAUCAUAGGCAAUAGCACACAGAUUUGGCCCAAAAAUGCCUCGUUCAAACGAUUUUCCCCGUUUGUCCACCCAAAUGGCCAGGAAAAUUUAAACAGACCAAACUGGGACAAACCCCAGCCUCCCUGGCAUGCCCCGAUUAAUAUUUGGCCCACAGAACGCCCGGACCCCAUGCCUACCCCUAAAAUUGUGGACUACAGCACACCGAUUUGGGCCGAAAAUGCCCCAUUCGCACCGUUUCGCCCGUUUAUCUAACCAAAGGCCACAAAAAUUUAAACGGACAACACUACGAUGAUCCCCAACUGCCUAGGCAUGCCCUAAUCAAUUUUUGGCCCAUAACACGCCCAGAUCUGGAGCCCACCUCCAAAAUCGUAGGCUAUAGCACACCGAUUUGGCUUAAAAAUACCUGUUCGCACCGUUUUGCCCGUUUGUCCACCCAAAUGGCCACAAAAAUUUAAACGGACCAUACUGGGAUGAUCCUAAACAUCCCUCGCAUGUCUUGGUCAAUUUUUGGCCCACAGAACGCCUGGGUCCACCCCCAAAACCGUGCGCUAUAGCAUACCAAUUUCGCCUAAACAUGUUCCGUUCACGCCGUUUCGCCCGUUUGUCUACCCAAAUUGCUGCAAAAAUUUAAACAGACCACAUUGGGAUGAUUCCUAACUUCGCUGGCAUGCCCCGAUCAAUUUUCAGCCCCAGCACGCCCAGACCCCGGGCCCACCCCUAAAAACGUGGGCUAUAUAGCACACCGAUUUGGCUUGAAAAUGCCCCAUUCCCGCAGUUUCACCCGUUUGUCCACCCAAAUGAUCAUGAGAAUUUAAAUGGACCAUACUGGGAUGAUCCCCAACCUUCCAGGCAUGCCCCAAUCGAUUUUCGACCUACAGCACGCUCGGCCCCCAAGCCCACCUCCGAAACCGUGGGAUAUAGCACACCGAUUUGGCCUAAAAAUGCCCCAUUCGCGCCCUUUCUCCCGUUUAUCCUCCUAAAUUGUCACAAAAAUAUAAACGGACUACACUGGGAAAAUUCUCAACUUCCCUGGCAUACCCCGAUCGAUUUUCGGACCACAUCUCGCCCGAACCUCUGCCCCCCAAAACCAUGGGCUAUAGCAUACUGAUUUAGCCUAAAAAUACCCUGUUUAUGCUGUUUCGCCUAUUUAUCUACCCAAAUGGCCACAAAAAUUUAAACGAACCAUACUGGGAUGACCCGCAACCUCUCUAGCAUGCCCCGGUCAAUUUUUCGCCCACAGUACAACUGUGGGCUAUAGUGAUACAAGGAUAAUCCCAAACAUGAAUUUAUGAGAGUGCAUGUUGGAUCCGAGACUUGGUGUGUUCAAUUGAAGAGCCAAAGAUGACCUAAUUAUGCACCCAAAAUAGUCCAAACACUACACUUAGGCUACACUUGAUGGGAACCCAUCACUUAAGGGCCUUUUGGUUAUUUUUAGCUUUCAUUUUGUAAUAACUAUAUAAGUAACAUGCUAGGGCUUCCAUUAGGAGUUUUUGGGGGAUAUUAUUGUAAGUCUUGUAAGACUUGAAACACCAUAAUUAGGGCUUGACUAGUGAUUGUGUUUGCUUGGAAACAUUGAUGCUUAGGAGGUGAAAUCCAAACUUUUAUCUUUGUAAGAGAUAGAUUUAUGUGUGGUGUUAAGGGUCCAAGAUUGUCCAUUCUUGGGUUCUUAAGAUUAUACUUUUAUGUGGUCUAUCUAUCUAUAAUUUUACCUUCAUGUAAUCUUGUUUAUUGUUGUGUUGUAAUCUUGUGUUCUUGUUGUUAUUGUUAAAUUCGAAUCUUGUGUCUUCUUGUUCAUCAUAUAUUGUGGUUAAUCUUAGUUUGGACUGCUGAUUUGGUGUCAAAUACACCACUAUAUCUUGUAAUCUUAUUGUUGGUAAUGAAUCCGAGAGUGGUUUCCAUCUUGGUCCUCGAAUUCUUAAUAUUUGUAGACUGAUUUUGAGUGUUUUUCGUGCCUUCCUUGUUAGUCUUGUAUCAUAAAGUACACCAAUUUGGCCCAAAAAUGCCCCAUUCGCGCCGUUUCGCCCGUUUUGUCCACUCAAAUGGCCACGAAAAUUUAAACAGACCAUAAUAGGAUAAUCCCCAACCUCCUUGGAAUACCUCAAUCGAUUUUCGACACACAGCACACCCGGACCCCUGGCCCACCCCCAAAAUCAUGGGCUAUAGCACACCGAUUUGGCCCAAAAAUGCCACAUUCGCAUCGUUUCGCUCGUUUGAAGACUCAAAUGGCCACAAAAAUUUAAACAGACCAUACUGGGAUGAUCCCCAACCUCCUUGGUAUGCCUCGAUUGAUUUUCGGCCCACAGCAUGCCCGAACCCCUAGCCCACCCCCAAAACCAUAGGCUAAAGCACACCGAUUUGGCUAAAAAAUGCCCCGUUCGUGCUAUUUCGCCCGUUUGUCCACCCAAAUGACCGCAAAAAUUUAAAUGGACCACACAGGGAUGAUCCCCAGCCUCCUUGGCACACCCCGGUCGAUUUUCAGCACAUAGCAUGCCCGGACCCAGGGCCCACCCCAAAAACCGUGGGCUAUAGCACACCGAUUUGGCCCAAAAUGCCUCAUUAGCACCGUUUCGCCUGUUUGUCCACUCAAAUGGCCAUGAAAAUUUAAAUAGAACAUACUGGGAUGAUCCCCAACCUCCUUGGCAGACCCCGAUCGAUUUUUGGCCCACAGCAUGCCCGGACCCCUGGCCCACCCCAAAAAUCAUAGGCUAUAACACACCAAUUUGGCCUAAAAAUGCCACAUUCACGUUGUUUUGCCCGUUUGAAGACUCAAAUGGCCAUAAAAAUUUAAACGGACCAUACUGUAAUGAUCCCCAACCUCUUUGGAAUGCCCUGGUCGAUUUUCGGCCCACAGCACGCCCGGACCCCUGGCCCACCCCCAAAACCGUGGGCUAGAGCACACCAAUUUGGCUCAAAAAUGCCUCGUUCGCGCAGUUUCGCCCGUUUGUCAACCCAAAUGGCCACGAAACUUUAAACGGACCACACAAGGAUGAUCCCCAGCUUCCCAGGCACACCCCAAUAAAUUUUCAGCACACAGCAUGCCUGGACCCUGGGCCCACCCCUAAAACUGUGGGCUAUAGCACACCGAUUUUGCCCAAAAAUGCCCUGUUCGCGUCAUUUCGCCAGUUUGUCCACCCAAAUGGCCAUGAAAAUUUAAAUAGACUGUACUAAGAUGAUCCCCAACCUCCCUGGCAUGCCCAUCCAAUUUUAGGCCCACAACACGCUCGUACCCCAGGCCCACACCCAAAAUCGUAGGCUAUAGCACAUCGAUUCAGCCCGAAAAGGAUCUGUUCACCCCGCUUUGCUCGUUUGUACAUCCAAUUGGCCAUAAAAAUUUAAACGAACCAUACUAGGAUGAUCCCUAACCUUCCUGGCAUGCCCCGGUCAAUUUUUAACCUACAGCAAGCUCGGGCCCUAGGCCCAUCCCUAAAACUGUUGGCUAUAGAACACCAAUUUGGCCCUAAAAUGCCCCGUUCCCAUCGUUUUGCCUGUUUGUCUACCCAAAUAGCCACAAAAAAUUAAACGGAACAAAUUGAGACGAUCCCCAACCUCUCUUUCAUGCCCCAAUUGAUUUUCGGCCCACAGCACGCUCGGACCCCAGGCACACCCCCGAAACCAUAAGAUAUAGCACUAUGAUUUGGCCCAAAAAUGUCCCGUUCAUGCUGUUUUGCCCGUUUGUCAUCCCAAAUGGCCACGAAAAUUUAAACGGACCAUACUGGAAUGAUCCUCAACCUCCCUAUCAUGCCCUUGUUGAUUUUCGGCCCACAGCACGUCCGGAUCCUGGGCUCACCCCCAAAACCGUGGGCUAUAGCACACCUAUUUGGCCCGAAAAUGCCCCGUUCAUGCUAUUUUGCUUGUUUGUCCACCUAAAUGGUCACGAAAAUUUAAAUAGACCACAUUCGGAUGAUCCCCAGCCCUCCUGACAUGCCCUGGUCAAUUUUUAGCCUACAGUAAGCACGAACCUCGGGUCCACUCCUGAAACCGUGGGCUAUAGCACACCGAUUUAUCUUGAAAAUGCCUCGUUUGCGCUGUUUCGCCCUUUGUUCACCCAAAUGGCCACGAAAAUUUAAACGGACACACUGGAAUGAUCCCCAACCUCCCUGGCAUGCCCCGGUCGAUUUUAGGCCUAUAGUACGCCCAGACCCCAGGGCCUCCCCCAAAACUGUGGGCUAUAGGACACCAAUUUGGACCAAAAAUUUCCCGUUCACGCUGUUUCGCCUGUUUGUCCACCCAAAUGGCCACGAAAAUUAAAAUGAACCAUACUGGGAUGAUCCCAAACCUCUCUGGCAUGCCCUGGUUGAUUUUUAUCACACAGCACGCUCGGACCCCAGGCCCUUCCCCAAAAUCGUAGGCUAUAGCACCCCGAUUUAGCCCAAAAAUGCCCCAUUUUACCCGUUUGUCCACUCACAUGGCAACAAAAAUUUAAACAAACCAUACUGGGAUGAUUCCCAACCUCCCUGAUACACCUCGAUCGAUAUUCAUCCUACAUCAUGCUCGAACCCCGAGCCCACCUCCGUUCGUGCCGUUUCGUCCGUUUGUUCACCCAAAUGACCAUGAAAUUUUAAACGGACCAAACUGGGAUGAUCGCAACCUUCUUGGGAUACCCCGAUUUAAUUUUUAGCCCACAGCAUGCCCGAACCCCGGGACCACCCCAGAAACUGUGGGCUAUAGCACACCGAUUUGGCCCAAAAAUGCCCCGUUCGUGCUGUUUUGCUCGUUUGUCGACCCAUAUAGCCACAAAAAUUUAUACAGGCCACACUGGGAUGAUCCCCAACCUCUUUGGCAUGCCUCGAUCAAUUUUUGUCUCAAACUACACCCGAACCCCAGGCCCACCUCCGAAAUCAUGGGCUUAGCAUACUGAUUAGGCCAAAAAAUGCCCCGUUUGCACCGUUUUGUCUGUUUGUCCAUCCAAAUAGCCAUAAAAAUUUAAACGGACCACACUGGGAUGAUCCCCAACCUCUCUAGCAUACCUCGGUUGAUUUUUAGCCCACAGCACACUCAGACCUCGAGCCCACACCCAGAACUGUGAGUUAUAGCACAUCGAUUUGUCCUAAAAAUGCUCCGUUCAUGCUGUUUCGCCCGCUUGUCCACCCAAAUGUGCACAAAAAUUUAAAUGGACCACACUAAGAAGAUCCCCAACCUCACUGGCAUGACCCGAUCGAAUUUAGGCCCACAGCACGCCCGGACCCCUGGCACACCCCCAAAACCAAGGGCUAUAGAACACUGAUUUGGCCUGCAAAUGCCCCGUUCAUAUCGUUUGGUCCAUUUGUCCACCCAAAUGGCUACAAAAAUUCAAAUCGACCAUACUGGGAUGAUCCACAACCUCCCAGACAUGGCUCGGUCGAUUUUAGGCCCCAAGCACGCUCGGACCACCAGCCCACCCCCAAAAUCGUGGGCUAUAACACACCGAUUUGGUAUAAAAAUGCCCCAUUUUGCCCGUUUGUCCACUCAAAUGGCCACAAAAAUUUAAACAAACCACACUAGGAUUAUUCCCAACCUUCUUGGCAUGCCCUUAUUGAUUUUUGGCUCACAUCAUGCUUGGACCCCGAGACCAACCCAAAACCGUGGGCUAUAGCACACCUAUUUGGUUCGAAAAUGCCCUGUUCGCGGCGUGUCGCCCAUUUUUCCACCCAAAUGGCCACAAAUAUUUAAAUAGACCACACUGGGACGAUCCCCAACCGCCCUGGCAUGCCCGGGUCGAUUGUUAACCAACAUACGCCCGAACCCCGGAUCCUGAACCCUGGACCCACCCUUAAAAUAGUGGGCUAUAGCACACCGAUUUGGCCUGAAAAUGCCCCGUUCGUGCUUUUUCGACCGUUUAUCCACCUAAAUGGCCACGUAAAUUUAAACGGACCAUAUUGGAAUGAUCCCCAACCUCCUCGGCACUCCCCGGUCAAUUUUUAGCCUACAGCACGCCCGAAACUGGGCCCAUCCACGUAAUCGUGGUCUAUAGCACACCGAUUUGGCCCGAAAGUGCUCCAUUCGUGCCGUUUCACCCAUUUGUCCACCCAAAUAGCUAUGAAAAUAUAAACGGACCACACUAGGAUGAUCCCCAAUCUCUCUUGGAUGCACCGGUCAAUUUUUAGCCCAAAGCACACUCGAACCUCGGGCCCACCCUCGAAACCGUGGUCUACAGCUCACCGAUUUGACCUAAAAAUUCCCCGUUCAUGCUGUUUCGCUCGUUUGUCCAUCCAGAUGGCCACAAAAAUUUAAACUGACCACACUGAGAUAAUCCCCAACCUCCCUUGCACGCCCCGAUCGAUUUUUGGCCCACAACACGCUUGACCCAGGGCACACCACCAAAACCGUGGGUUAUAGCACACCGAUUUGGCCCAAAAAUGCCCCUUCGCACUGUUUCACCAAUUUUUCCACCUAAAUGGCCAUGAAAAUUUAAAUGAACCGCACUGGGACAAUCCCCAACCUCCCUGGAAUGCCUCAGUUUGGCCCAAAAAUGCCCCGUUCGCAUCGUUUUGCCCGUUUGUCCUCCCAAAUGGCCACAAAAAUUUAAGCACACCUCACUAGAAUGAUCCCUAACCACCCUUGCACGCCUCGGUUGAUUUUUUGGCCCACAGUACGCCUGGACCCCAGGCCCACCCCCGAAACCAUGGGCUAUAUGAUAUGAGACAACCCAAGGAGCUCACAAAAUGAUACCAAAAUAGUCCACUCAACAAGGCACAAACAGAGGACCCUUUGAGAGCUAGUUUCGGCCAAGAACAAGAAUACGAGUUUCACAAGUUAACAAGGUAUUGGUGACACCAAAAUCAGCCAACCAAUCUAAGUUACAACACAAUCUAAUGAACAAUGAAGAACAAUGACAAUGUUAUAACAAAACAACACCACACGGCUUACAACACAAGAUUCAAACUACUACAAGAUGGAAACAAACAAAAGGAUAGAUAGUUAGACAAAGGUGGUGUAAAUCCAAGUAACCAAAGAGUACAUAAAACUCUAAGACCCCUAACACCUCCACACACGAUCACCUAACUCUUACGAUGACACAAGAGAUGAUUCCACCACUCAAGCGCCAAGGUUUCUCAAAAACAAACAAUUACAAGUGAUUCCACCCUUGAAUUGCUAUCCUAGUAACAAAUUUCAAUUCGCCUCGAGAGAGGACUUUGGUGUUUCAAAUGUCAAGACUUACAGCAAUAAUCAACUAAUCCUCAAAAGACCUAUCUUGUUCUAUUUAUAUUACAUAACAAUUUAGACUUAAAAUAACAAAAGUGCCCCUUUAAUGAAAAGCCUUCAAAGGCCACCCCUCUAGUGUUGCAAAUAAAAAAAUGGGAGGCAUUGGGUGUGUCUUUGGUCCAUCUCACAUCUCAAUUUUGAACUUCCUAGGAUGAUAAUUUGCUAAACUUGUACACACGUUGAUCUUCAUAGUCGCACUUGUAUCACUAUAGCACACCGAUUUGGCAAAACAAUGUCCCGUUCGAGCAGUUUUGCCAGUUUGUCCACCCAAAUGGCCACGAAAAUUUAAACGGACCACACUGGGAUGAUCCCCAACCUCCAUGGUACACCUCGGCCAAUUUUUGGCCUACAGCAUGCUCGAAUCCCUGGUCCACCCCCAAAACCGUGGGUUAUAGCACACCGAUUUAUCCCAAAAAUGCCCUGUUCAUGCCGUUUUGCUCGUUUGUCCACCAAAUUGCCAUAAAAAUUUAAACAGACAACACUGGGAAGAUUCCCAACCCCUCUGGCAUGACCCAUUCGAUUUUAAGCCCACAGCACGCCUGGACCCUGGGCACCCCCCCAAAUCGUGGGCUAAUUUAAACCAAAAAGGCCUCGUUCACAUCAUUUCGCUCGUUUGUCCACCCAAAUGGCCACAAAAAUUUAAACGGACCACACUGGGAUGAUCCCCAUCCUCUAUGGCAUGCCCCGAUUGAUUUUUGGCCCACAACAUACCCGGACCCCUGGUCCACCCCCUAAAUCUUGGGCUAUAGCAUAUCGAUUUGGCCCGAAAAUGCCCCGUUCUCGCUAUUUCGCCCGUUUGACCAUCCAAAUGGCCAUGAAAAUUUAAAUGGACCAUACUGGGAUGAUCCCCAACCUCCCUGGGAUACCCCAGUCAAUUUUCAGCCAACAACACACCCGUAACCUGGGCCCAUCCCCAAAAUCGUGGCCUAUACCAUACCACUUUGGCUUGAAAAUGCCCCGUUCGUGCCUUUCGCCCAUUUUUCCACCCAAAUGGCAAAAAAAAUUAAACGGAUCACACGAAAAAGAUCCCCAACCUACCUGGCAUACCUCAGUCGAUUUUCGGCCGACAGAACGCCCAAAGCCUAGGUCCACCCCCGAAACCGUGGGCUAUAGCACACCAAUUUAGCCCAAAAAUAUGUCGUUCGCGUCGUUUCACCCGUAUGUCCACCCAAAUGGACAUAAAAAUUUAAAUGGACCACACUGGGAUAAUCCCCAACCACCUUGGCAAACCGCAAUUAGUUUUUGGCCCAUAGCAUGCCUGAAGCCCGGGUCCACCCCUAAAACCGUCGGCUAUAACGUAUCGAUUUGGCCCAAAAGGCCUCGUUUAUGCCGUUUUGCCCAUUUGUCUAUCAAAAUGGCCACAAAAACUGCAACGGACCACACUGGGAUGAUCCCCAACCUUACUGGCAUGCCCCCAUCAAUUUUUGGCCCACAGCACACCUGGACCUCAGGCCCACCCCCGAAAUCGUGGGCUAUAGCACAUCGAUUUGGCCCAAAAAUACCCAGUUUGUGCUGUUUCGCCCGUUUGUCCACCCGAUUGGCCACAGAAAUUUAAAAGUACCACACUGGGAAGAUAUCCAACCUCCUUGGUAUGCCUUGAUUGAUUUUCGGCCCUCAGAACGGCCGGACCCUAGGCCUUCUCUCAAAAUCAUGCACUGCACAUUGAUUUUGCCCGAAAAUGCCCUGUUUGCGCUGUUUCGACCCUUUAACCACCCAAAUGGCCACAAAAAUUUAAAUGGACCACACUAGGAUGAUUACCAACCUCCCUGGUAUGCCCAGGUUAAUUUUUGGCCCCGACAUGCCCACACCACUGGCUCACCCCAAAACUGUGGGCUAUAGCACACUGAUUUGGCCCGAAAAUACCCCAUUCACUUUGUUUCACCCAUUUGUCCACCUAAAUGUCCACUAAAAUUUAUACGGACCAUAUUAAGAUAAUCCCUAACCUCCCUGGCAUGCCUCAGUCAAUUUUUGGCUCACAGUAUGCUCGGACCCUGAGUCCACCCCCAAAACUGUGGCUAUAGCACACUGAUUUAGCUCGAAAAUGCCCCGUUCGCGCUAAUUCGCUCGUUUGUCAAACCAAAUGGCCACAAAUAUUUAAACGAACCAUAAUAGGAUGAUUCCCAACAUCCUUGGCAUGCCCCGGUCGAUUAUCAGCCCACAACACGCCCGGACCUCAGGCCCACCCCCAAAACUAUGGGCUAUAGCACACCGAUUUAGCCCAAAAAUGCCCUGUUCGUGCUGUUUCGCCCGUUUGUCCACCUAAAUAACCAUGAAAAUUUAAAAGGACCACACUUGGAUAAUCCCAAACCUCCCUGGCAUACCCCGGUCAAUUUUCAGCCUAUAUUACGCUCGGACCUCAGGCCCACCCCCGAAACCAUGAGCGCUAGCACACCGACUUAGCCCAAAAAUGCCCCGUUUGCGCCAUUUCUCCCGUUUGUCCACCCAAAUGAAAAUUUAAACGAACCACACUAGAAUAAUACCCAACCUCCCUGGCAUUCCUUGGUCGAUUUUUGACCUACAGCACGCCCGGACCCCAGGCCCACCCCCGAAACAGUGGGCUAUAACACAUCAAUUUGGCCUGAAAAUGCUUCGUUUGCGCCGUUUCACCUGUUUAUCCACCCAAAUGGCCACAAAAAUUUAAAUGGAUCAUAUUGGGAUGAUCCCCAACCUUCUUGGCAGAUCGAGGUUGAUUUUUCGCCCACUGCACGCUCGUAGCCCAGGCCCACCCCCAACACCGUGGGCAGUAGCACACCUAUUUGGUCCAAAAAUGCCCCGUUCGCUGUUUCGCCAGUUUUUACACCUAAAUGGCCAUGAAAAUUUAAAUAGACCACACUGGAAGGAUUCCCAACCUCUAUGGCAUGCCUCGAUUAAUUUUCGGCCAACAACACACCAAGACCCGGGGCCACACCGAAAUCGAGGGCUAUAGCACACCGAUUUGGCCCAAAAAUGCCCAAUUCGUGUUGUUUCACCCGUUACUCCAUGGAAAAGGCUACAAAAACUUAAACGGACCAUACUGAGAAGAUACCCAAUCUCUCUGGCACGCCUUGGUCGAUUUUUGGCCGACAGAACUCCUAAACCCCAGGCCCACCCCCAAAACUGUGGGCUGUAGCACAUAAUAAUUUGGCACAAAAAUGCCCUGUUCGCGUCGUUUCGCCUGUAUGCCCACCCAAAUGGCCACAAAAAUUUAAAUGGACUACAAUGGGAUGAUCCCCAACCUGCCUGUCUUGCCCCGAUCAAUUUUUUUCUUACAGCACGCUCGGACCCUAGGCCUUCUCCUCCCUCCCAAAAUCGUGGUUUAUAGCACACCGAUUUGGCCCGAAAAGCUCCAUUUGCACCAUUUCUCCACCCAAAUGGCCACAAAAACUUAAACGAACCACACAAGGAUGAUCCUUCAUCUACCUACCACUCCCCGGUCGAUUUUUGGCCCAUAGCACAUUGUACCCUGAGCCCACCCUCAAAAUUGUGGGCUAUAAUACACUAAUUUAGCCCGAAAAUGCCCCAUUUGUGUUGUUUCACCCCUUUGUCCACCCAAAUGGCCACUAAAAUUUGAACGGACCACACUUGGACGAUCCCAAACAUCCAUGGCAUACCCUAAUUGAUAUUUGGCCUGCAACACGCCUGGAUCCCGGGCCCAUACCCAAAACCAUAAGCAAUAGCACACCAAUUUGGCCUGAAAUUUCCCUAUUUCAUGUUGUUUUGCCUGUUUGUCUACCUAAUUGGCCACAAAUAUUUAAACGGACCAUACUGGUACAAUCCCCAACCUCCCUAGCAUGUCCCGAUUAAUUUUUGGCCCACAGUACGAUCGAACCUGGGCCCACCCUCGAAAUCAUGGGCUAUAGCACACCGAUUUGGCCUAAAACUGCCUAGUUUGCGCCGUUUCGCCUGAGUAUCCAUGCAAAAGGCCACAAAAAUUUAAACGGACUACACAGGGUUGAUCCCAAGCCUUCCUGGCAUGCCCCAAUUUAUAUUUGACCUACAAUAUACCCUGACCCUGGGCCCACCCAUGAAACCGUGCGCUAUAGCACACCAAUUUUGCCUGAAAAUACCCCCUUCGCGCCGUUUCAUCUGUUUGUCCAUGUAAAGAGCCACAGAAAUUUGAAUGGAAUACACUGAGAUGAUCCCUAACCUCCCUGGCAUACCCUGGUCAAUUUUAGGCCCACACCACUCCUAGAACCAGGGCCCACCCUCGAAAUCGUAGACUAUAGCACACAAAUUUAGCCCGAAAAUGCCCCAUUCAUGCCGUUUCUACCAUUUCUCCACCCAAAUAGCCACGGAAAUUUUAAUGGACCACACUGGGAUGAUCUCUGACUUCCCUUGCAUACCCUAGUCGAUUUUUAACCCAUAGAACGCCCGAAACCCGCAUCGACCCCCAAAACCGUGGGCUAUAGCACACCAAUUUGGCCCGUAAAUGCCCAGUUCGCACCGUUUUGUCUGUUUAUCCACCCAAAUGGCCACAAAAAUUUAAGCGGACCAUACUGGUAUGAUCCCCAGCCUCCCUGGCAUGUACCGAUCAAUUUUCGACCCACAGUAUGCCCGGACCCCGGGCUCACCCCCAAAAUCAUGGGCAUAGCACACCGAUUUGGCCCGAAAAUGCCUUGUUUGCGCUGUUUUGCUCGUUUGUCCUCCCAAAAGGCCAAUAAAAUUUAAAUGGACUAUAUUGGGAUAAUCCCUAACUUCCCUGGCAUGCCCUAGUCAAUUUUUUGCCCAUGCCCACCCCUAAAAUCGUGGGCUAUAGCACAUCGAUUUAGCCCAAAAAUGCCCCGUUCGAGACGUUUUGCCCAUUUAUCCACCCAAAUGGCUAAGAAAAUUUAAUAGGACCACACUGGGAUAAUCCCAACCUCCCUGGCAUGGCCCGACCUAUUUUUGGCCCACAGCACACUCGAAUCCCCGCCCCACCCCAAAAAUAGUGGGUUAUAACAUACCGAUUUGGCCAGAAAAUGCCCCAUUCACGCCGUUUCGCCCGUUGUCCACCCAAAUGGCCACAAAAAUUUAAACGGACCAUAUUGGGAUGAUCCCUAACCUUCCUAUCUCACUCCAAUCAAUUUUUAACCCACAGCACGCCUGAACCCCGGGCCCACCCCCGAAACCGUGGUCUAUAGCACACCAAUUUAGUCUAAAAAUGCCCCGUUCGCUCUGUUUCUCCACCCACAUAGCCACAAAUAUUUAAACGGACCACAAUGGGAUGAUCCCCAGCCUCUCUGGCAUUCCCUGGUCGAUUUUUGACCAAUAGCAUGCACGGAUCCUGGGCCCACCCACGAAAUCAUGGGAUAUAAAACACCAAUUUGUCACGAAAAUGCCCCAUUGGUGCUAUUUUGCCUGUUUGUCCACCCAAAUGGCAACGAAAAUUUAAACGGACCAUACUGGGAUGAUCCCCAACCACCCUGGCACGCCCAGGUUGAUUUUUAGCCCACAACACGCUUAGACCCCGGGCCCACCCCUGAAACCGUGAGCUAUAGCACAUCGAUUUAGCCCAAAAAUGCCCCGUUUGCGCUGGUUCAUCCAUUUGUCCACCCAAAUAGCCACGAAAAUUUAAAUGGACCACACUGGGAUGAUACCCAACCUCCCUGGCAUGCCCUAGUCGAUUUUCGGCCCACAGAAUGCCCGGACCCCGGGUCCAACCCCAAAACCAUGGGCUAUAGCACAUCGAUUAGGCUCGAAAAUGCCCCGUUCGCGCCGUUUUUCCCUUUUGUCCACCCAAAUUGCUACAAAAAUUUAAACGGACCACACUGGGAUGAUCCCUAGCCUUCCUGGCAUGCCUCGGUCAAUUUUUAACCCACAGCACGCCCGAACCUCGGGCCCACCCUUGAAAUCAUGGGCUUAUAGCACACCUAUUUGGCCUAAAAAUGCCCCAGUCGCAUCGUUUGUCCACCCAAAUGGCCACAAAAAUUUUAAUGGACCAUAUUGGGAUUAUCACCAACCUUCCUGGCAUGUCCCGAUCGAUUUUCGUCCCACAGCACACCCAUACCCCAGGCCCACCCCAAAACCAUGGGCUAUAGCACACUGAUUUGGCCCAAAAAUGCACCGUUCGCGCUAUUUCAUCCGUUUGUCCACCCAAAUAACCAUAAAAAUUUAAAUGGACCAUACAGGGAUGAUCCCCAACAUCCCUGGCAUGCCCCGGUCAAUUUUUAGCGAACAUCACGCCGGACCACAGGCCCAACCCCAAAAUCCUGGGCUAUAGAACACCGAGUUGGCCAAAAAAUGCCCCGUUAGCACUGUUUCACCCAUUUGUCCAACCAAAUGGCCACAUAAAUUUAAACGAACUAUACUGAGAUGAUCCCCAACCUCUUUGGUAUGCCUCAGUCGAUUUUCGGACCGCAGUAUGCCUGGACCCAGUCCCACCCCAAAAUCCAUGGAAGAAUGCUAAUUUGGUCUGAAAAUUCCUCAUUCGCUCCGUUUCGCCCGUUUGUCCACCCAAAUGGCCAAAAAAAUUUAAACGAACCACACUAGGAUAAUCCCUAACUUUCCUGGUAUGCCUCAGUCAAUUUUUGGCCCACAGUACGCUUGAAUCCUGAGCCCACCCUCAAAACUGCGGUCUAUAGCACACCGAUUUGGCCCGAAAAUGCCCAAUUCGUGCUGUUUCGCCCGUUUGUCCACACAAAUGACCAUAAAAAUUUAAACGGACCACACUGGGAUGAUCCCCAACCACCCUGGAAUGCCCUGGUCGAUUAUUCGCCCACAGCACGCCCUGAUCCCGGGUCCACCCCAAAAACCAUGGGCUAUAGCACACCGAUUUGGCCCAAAAUACCCCAUUUGCGUCGUUUCACCCGUUUGUCCAUUGAAAUGGCCAAAAAAAUUUAAACGAACCAUACUGAAAUGAUCCCCAACCUCGCUGUCACACCCCGAUCGAUUUUUGGCCCACAGCACACCUAGACCUCGGGCCCACCACCAAAAUCGUGGGCUAUAGCACAUCCAUUUGGCCUGAAAAUGCUCCGUUCGUGCUGUUUUGCCCGUUUGUCCACCUGAAUGGCCAUGAAAAUUUAAAUGGACCAUACUGAGAAGACCCCCAACUUCCCUGGAAUGCCCUGGUCGGUUUUUGUCCCUCAGAACACUCGGACCCCAGGCCUUUCCUCGAAAUCGUGCGCUGCACACUGAUUUGACCUGAAAAUGCCCCAUUUGUGCCGUUUUGACUGUUUGACCACCCCAAUGGCUAUAAAAUUUUAAACGGACAACACUGGGAACUCCCUGGUAUACCCCGAUCAAUUUUUGGCCCCAGCAUACCCAGACCCCCAGCACACCCCAAAAACUGUGGGCUAUAGCACACCGAUUUGGUCCAAAAAUGUCCCGUUCGCGCCCUUUCGCUCGUUUGCCCAAAUGUGCACAAAAUUUAUACGGAACACACUAGGAUGAUCUCCAACCUCCCUGGCAUGCCCCAAUCGAUUUGUGGCCCAUAGCACGUCAGACCCCAGGCCCACCCUCAAAAUCAUGGCCUAUAGUACCCUAAUUUGGCCCCAAAACGCCCCGUUUGCGUCGUUUCACCCGUUUGUCCACCCAAAUGGCUACAAAAAUUUGAACGGACCAUACGGGGACAAUCCCAAACCUCUAUGGCAUACCCCGGUCAAUCUUCUGCCCACAACACGCCUGUACCCUGGGCCCACACCCAAAAUUGUGAGCAAUAGCACACCGAUUUGGCUCGAAACUGCCCUGUUUUGCGCCGUUUUGCCCGUUUAUCCCCCUAAUUGGCCACAAAAAUUUAAACGGACCACACUGGUAUGAUUUCCAACCUCUCUAGCAUACCUUGGUUAAUUUUUAGCCCACAAAAAGCUCAAACCCUGGGCCCACCCAUGAAACCAUGGGCUAUAGCACACGGAUUUGGCCCAAAAAUGCCCAGUUCUAGCUGUUUCACCCGUUUGUCCAUGCAAAAGGCCACAAAAAUUUAAACGAACCAUACUAGUUUGAUCCCAAGCCUCCUUGGUAUCCACCGGUUGAUUUUUGACCCACAGCAUGCCCUAACCCUGGGCCCACCCCCAGCAUGCCUUGAAAAUGCCCCGUUCACGCUGUUUCAUCUGUUUGUCCACCCAAAUGGCCAUGGAAAUUUAAAUAGACCAUACUGGGAUGACCCCCGACCUCCUUGGCACGCCUUGGUAAAUUUUAGGACCACAGCACAUCCAGAACCCGGGCUCACCCCCAAAACCGUAGGCUAUAGCACACCAAUUUGGCCCAAAAAUGCCCAAUUCACGCUGUUUCGCCCAUUUCUCCACCUAAAUAGCCACAAAAAUUUUAACGGACCACACUGCGAUGAUGCCUGACUUCCCUGACCUACCCUAGUAGAUUUUUGGCCCAUAUCAUGCUUUAAACCCACGUCCACUCCCCAAAAUCGUGGGCUAUAACACACCGAUUUGCCCAAAAAAUGCCCCGUUCACGCCGUUUCGCCUGUUUGUCCAUCCAAAUGGCCACAAAAAUUUAAACGGACCACACUGGGAUGAUCCCCAGCCUACGUAUCGGUUGAUUUUCGACCCACAGCAUGCUCGGACCCCAGGCUCAGCCUCAAAACCACGGGCAUAGCACACCGAUUUGGCCCAAAAAUGACUUUUUCGCGCUGUUUCACUCGUUUGUCCUCCCAAAUGGCCACGAAAAUUUAAAUGGAGCAUACUAGGAUAAUCCCUAACUUCCUUGACAUACCCUGGUCAAUUUUUGGCUCACAGCACGCCCGAACACCAUGGCCACCCCUGAAACCGUGGGCUAUAGCACAUCGAUUUGGCUUGAAAAUGCCCCAUUCGCGAUGUUUUGGCCGUUUAUCCACCAAAAUAGCCAAGAAAAUUUAAACGGACCACACUGGAAUGAUCCCAACCUCCCUGGCAUGCCUUGGUCUAUUUUUGGCCCACAGCACAUGCGGAUCCCCACCCCACCCCCAAAACAGUGGGUUAUAAGAUACCUAUUUGGCCAAAAAAUGCCUCAUUCACAUCGUUUUAUCCGUUGUCCACCCAAAUGGCCACAAAAAUUUAAACAGACCAUAUUGGGAUGAUCCCCAAUCUCCCUAGCAUGCCCCGAUUGAUUUUUGACCAACAGCACGCCCGGACCCCAAGCCCAUCCCCAAAACCGUGGGCUAUAGCAUACCGAUUUUGCCCAAAAAUAUGCGGUUUGAGCUGUUUUGCCAGUUUGUCCACCCAAAUGUCCCCAAAAAUUUAAACGGACCAUACUGGGAUGAUCCCAAACUUCCCUGGAACACCUCAAUAAAUUUUCAAACCACAACACGAUCGAAACCCAGGGCCACCCCCGAAAUCGUAGGCUAUAGCACACCGAUUUGGCCCGAAAAUGCCCCGUUCGCACCAUUUCGCUCGUUUGACUACCUAAAUGGCCACAAAAAUUUAAAUGGACCAUACUAGGAUGAUCCCCAACCUCUUUGGCAUGCCUCGGUUGAUUUUUGGCACACAACACGCCCAGAUCUCGAGCCCACCCCUAAAAUCGUAGGCUAUAGCACAUCGAUUUAGUCCAAAAAUACCCCGUUUCAUAUGUUUGUCCUCCCAAAUGGCCACAAAAAUUUUAAACGGACCACACUGAGACAAUUCCAAACCUCCCUGGCACACCCCGGUCGAUUUUCAGCCCACAACACACCUGGACCGCUGACCCACCUUCAAAAUCGUGGGCUAUAGCACCCAGAUUUGGCCCGAAAAUGCUUUGUUCGUGCCUUUGCCCUUUUGUCCAGCCAAAUAGCCAGAAAAAACUAAAAUGACAACACUGGGAUGAUCCUCAAACUCCCUGGCAUGCUCCAGUCAAUUUUUGACCCACAGCACGCCGGACACUGGCCCACUCCUAAAAUCGUAGGCUAUAGCACACCGAUUUAGCUUGAAAUUGUCCUGUUCAUGCCGUUUCGCCCUUUUGUCCAUCCAAAUGGCCACCAAAAUUAAAUGGACUACACUGGGAUGAUCCCCAACCUUCUUGGCAUGUCCUGGUCAAUUUUUGGCCAACAACAUGCCCGGACCUUAGGCCCGCCCCCAAAAUAGUUGGCUAUAGAACAUCGAUUUGGCCUAAAAAUGCCCCAUUUGCGCCCCGAUCACACUAGAACAAUUCCCAACCUCCCUGUCACUCCCCGAUCAAUGUUUCACCUACAGCACACCCGGACCCCAGGCCCUCCCCCCCAAAACCGUGGGCUAUAGCUCACUGAUUUGGCCCGAAAAUGACCCAAUUGCACUGUUUCGCCCGUUUGUCCACCCAAAUGACCACAAAAAUUUAAACAGAACACACUGGGACUAUCCCCAACCUCUCUGGCAUGCCCAAGUCAAUUUUUGGCCAACAAAACGCCCGAACCCCGAGCCCACCCCCAAAAUCGUGGGCUAUAGCACACCGAUUUUUCCUAAAAAUGCCCCAUUCGCGCCGUCUCUCCCGUUUAUCCAUCCAAAUGGCUAAGAAAAUUUAAAAGGACGCCUCUGGGAUGAUCCUAACCCUUCUUGGUACACCUAGGACGAUUUUUAACAAACAGAACGCCCGAAUCCUAGGCCCUCCCCCGAAAUCAAUGGCUAUAGCAGACUGAUUUGCCUUGAGAAUGCCACAUUCACGCCGUUUCAGUGUUUGUACGCCCGAAUGACCAAAAAAAUUUAAUCGGACCACAAUGGGAUGAUCCCUAACCUCCCUGGCAUGCCAUGGUCGAUUUCAACCCACAGCACGCCCGGACCCUGGGCCCACCCCCAAAACCAUGGGCUAGCACACCGAUUUGGCUCGAAAAUGUGUCUUUCAUGUCGUUUCACCCAUUUGUCCACCCAAAUGUCCCCAAAAAUUUAAACGGACCAUGCUGGGAUGAUCUCCAACCUCCCUGGCACACCUCGAUCGAUUUUUGGCUCACAGCGCGCUAGUACCUCGAGAUCACCACUGAAAUCAUGGGCUAUAGCACACCGAUUUAGUUCAAAAAUGCCUCGUUCGCGCUUUUUGCCUGGUCGUCUACCCAAAUGGCUGCAAAAAUUUAAACAAACCACAUUGGGAUGAUCCCCAACUUUGCUGGAAUGCCCCGAUCAAUUUUUAGCCCCAGCACGCCUGGACCUCGGGCCUACCCACAAAAUCGUGGGCUAUACCACACCGAUUUGGCUCAAAAAUGCCCAGUUCCCGCCGUUUUGCCCUUUUGUCCACCCAAAUAGCUACGAAAAUUUAAACGAACUCCACUGGGAUGAUCCCCAACCUCCCUGGCAUGCCCCGAUUGAUUUUUCGCCCACAGCACGCCCGGACCUCAGGCCCACCACCAAAACCAUGGGAUAUAGCUCACUGAUUAGGCCCAAAAAUGCCCCGAUUGCGCCGUUUCGCCCGUUUGUCUACCCAAAUGGCCGCAAAAAUUUAAAUAAACCACAUUGGUAUGAUCCCCAACUUUACUGGCAAGCCCCGAUCAAUUUUCGGCCCCAGCACGCCUGGACCCCUGUCCCACCCCCAAAAUCAUGGGCUAUACCACACCAAUUUGGCUUGAAAAUGGCCAGUUCUCGUCGUUUUGCCCGUUUGUCCACCCAAAUAGCCACAAAAAUUUAAAUGGACCACACUGGAUGAUCCCUAACCUCCCAGGCAUUCCCUGAUCAAUUUUCGGCCAUAGCAGGAUCGGACCCUGAGCCCACAUUUGAAACCGUGGGCUAUAGUACACUGAUUUGGCUCAAAAAUGUCCCGUUCAGGCCGUUUCUCCCAACCUUCUUGGCAUGCCCUGAUUAAUUUUUAGACCACAACACGCCUGGAUCUCUGGCCCACCCCCAAAACUGUGGGCUAUAACAAACUGAUUUGGCCCGAAAAUGCUCCAUUCACACUGUUUCGCCUGUUUGUCCACCCAAAUAGCAACGAAAAUUUAAACGGACCAUACUAGGAUGAUCUUCAACCUCCCUGGAACACCCCGGUCGAUUUUUGACCCACAGCACACCUGAACCCCGGACCCACCCCCGAAACCUUGGGCUAUAGUACACCAAUUUGUCCUGAAAAUAUCUCAUUCUCUCCAUUUCGCCCGUUUGUCCACUCAAAUUGCCACAAAAAUUUAAACGGGCCUUACUGGACGAUCUCCAACCUCCUUGGCAUGUCCCAAUCUAUUUUUGGUCCACAGCACGCCCGGACCCCUGGCCCACCCCCAAAACUGUGGACUAUAGCUCACCGAUUUAGCCCAAAAAUGCCCCGUUCACGUCGUUUCUCCCAUUUGUCCACUCAAAUGGCUACGAAAAUUUAAACUGACCAUACUGGGAUGAUCCCCAACCUCCCUGGCAUGCCCCGGUCAAUUUUUGGCCCACAGUAUGCCUGGAACCCUGGCCCACCCCCUAAACCGUGGGCUAUAGGACACCAAUUUAGCUCGAAAAUGCCCCGUUCGCGCGGUUUUGCCCGUUUGUCCACCCAAAUGGCCACAAAAAUUUAAACAGACCACACAGGGACGAUCCCCAGCCUCCCUGAAAAGCCCCAGUUGAUUUUCAGUAUAGCAUGCUUGGACCCUGGGCCUACCCCCAAAACCGUAGGCUAUUGCACACCGAUUUGACCAAAAAAUGCCCCGUUAGCGCCAUUUCUCCCGUUUGUCUACCCAGAUGGCCACAAAAAUUUAAACAGACCACACUGGGAUGAUCCCAACCUCCCUGGUAUGCCCUAGUUGAUUUUCGGCCGAUAGCACACCCGUACCCUGGAACCACACCCAAAACCGUGGGCUAUAGCACAUCAAUUUACCCCCAAAAAUGCCACGUUCGCGCCGUUCUGCCCAUUUGUCCACCCAAUUGGCCAAAAAAAUUUAAACGGACCAUACUGGGAUGAUCCCCAAACUUCCCGACAUGCCUCAGUCAAUUUUCAACCUACAGCACGCCCGGACCCUUAGCCCACCCCGGAACCGUAAGCUAUAGCACACCAAUUUGGCCCGAAAAUGCCCCAAAAAAUUAAACGGACCAUAUUGGGACGAUCCCCAACCUCCCUGGCAUGCCCCAGUUAAUUUUUGGCCCACAGCACGCUCGGAUCCCACGCACACCCCUGAAACUGCCGGCUAUAGCACACCGAUUAGGCCCGAAGAUACCCCAUUCGCGCUGUUUUGCACUUUUGUCAACCCAAAUGGCCACAAAAAUUUAAACGGACCAUACUGGGAUGAUCCCAAACCUCCCUAGCAUGCCCCAGUUAAUUUUUGACCCACAGCAUGACUGGAUCCUAGGCUCACCCCCAAAACCGUUGACUAUAACACACCGAUUAAUCCCGAAAAUGCCCCAUUCGUACUGUUUCUCUAAUUUGUCCACCCAAAUGGCCACAAAAAUUUAAACCGACCAUAAUGGGAGGAUCCCCAUUCCCCUAGAAUUUCCUGGUCAAUUUUAACCCACCCUCAAAAUCGAGGGCUAUAGCACACCGUUUAGGCCCGAAGAUACCCCAUUCGCGCUGUUUUGCACUUUUGUCAAUCCAAAUAGCCAUAAAAAUUUAAACGGACCAUAUGUGGGAUGAUCCCGAACCUCCAUAUCAUGCCCCGGUUGAUUUUCGACCCACUGCAUGCCCGGAUCCUAGGCUCACCCCCAAAACCGUAGGCUAUAGCACACCGAUUUAUCCCAAAAAUGCCCCGUUCAUACUAUUUCUCCAAUUUGUCCACCCAAAUGGCCACAAAAAUUUAAACCGACCAUACUGGGAUGAUCCCUACUCCCCUGGCAUUCCCUAUUCAAUUUUACCCCACCCUCAAAACCGUGAGCUAUAGCACAUCGAUUUGGCACGAAAUGCCUCGUUCACGCCGUUUCGAUCGUUUAUUCUCCUAAAUGGCCAAGAAAAUUUAAACGUACCACACUAGGAUGAUCCCCAACCUCCCCGGCAUACCUUAUUCAAUUUUUGGUACACAGCACGCCCAAAACCCUAGCCCAUCCCCGUAACCGUGGGCCAUAGCACAUCGAUUUAGCCCAAAAAAGCCCCGUUCGUGCCGCUUCUCCCGUUUAUCCAUCCAAAUAGCAACAAAAAUUUAAACGAACCACAACGAGACGAUCCUCAACCUCCCUUGCAUGCACCAAUCGAUUUUCAUCCCACAGCACGCCCAGAUCCCGGGCCCACCCUCAAAACUGUGGGCUAUAGCACACCGAUUAGGCCCAAAAAUGCCCUGUUCGCGACGUUUUGCCCGUUUGUCCACCCAAAUGGCCAUGAAAAUUUAUACGGACCACACUGGACAACCCCUAACCUCCCUGGCAUGCCUCGGUUGAUUUUUGACUCACAGUAUGCUCGAACCCCGUGCCCACCCCUAAAACCGUAGGCUAUAGCACAUGGAUUUGGCAAAAAAAUGCCCCGUUCACUCGUUCAUUUUGUUUGUCCACCCAAAUAGCCAUAAAUAUUUAAACGAACCACACUGGGACAAUCUUCGACCUUCCUAGCAUACCUCGGUCAAUUUUUGGCCCACAACACGCCUGAACCUCAAGCCCACCCCCAAAAUUCGUGGGCUAUAGUACACCAAUUUGGCCCCAAGAUGCCUUGUUCGCAAUGUUUUGCCUAUUUGUCCACCCAAAUGGCCACGAAAAUUUAAAUGGACCACAUUGGGACUAUCCCCAACCUCCCUGAAAUGCCCUGGUCAAUUUUUGGCCCAUCGCACGCUCGAACCCCAGGCCCACCCCCAAAAUCGUGGGCAAUAGCACAUCGAUUUGGCCCAAAAAUGCCUCGCUCAUGUUGUUUCGCCCGUUUGUCCACCCAAAUGGACACAAAAAUUUAAACAGACCAAACUAGGACGAUUCCCAACCUUCCUGGCAUGCCCCCAUUGAUUUUUGGUUAACAACACACCUGGACCCCUAGCCCACCGUCGAAAUCGUGGGCUAUAGCGUACCGAUUUGGCCCAAAAAUGCUCCAUUCACGUUGUUUCACCUGUUCUUCCAUCCAACUGGCCACAAAAAUUUAAAUGGACUACACUGGAAUGAUCCCCAACCUCUUUGGCACACCCCGGUCGAUUUUCAUCCCCCAACACGCUCGUACCCCAGGCCCACCCCUAAAACCGUGGGCAAGAGCACACCGAUCAGGCCAGAAAUACCCGGCUCGCUGCUUUGCCCGUUUUUCACCCAAAUAGCUAUAAAAUUUAAACGGACCACACUGGGACGAUCCUCAAUCUCCCUGGCAUGCCUUGGUUGAUUUUUGGCAACCAGCACGGCCGAACCCCAAGCCCAACUCUGAAACAGUAGGCUAUAGAACACCAAUUUGGCCUGAAAAUGCCCCAUACUUGCCGUUUUGCCCGUUUGUCCACCCAAAUGGCCAUAAAAAUUUAAACGGACCAUACUGGGAUGAUCGCCAACCUCGCUGGCUCGCCCCGAUCGAUUUUUGGCCCACAUACCAACUGGACCUCGGGCCACCCUAAAAUCGUGGGCUAUAGCACACCGAUUUUGCUAAAAAAUACCGCAUUCAUGUCGUUUAGCCCGUUUAUCGACCUGAAUGGCCACGAAAAUUUAAAUGGACCAUACUGGGACGAUCCUCAAACUCCCUGGCAUAUCUCAGUCAAUUUUUUCCCCAUAGAUCGCCCGGACCCCGAGCCCACCCCUAAAAUCGUGGGCUAUAGCACAUCGAUUUGACCUGAAAAUACCUCGUUCGUGCCAUUUCACCCAUUUGUCCACCCGAAUGACCACAAAAAUUUAAACGAACCACACUGAGAAGAUCCCCAACCUCCCUGGAACACCUUGAUCAAUUUUUGGCCCUCAGAACGCCUGCACCCCGGGCCACCCCCGAAUUCGUGGGCUAUAGGACACUUAUUUGGCCCAAAAAUGACCCAUUCGUGCCUUUUCGCCUAUUUAACCACCCAAAUGGCCACAAAAAUUUAAAUGGACCAUACUAGGAUGAUCCCCAACCUCCCUGGUACUCCUCGAUCAAUUUUCGGCCCAGCACGCCCAGACCCCCGGCCCACCCUCAAAAUCGUGGGCUAUAGCAUACCGAUUUGGCCCAAAAACUCCCCGUUCGCGUUGUUUCGCCCGUUUAUCAACCCAAAAGUCUUCAAAAAUUUACACAGACUACACUGGGACAAUCCCUAACCUCCCUGGCAUACCUCAGUCAAUUUUUGGCUCACAGUACACUCGAACACCGAGGCCACCCCCAAAAUCGUAGGCUAUAGCACACCAAUUUAGCCCGAAAAUGCCCCGUUUGCGCUGUUUCGCUCGUUUAUCCACCUAAAUGGCAAUGAAACUUUAAACGAACCACACUAGGAUGAUCCCUAACCUCCCUAGCAUGCCCCAGUUGAUUAUCAACACACAACACACCCGAACCUUAGGCCCGCCCCCAAAGCUGUGUGCUAUAGCGUACCUAGUUGGCCCGAAAAUGCCUCGUUCAUGUCGUUUUGCCCGUUUUUCAACCCAAAUGGACACAAAAAUUUAAACGGACCAUACUGGGAUGAUCCCCAAUCUCCCUGGCAUACUUCAGUCGAUUUUUGGUCCACAACACGCCCGAACCUCAGGCCCACCCUCAAAACCAUGGGCAUUAGCACACUGAUAUGGCCCGAAAAUGCCCCGUUCGCGCUAUUUCGCCUAUUUGUCCACCCAAAUGGCCACGAAAAUUUAAAUAGACCACAUUAGGACAAUCCCCAAACUCCCUGAUAUGCCUUGAUCAAUUUUUGGCCCACAGCACGCCUGAAACCAGGGCCCAUCACCAAAACUGUGGGCUAUAUAGCACAUCUAUUUGGCUUAAAAUUUCCCCGUUCGCGUCGUUUCGCCUAUUUGUCCACCCAAAUUGCCAUAAAAAUUUAAACGGACCAUGCUGGGACGAUCCCCAACCUCUCUGGCAGGCCCCGAUCAAUUUUCAGCCUACAACACACCUGAAUCCCGGGCCCACCCCAAAAAUCGUGGGCAAUAGCACACCGAUUUGGCCUAAAAAUGCCCCGUUUGCGUCAUUUCGCCCAUUUGUAGACCAAAAUGGCCACAAAAAAUUAAACGAACAAUACUAGGACGAUCCCCAACCUCACUGGCAUGCCCCGAUUGAUUUUUGGCCCACAGUACACCCGAACCCCUGUCCCACCCCUAAAAUCGUGGGCUGUAGCACACCGAUUAGGUUCAAAAAUACCCCGUUCGGGCUGUUUCGCCCAUCUGUCCACCUAAAUGGCCACAAAAAUUUAAAUGGACCACACUGGGACGAUCCCCAACCUCCCUGGCAUGCCCUAAUCGAUUUUUAGCCCACAACACGCCCAAACCUCAGGCCCACCCUCGAAACCAUGGGCAUUAGCACAUUGAUAUGGCCCGAAAAUGCCUCGUUCACGCUAUUUCGCAUAUUUGUCCACCCAAAUGGCCACGAAAAUUUAAAUGGACCACAUUAGGACAAUCCCCAACCUCCCUGAUACGCCUUGAUCGAUUUUUGGCCCACAGCACGCCUGAAACCAGGGCCCAUCCCCAAAACUGUGGGCUAUAUAGCACAUCUAUUUGGCUCAAAAUUUCCCCGUUCGCGUCGUUUCGCCGUUUGUCCAUCCAAAUUGCCCCAGAAAUUUAAACGGACCACGCUGGGAUGAUCCCAACCUCUCUGGCAGGCCCCAAUCAAUUGUCGACCUACAACAUACCUGGACCCCUGGCCCACCCCUAAAAUCGUGGGCAAUAGCACACCGAUUUGGCCUAAAAAUGCCCUGUUUGCGUCGUUUCGCCCAUUUGUCCACCAAAAUGGCCACAAAAAAUUAAACGAACAAUACUAGGAUGAUCCCCAACCUUACUGGCAUCCCCCAAUAAAUUUUUGGCCAACAGUACACCCGAACCCCCAUCCCACCUCCAAAAUCGUGGGCUAUAGCACAUCGAUUAAGCUUGAAAAUACCCCGUUUGGGCCGUUUCUCCCAUCUAUCCAGCUAAAUGGCCACAAAAAUUUAAAUGAACCACACUGGGAGGAUCCCCAACCUCCCUGGCAUGCCCUGGUUGAUUUUUAGACCACAAUACGCCCGUACCCCGGGCCCACCCCCAAAACCAUAGGCUAAAGCACACCGAUGCCCGAAAAUGCUCCGUUCGCAUCGUUUCGCCCGUUUUUUCUCCCAAAUGGCCAGGAAAAUUUAAAGGGUCCAUAAUGGGACGAUCCUUAACCUCCCUGGCAUGCCUCGGUCAAUUUUAGGCCAACAGCACGCCCAGAUCCCAGGUCCAUCCCCGAAAUCGUGGGCUAUAGCACACCAAUUUAGUCUGAAAAUACCCCAUUCACGCGGUUUCACUCGUUUGUCCAGCCAAAUGGCAACGAAAAUUUAAAUGGACCACACUGGGACAAUCCCCAACCUCCCUGGCAUGCCCCAGUCAAUUUUUGUCCCAUAGCACGCCCGGACCUCGGGUCCACCCCUAAAAUCAUGGGCAAUACCACACGAAUUUCGCCUGAAAAUAUCUUGUUCACACUGUUUCACUCGUUUGUCCACCCAAAUGGCCACAAAAAUUUAAACGGACCAUAUUGGGAUGAUCCCCAACCUCGGUCGUUUGUCCACCCAAAUGGCCAAAAAAAUUUAAAUGGACUAUACUGGGAUGAUCCCCAACCUCGGGUCCACCACCAAAAUUAUGGCUAUAGCACACCGAUUUGGCUCAAAAAUACCGCGUUCGCAUCGUUUCGCUCGUUUGUCCACCUAAAUGGACACUAAAAUUUAAAUGGAACACAUUGGGACGAUCCCCAACCUCCUUGGUACACCCCGGUCAAUUUUCUGCCCACAGCACGCCCGAACCCUAGCCCACCCCUGAAAUCAUGGGCUAUAGCACAUCGAUUUGGCCCAAAAAUGCUCCAUACGUGUCGUUUUACCUGUUUGUCCACCCGAAUAGCCAUGAAAAAUUAAAUGGAUCACACUGGGAAGAUCCCCAACCUCCCUGGCACGCCCUGGUUGAUUUUUGGCUCUCAAAACGCUUGGUCCCCAGGCUCUCCCCCGAAAUCGUGGGCUAUAGCACACUGAUUUAGCUCGAAAGUGCCCUGUUCGUGCCAUUUCGCCCGUUUGUCCACCCAAAUAUCAACGAAAAUUUAAACGGACCACACUAGGAUGAUCUCCAACCUCCCUGGUACGCCCCAGUCGAUUUUUUGCCUCAGCACACCCAAACCCCCGGACUAUCUCCGAAACCAUAGGCUAUAGCACACCGAUUUGGCUCAAAAAUGCCCCGUUCAUGUUGUUUUGCCCGUUUGUCCUCCCAAAUGUCCACAAAAAUUUAUACAAACCACAAUGGGACAAUCCCUAACCUUUCUGGCAUGCCUCGAUCAAUUUUUGACUCACAGUACACUUUAACUCCGUGCCCACUCCCAAAACCGUGGGUUAUAGCACACCGACUUGGUCCGAAAAUUCCCCGUUCGCGCCGUUUCACCUGUUUGUCCACCCAAAUGGCCACAAAAUUUAAACGGACCAUACUAGGACGAUCCCCAUCCUCCCUGGCAUGCCCCAAUCGAUUAUCAGCCCAUAGCAUGCCCGGACUUUAGGCCCAUCCCCAAAACCGUGGGCUAUAGCACACCGAUUUGGCCUAAAAAUGCCCCGUUUGUGCCGUUUUGCCCGUUUGUCCACCCAAAUGGCCACAAAAAAUUAAACGGACCAACUGGGAUGAUCCCCAACCUCCUUGGGACACCCCAAUCAAUUUUUGGCCCACAGAACGCCUGAACCUCGGGCCCACCCCCAAAACCUUGGGCUAUAGCACACCAAUUUGGCCUGAAAAUGCUCCGUUCGCGCCAUUUCGCUCGUUUGUCCCCCAAAUGGCCACGAAAAUUUAAAUGGAGCAUUCUAGAACAAUACCUGACUUCCUUGGCGUGCCCUGGUUAAUUUUUAGCUCACAGCAUACCCGAACCCCGUGUCCACCCCUGAAACCGUGGGCUAUAGCACAUAGAUUUGGCUCCAAAAUGCCCCGUUCGAGACGAUUUGCCCGUUUAUCCACCCAAAUAGCCAAGAAAAAUUAAACAGACUACACUGGAAUAAUCCAAACCUCCCUGGCAUGACUUGGUCUAUUUUUGGCCCACAGCACACUCGGAUCCCCGCCCCACCCCAAAAACAUUGGGUUAUAAGAUACCUAUUUGGCUUGAAAAUGCCUCAUUCGCGUCGUUUCGUCCGUUGUCCACCCAAAUGGCCACAAAAAUUUAAACGGACCAUAUUGGGAUGAUCCCCAGCCUCCCUGGCAUGCCCCGGGUGAUUUUGGCCAACAGCACGCCCGGACCCCAAGCCCACCCCCAAAAUCUUGGGCUAUAGCACACUGAUUUUGCCCAAAAAUGCGUAGUUCGAGCCGUUUCACCCGUUUGUCCACCCAAAGAUCCCCGAUAAACGGACCACACUGGGAUGAUCCAUAACUUCCCUGGAACACCUCAAUCAAUUUUCAGACCACAACACGACCGAAACCCGGGGCCACCCCCAAAACCGUAGGCUAUAGCACACCGAUUUGGACCAAAAAUGCCCCGUUCACACCAUUUCGCCUGUUUGUCUACCCAAAUGGCCAUAAAAAUUUAAACGGACCACACUAGGAUAGUCCCCAACCUCUUUGGCAUGCCUCAGUUGAUUUUUGGCACACAACACGCCCAGAUCCCAAGGCCACCCCUAAAAUCGUAGGCUAUAGCACAUCGAUUUAGCCUAAAAAUGUCCCAUUUCACCAGUUUGUCCUCCCAAAUGGCCACAAAAAUUUAAACGAACCACACUGGGACAAUUCUAAACCUCUCUGGCACACCCUGAUCAACUUUCAGCCUACAACACACCUGGACCGCUGACCCACCUUCAAAAUCGUGGGCUAUAGCAUACAGAUUUGGCCCGAAAAUGCCUCGUUCGUGCCAUUUCGCCCUUUUGUCCAGGCAAAUAGCCACAAAAAUUUAAAAGGACAACACUGGGAUGAUCCUAAACCUCCCUGGCAUGCCCUGAUCAAUUUUCGACCCACAGCACGCCAGGACAACUGGCCCACUCCUAAAACCGUAGGCUAUAGCACACCGAUUUGGCCCAAAAUUAUCCUGUUCGUGCUGUUUUGCCCUUUUGUCCAUCCAAAUGUCCACGAAAAAUUAAACGGACUACACUGAGAUGAUCUCCAACCUUCCUGGCAUGCCCUGGUCAAUUUUUGGCCAACAACAUGCCCGGACCCUGGCCCACCCCCAAAAUAGUGGGCUAUAGCACAUCGAUUUAGCCCGAAAAUGCCCCAUUUGCGCCCCGAUCAAACUAGGAUGAUUCCCAGCCUCCCUGUCGUGCCCCAAUCAAUGUUCGGCCCACAGGACGCCCAGACCCCAGGCGCCCCCCAAAACCGUGGGCUAUAGAACAUCGAUUUGGCCCAAAAAUGCCCCAUUUGCGCUGUUUUGCCCGUUUGUCCAUCCAAAUGGCCACAAAAAUUUAAAAAGAAUGCACUGGGACUAUCCCCAACCUCUUUGGCACGCCCAAGUCAAAUUUUUGCCAACAACACGCCCGAACCCCGUGCCCACCCCCAAAACCAUUGGCUAGCACACCGAUUUGGCCCGAAAACAUGUCCUUCAUGCCGUUUUACCCGUUUGUCCACCUAAAUGUCCCCAAAAAUUUAAACGGACCACGCUGGGAUGAUCUCCAACCUCCCUGGCAUACCCCAAUCGAUUUUCGGCUCACAGCACGCUAGGACCCCUAGACCACCACUGAAAUCGUGGGCUAUAGCACACCGAUUUAGUCUAAAAAUGCCCCAUUCAUGCUUUUCGCCUAUUCGUCCACCCAAAUGGUUUUGAAAACAUGGGCUAUAGCACACUGAUUGGGCCCGAAAAUGCCCCGUUCGCACCAUUUUGCCCGUUUGUCCACCCAAAUGGCCAUGAAAAUUUAUACGGACCACACUGGGACAAUCCCUAACCUCCCUGGCAUGCCUCAAUCGAUUUUUGACUCACAGUACACUCGAACCCCGUGCCCAACCCUAAAACCGUAGGCUAUAGCACACCGAUUUGGGAAAAAAAUGCCCAGUUCGCUCGUUCAUUUCGUUAGUCCACCCAAAUGGCCAUGAAAAUUUAAAUGUACCAUACUGGGAAAAUCCCCGACCUUCCUAUCAUGCCUCGGUUGAUUUUUGGCCCACAACACGCCUGAACCUCAGGCUCACUCACAAAACCGUGGGCUAUAGUACACCGAUUUGGCCCCAAGAUGCCCUGUUCGAGCUAUUUUGCCUGUUCGUCCACUCAAAUGGCCAUGAAAAUUUAAAUGGACCACACUAGGACUAUCCCCAACCUCCCUGAAAUGCCCUGGUCAAUUUUUGUCCCACCGCACGCCCGGACCCCAGGCCCACCCCCAAAAUCAUGGGCAAUAGCACAUCGAUUUGGCCCAAAAAUACCUCGUUCAUGUUGUUUCGCCCGUUUUUUCAGCCAAAUGGCCACAAAAAUUUAAACGGACCACAUUAGGACGAUUCCCAACCUCCCUGGUAUGCCCCGGUCUAUUUUUGGUCAACAGUAUGCCUGGACCCCUAGCCCACCGUCAAAAUCGUGGGCUAUAGUGCACUAAUUUGGCCCAAAAAUGCUCCAUUCGCGUCGUUUCACCUUUUUGUCCAUCCAAAUGGCCACAAAAAUUUAAAUGGAUCACACUGGGAUGAUCCCCAACCUCUCUGGCACACCCCAAUUAAUUUUCAUCCCACAACACGCUCGUACCCAAGGCCCACCCCUAAAACCGUGGGCAAGAGCACACCGAUCAGGCCAGAAAAUACCCCGCUCGCUAUUUUGCCCAUUUUUCACCCAAAUGAUUAUGAAAAUUUAAACGGACCACACUGGGACGAUCCUCAACCUCUCUGGCAUGCCUUGGUUGAUUUUCGGCCAACAGCACGGCCGAACCCCAGGCCCAACUUUAAAAUCGUAGGCUAUAGAACACUAAUUUGGCCCGAAAAUGCCCCGUACCCGCCGUUUUGCCCGUUUGUCCACCCAAAUGGCCACAAAAAUUUAAACGGACCACACUGGGAUAAUCCCCAACCUCGCUGGCAUGCCCCAAUCGAUUUUUGUCCUACAACCCAACUGGACCUCGGGCCCACCCCCAAAAUCGUGGGCUAUAGCAUACCUAUUUGGCUAAAAAAUACCGCAUUCAUGUCGUUUAGCUCGUUUGUCGACCUGAAUAGCCACGAAAAUUUAAAUGGACCAUAUUGGGAUGAUCCCCAAACUCCCUGCCACAUCUCAGUCAAUUUUCUGCCCAUAGCUUGCCCGAACCCCGGGCCCACCCCUAAAAUCGUGGGCUAUAGCACAUCGAUUUGACUUGAAAAUGCUCUGUUCGAGCCGCUUCACCCAUUUGUCCACUCGAAUGGCCACAAAAAUUUAAAAGAACCACACUGAGAAGAUCCCCAACCUCCCUGGCACACCUUGAUCAAUUUUCGGCCCUCAGAACGCCCGCACCCAAGCCCACCCACAAAAUUGUGGGCUAUAGGACACUGAUUUGGCCCAAAAAUGACCCGUUCAUGCCUUUUCGCCUAUUUCACCACCCAAAUGGCCAUGAAAAUUUAAAUGGACAAUACUGGGAUGAUCCCCAACCUCCCUGGUAUGCCUUGAUCGAUUUUCGGCCCCAGCAUGCCCAGACCCCCGGCCCACCCCCAAAAUCGUGGGCUAUAGCAUACCGAUUUGGCCUAAAAACUCCCUGUUCGCGUUGUUUCACCCGUUUGUCAACCCAAAAGUCUUCAAAAAUUUAUACGGACUACACUAGGAGAAUCCCUAACCUCCCUGGCAUACCUCAGUGAAUUUUUGGCUCACAGUACACUCGGACACCGAGCCCACCCCCAAAGCCGUGGUUUAUAGCACACCAAUUUAGCCCAAAAAUGCCCCGUUUGCGUCGUUUCGCCUGUUUGUCCACCUAAAUGGUGAUGAAAAUUUAAACGAACCAUACUAGGACGAUCCCCAACCUCCCUGGCAUGCCCCAGUCGAUUAUCAACACACAGCAGACCCAGACGUUAGGCCCACCCCCAAAAUCGUGUGCUAUAGCGUACCUAUUUGGCCUGAAAAUGCCUCGUUCAUGUCGUUUUACCCGUUUGUCCACCCAAAUGGCCACAAAAAUUUAAACGGACCACACUGGGAUGAUCCCCAACUUCCUUGGCACACUCCGAUCUAUUUUUGGCCCACAACACGCUCGAACCUUGGGCCCACCCUCGAAACCGUGGGCAUUAGCACUCUGAUAUGGCCCAAAAAUGCCCCGUUCGCGCCAUUUUGCCCGUUUGUCCACCCAAAUGGCCACGAAAAUUUAAACGGACCACACUAGGACAAUCCCCAACCUCCCUGGUACUCCUUGAUCGAUUUUCGGCCCACAGCACGUCAGAACCCCGGGCCCAUCCCCAAAACUGUGGGCUAUAUAGCACAUCUAUUUAGCUUAAAAUUUUCCCAUUCGCAUCGUUUCGCCUGUUUGUCCACCCAAAUUGCCAUAGAAAUUUAAACGGACCAUGCUGGGACGAUCCCCAACCUCUCUGGCAGGCCCCGAUCAAUUUUUGAUCUACAACACACCUGAAACCCAGUCCCACCCAUCGUAGGCAAUAAAACACCAAUUUGGCCUAAAAAUGCCCGGUUUUCAUCAUUUCGCCCAUUUGUAGACCAAAAUGGCCACAAAAAAUUAAACGAAGAAUACUAGGAUGAUCCCCAACCUCACUGGCAUGCCCUGAUCAAUUUUUGGCCCACAGUACGCCCGAACCCCUGUCCCACCCCCAAAAUCGUGGGCUAUAUCACACCGAUUAGGCUCGAAAAUACCCCGUUCGGGCCGUUUCUCCCAUCUGUCCACCUAAAUGGCCACAAAAAUUUAAAUGGACCACACUGGGAUGAUCCCCAACCUCCCUGGCAUGCCCUGGUCUAUUUUUAGCCGACAACACGCCCGUACCCCGGGCCCACCCCCAAAACCGUGGGCUAAAGCACACCGAUGCCCGAAAAUGCUCCGUUCGCUCCGCUUUGCCCAUUUUUCCUCCCAAAUGGCCAGGAAAAUUUAAACGGACCACAAUGGGAUGAUCCUCAACCUCCCUGGCAUACCUCGGUCAAUUUAAGGCCAACAACACGCCCAGACCCCAGGCCCACCCCCAAAACCGUGGGCUAUAGCACACCAAUUUAGCUCGAAAAUGCCCCAUUCGCGCUGUUUCGCUCGUUUGUCCAGCCAAAUGGACACAAAAAUUUAAAUGGAACACAUUGGGACAAUCCCCAACCUCCCUAGCAUGCCCCGAUUGAUUUUUGUCCCACAGCACGCCUGGACCUCGGGUCCACCCCUAAAAUCGUGGGCUAUAGAACACGAAUUUUGCCUGAAAAUGUCUCGUUCGCACUGUUUCGCUCAUUAGUCCACCCAAAUGGCCAGAAAAAUUUAAACGGACCAUACUGGGAUGAUCCCCAACCUCGCUGGCAUGCCUCGAUCGAUUUUAGGCCCACAACACACCUAGACCUCGGGCCCACCACUAAAAUCAUGGGCUAUGGCACACCGAUUUGGCUCAAAAAUGCCGCGUUCGCGUCGUUUCGCUCGUUUGUCCACCUAAAUGGCCACUAAAAUUUAAAUGGAACACACUUGGAUGAUCCCCAACCUCCUUGGUACACCCCGAUCAAUUUUUUGCUCACAGCACGCCCGGAUCCCAGGCCCACCCCUGAAACCGUGGGCUAUAGCACAUCGAUUUGGCCCGAAAAUGCUCCAUACGUGUCGUUUCGCCUGUUUGUCCACCCGAAAAGCCAUGAAAAAUUAAACGGAUCACACUGGGAAGAUCCCCAACCUCCCUGGCACGCCCUGGUCGAUUUUUAGCUCUCAAAAAUCCUGGACCCCAGGCCCUCCCCCAAAAUCGUGGGCUAUAGCACAUUGAUUUAGCCCGAAAAUGCCCUGUUCGCGCCAUUUCGCCCAUUUGUCUACCCAAAUGGCAACAAAAAUUUAAACGGACCACACUGGGAUGAUCUCCAACCUCCCUGGUACGCUCCAGUCAAUUUUUUGCCUCAGCAUGCCCAAACCCCCGGACCAUCCCCGAAAUCGUGGGCUAUAGCACACCGAUUUGGCUCAAAAAUGCCUCGUUCACGUCGUUUUGCCCUUUUGUCCUCCCAAAUGUCUAUGAAAAUUUAUACGAACCACACUGGGGCAAUCCCUAACCUCCCUGGCAUGCCUCGGUCAAUUUUUGACUCACAGUAUGCUUGAACUCCAUGCCCACCCCCAAAACCGUGGGUUAUAGCAGACCGAUUUGGUCCGAAAAUUUCCCGUUCGGGCCGUUUCACCCAUUUGUCCACCCAAAUGGCCACAAAAAUUUAAACGGACCAUACUAGGACGAUCCCCAUUCUCCCUGGCAUGCCCUAGUCGAUUAUCAGCCCACAUCACGCCCGAACUUUAGGAUCAUCCCCAAAACCGUGGGCUAUAGCACACCAAUUUGGCUUAAAAAUGUCCCGUUCGUGCCGUUUUGCCCGUUUGUCCACCCAAAUGGCCACAAAAAAUUAAACGGACCAACUGGGACGAUCCCCAACCUCUCUGGCACACCCCGAUCAAUUUUUGGCCCACAGAACGCCCAAACCUCAGGCCCACCCCCAAAACCUUGGGCUAUAGCACACCAAUUUGGCCUGAAAAUGCUCCAUUCGAGCCAUUUCGCCCGUUUGUCCACCCAAAUGGCCACGAAAAUUUAAACGGACCACACUGAGAUGAUUCCCAACCUCCCUGGCACGCCUCGGUCAAUUUUUGGCUCACAGCACGCCCGGACCCCGGGCCCAUUUCCAAAAUCAUGGGCUAUAGCUCACCGAUUUGACCCAAAAAAUGGCCCGUUCACGCUGUUUCGCCCGUUUGUCCACCCAAAUAGCCACGACGGACCACACUGGGAUAAUCCCCAACCUCCCUGGCAUGCCCCGGUUGAUUUUUGGCCCACAAGACGCCCGAACCCCGGGCCCACCCCGAAACCGUGGGCUAAGCACAUCGAUUUGACCCGAAAAUGCCUCGUUCGCGCCGUUUCACUCGUUUGUCCACCCAAGCAAAGAUUCAACAAUAAUACUAAAAAAUAAUAUCCAAAAUGUAGUAAUUAAUAAUAUAAUCAAACCAAGUCACAAUUGAACAAAGAAAAAAGAAAAUAGAUAAACCUUAGAUUUUUUGCUAUUUUAUUCAGCAGCAACAUGAUUGUUUCAUCCAACUUUUGGAUCAAAACCUUAAGUGAAAAAGAAACAUGAGAAAAUAAUUAAAGGGUGGGGUGGGGGGAUUUAUUGUGAUCAUUUGUUAUAUAAUCUUUCCUUGAGCCGGGGGUCUUUCGGAAACAGCCUUUCUACUUCAUCAGAGGUAGAGGUAUGGACUGCGUACAUCUUACCCCCCCCAGACCCCACUAAGUGGGAAUACACUGGGUUUGUUGUUGUUGAUUUGUUAUAUAAUCUUUAUAGUUAUUAAUUAAAAGUUAUAAAUAAAGACAAAAAGGCUGAUGAUAAUGAAUGCAAAAAGUCUUGAAUCAAAAAGAUGAUGAUAAUGAAUGUAAGGAAACUUAAAUCAAAAUCAAAAUAUAUAAAAAGUAGAAAUAGAAAAGCAUGUGUUUCUUGUGAAAUUUUUAAUUGAAUUAGAAAUGGUAAAUAUUAUAAUUUCUUACCUGAAAUAAAUAACCCCAAAGCUGAUACCUAUUUUAUUGGAUAUAGCUGUAGGUUUUAUAAAAUUUAUGAAAAUUUUACUAUGAAAUUUCCAUAAAAUUCAAUACCAAAAAUAAUUUGAUUUAUUUCAUUAGAAAACAUAAACUUCAAAUAUAAAGGGAUUACACGGCAUAAGCAGCACACGUCCUUGGACAUUUUAUUAUUGCUCGUCCAUACUGGACUUCUAAUAGAAUUUGAAUUUCAAAACUAUUAAGGCAAAAUAAUUAUUUUAUAGGUAAAAUUUUAAUUAAUGUAAAAUACCUAAUUAUAGCGAACAAAGUUAAGAUAAAAUCUAACCUUUUAAAAUAAGCAUAUACAUCCAUAUAAUGUGGCACGAAGUUUUUGGUCUAUUAUAAGACGAUGUGAGUUAUAUAUCAUCCAAAAUAUCAUAUUUUUAACACUCGGAACCACUGAAUAAUGGCCCUACACAAUUAGGAACUCCAAAUAAUAUGACAAAACCAAAAAACAUGUUUGCACGCAACAUCACCACCAAUUAAAAUAAACAACCUACAGCAUAGGAAAAAAAAAAAUCAAUUUUUCCAUUUUUUUCUUAAACUCUUAUUCAAUUAUUUUUUUUAUAAAGGUUUUAUAUAUUGUUACCAAUUAAUUAGUUGUGUCUUUGUUUCUUUACGUGAAAUUGAGGGGUUUUUCCUAUUAAAAGUCACCUAAAUGUAGAAAGAGUGGUUUAAUAUUAAUUGUGGGGACAAAAACCUACCAACAUUAAAAUAAAAUCCAUUAUAUUUUUUCUUCCAAAAUCAUUAGGGUUAAAAUAUACUAAUUAGUUUUCUUACCAUAUACUUUAGGAUUUCUUAAUUUUAAAAUUCAAAUAUUAUAAAUAUGAAAAUAAUAAAACGACGGUUUUGUCUAUUGCAAAAAUUUUUAAUGACGGGCAAAAAAUUCAAAUCACUUUUCUAAGGGUCUUCACACUUUUACUAUAUUAUAGAUAUAGAUUAUAGAUUAUAGAUUAUAGAUUAUAGAUAUAGAUUAUAGAUAUAGAUUAUAGAUAUAGAUAUAGAUUAGAUAUAGAUAUAUAGAUUAGAUAUAGAUAUAUAGAUUAGAUAUAGAUAUAGAUAUAGAUAUAGAUAUAGAUAUAGAUAUAGAUAUAGAUAUAGAUAUAGAUAUAGAUAUAGAUAUAGAUAGAGAUAUAGAUAUGGAUACAGAUUAUAGAUUAUAGAUGUAGAUACAGAUUAUAGAUAUAGAUACAGAUUAUAGAUAUAGAUUAUAGAUUAUAGAUAGAUUAUAUAUAGAUUAUAGAUAUAGAAAAAAAUUUCCCCCAACCCCCUCCCCAUCUUUCUUCUAUAUUUAUAUAUAUAUAUAUAUAAAUAAAAACCAUUUUCAAUAGCGUAAAUACAAUCAUGUUUCUAUCAUAUGUUUUUUUCCUUUUUGUCGAAUCAGAAAAAGACAUGAACUAUCAAGCAAACACUUGAAAAAAAUUUUAUCAUUGCAUAAAUUCUCCAAUAAAACUGAACAACAAAAUCGUGUUCCUAACAGUACUACAUUCAGUUUACAUGCAAUGCAGAAACUGAAGUCCCCCUCCCCGCACGAUUUCAGAAAAUCAAAUCAAAGUUAUAUGUGAUAGUUGAUUGUGCAAACCUUCCAACAUAACAAAAAAGCAAAAGUCGGGAAGAAGAAAGACCACAUGACACAUAUUUACAUAGAGAGCUCAUAUGUCCCAACCUUCGAUUAAAAUACAAUUAUAUCUUGCAUUUUAAUUUGUAGAUUUAUACGUGAUUUCUGGUUGGAAGUUGUGAUCUUGAGUUUCCCUAAUGUGAUGGCGUUUAUGGAUUAUUAUGUGAAGAUCCGUCCUUAUAGGCAGUAAGCACUCCCUGCGUUUUCGGCAACACAAUAAGUUAGAAAGCAAGUACUUUGGGUCAUUUAAGGUUCUGAAGUGAAUUGAUUGAGUUGCGUGCAUAGGAACCCUGGGCAAAUAAGUCAUCUCUGUAGCAUUUACACAAAUGAUGGUCCAUAGGAGAAAUUUAGUAACACCCCGCAUUCUCGAGCUAGAAAAUGAACCGUCGUUCCUACAUGCGUAAACUCAAAUUCCAUGGUUUAUACUUAAAUUCAUGUUCCAUGAUCUUUCUCCUAGUAUAUAAAGUGCUUAUGAGGUGAAAAGUGGCCAAAAGCAAGGUUGAUACUAAGAACCUGUCAUUCAUCCGAAAUUGGAUAUUUGAUUCUACAAGGGUUUACUUUAAAUGAGUAUAAAUCUUGAUACACAUCGAAUUUUGCAGCUCAAAACCCACCAAAUUGUAGAUAAUUGAAUUAGCUUUCCAACGAUACCAAUUUCGCUAAAAUUUGAUAAUCGAUCAAAAAGUUAUGACAUUUUUCGUGUGAGGCAGUAAGCCGAUGCGAUGUCGACGCGACGCGUCGGCCUGCGCAUUACAAAAAUUUUUUUCAUGCCAAAUCAGUUUCUAAUUGGUCUAGGGGCAUUUUAGUCAUUUCUCCUCACCCAAAUUUCGUUUAUAACACCGAAUUUAAGCCCUAGAACAGCAUUUGAGCCCCAAAAUUCACAUUCUCCCCAAACUAAAAUCAUCCUCUCUUUCCCCAAAGAUUCAAGAACUCAUCCCUAAGAUCAAGAAUUCCAAGAAAAGGAUCAAGAUCUAGGUUCCAUUCUUCUAACUACGAAAUCUAAGGUACGUGGGGUUUAUCCUAAAACUACAUGGGCUUGUUGAAAACACUCAAUUAUGAUUUAAAGAUCAUCAAGCAUGAAUUUGUUAAAGGGGUUUUGAAAUCCAUGAUUUUAUUAUGCUUUAUGCAUGUUUAAUGUUAUUGUUGUUUUUGCCUUUAGGCCUUAUCCCCUUAAAUUGAUUUACACAUAUAUGUAUAUGUAUGAAGAAGUGAAAUUUAAGAUUUUGUUUGAGAGCAUAAAUUAUGAAAUCCCUCUCCUGUGAUAAAUUCAAGUUUUUGAUCUCAUUGUGAAUGAUUUGAAAUGCAUGAUUUAUGGUUUGAAAAUAGUUUUCUCAAAAUCAUAGUGUUUGAGCCUGAUUUAGAGAUAAUGAGAGGGAGCUUCUUGAUAUAGUUAUGUUUUGUUUUAAAGAGAAAGAGUCACAUGUGAUUGAGAUAUUUGACAUGACCACCUUGCAUUAUGGAAAUGCUGACAAAGAGUUUCUUGCAUAUGUUUACAUGAGUUUUAAAGAAAGGGUUUCUUGAAUUGUUUUAUUGAUAUGGUGGUCCCGAACUUAUGUUUUGAAAACAGUGAUUGUAAUAUGCUAGAAUUGGCUCAGAGAUGUGACUUGCAAGUCAAUGGUAUGAUGAUACCAUAAGUAUGUAUGCCAUAACAGAGUAAGAGAUUUCAGAGUAUAUUUUCAGAAUAUGUUUUCAGAAAAUACAUGAUUUUAAAAGAGUUAAAAAUGUGCUUAAAGAGGGUUAGGUGGUUACCCAAAGAGGGCUUGAGUUCAAGUAACUCUUAGCCCGAAAUCGUAUUUGUCGAUACGGGUAGAUUAUUAUUGUACGCUAGCGACGGCCGUGUGGCGUAGUAGAUACAGAGAUCCAACCCUUGCGGCACACUUGGGUUGGGGGGUUGGCUGUCGAGUUAAUGGCAGUUUCCAUAGAGCCUAUGGAAUUUCAGAGUUGUAGGGUAUACCACCUAGCGCAGAAGUAAAACAAAGAGUGUCACAGAGUUCAGAUGAUUUUACAGAGUCUUUUAAAUAUACCCAUGUGAUUUCUUAUUAGAUGACAUAUUUACGAACUGAUUUAAAUUGCUCUCAUGUAUGUUGAAUAUAAAUUGCUAUUUUGAAUUUGCUCUGCGUACCAGUACAUCUGUAUUGACCCCCCUUCCCUACCUCUCAGGUUCUGAGGCUCAGUCUAGGGGUCUUGAUAAGCAGUAGAUAUUUCAGACAGCAGAGCAGAGUUCAGUGGUGAGCCUUCUAUAUUUCAGAAGCCUAAUGUCUUACAGUCAUUUAUGAUUUCUAUAGUUUUGGUCUAUUGGGGGCCUUAUCCCAGAUAUAUUAGAGAUUUCGCAGACUGAGUCAGAUGUUAUUUAGAUGUUGAAAUGCAGUUUUCAUCAUUAUCUUGAAUUCAGAAUUGACCAUGAUUCCGUAUUAUGUUUUGUUCCGCAUCUUCUUUAUUUAUAUGAACGUUGUGCAUGAUUACCAGAUAGAGAGGGACGUCCGGGCCUUCAUGGUUUGGAAUGCUCAUCACGGCCAGGGCCUCAGUUCGGAUCGUGACAAAUUUGUAAAAAGGUAAUGUUAUGACCACGCACCAAGUGAGACACAAUGUAUGCAAUCCUAUACAUAUUAAGCUUUGAAAAUAGAACUACUUGUGAAUUGCAAGGUGAACCAUUUUUACCAAAAAAUGUUCACGUGAACUUAGAUUUAUGGAAAUGAUUAACUUUAUAUAUUUAUUACUUAUUUUAAGAGAGGCUGAUUUCAAUAAAUCGAGGAAAUACUUUUGAACUUAUGUAUCCUUAUUUAUAAAAUUUAUUGAAUUAAAAGUACAUUAGAAGGGGCAAAAAAUAGUCAGAUUUCAAUUUUCCAUUUAUAUGUUAAAUGGACUAAAGGACUUGUAACAAGAAAAUCAAAUAGGGGAGGUAAACACAAAAAAAUUAGAUGAUUAUGUGAACAAUCACUAAUGAUUGAAUUGUUAAUGCAUAAUAUAAGUAACACGAGUUCAAUAUUAAGAUUGAAUAUGUCAGGUCUAAGUCAUGAAUUCGACGACUCUGAUUAUAAUUAAUCACGAAACUAUUAACAUACCAGGAUCAGCAUGGACAGCAUCGAUGAGCUGCAAAUAGACUUUAUGUCCAAGUAUUUCAUCAACUCGAUCGACAACAGAUGCCUUCACAUCAUCUAAAUCAAAACAAUUGUACCCUUAACUUUUUUGCUUUCACCAUCUUCAGAUAUUUUCAUUUUACUUAGAUCGGAUAGCUUCUGAUGAGACAUAUCUGUACAAUAAAGGGGUCCAAAAGUAAUUAAGGUACAUACAUGUAAUUAAUUAUAGGCAAAAAAAGAAAAAGUAUUUACAUGCAUGUAAGUAUGUUUUGCCCCUUUAUCAUACUUGGAUAUUGCUCAGACUCUUUAAAAAUAUCAAGAGGUAUAUAUGCAUCGAAUAUGAGAGCAUGCAACAGUAUUUUUAAAGGGUUGGAGCAACAUAGGUCGAAGGUAUACUGUUCAAUGAAAAAAGAUACUAAUGUUUGACAAUGCCAUGCACAAAGCACAAUUGUUGAAGUUUAGACAUAAUCAGAAUGACCUGCAUUACUGUAAUUAUUUAUCUAAAAGUUCAAUACACUCAUGUGCAUGAAACAACAUAUACUACACUUGAUUAGGGAGUAGAAAUGUAGAAUUUACAAAGGUAAAGGUAAAAUAGUGUGACAAGAAACAGUGGAGGAAAAUUAUCAAAGAACCGAACAAAACCAUCCCCCACCUGCGAAGGCCGCCACUGUCGGUGAGGAUUCCACCAGUCAACUGCCGCCACCGAACCAGCCGGAGAAAUCCCCACAAACAUAUCAAAGAAGUGCAGCGGCUCCGGCGAACCACAUCGCCAUGCAUCCAGCGACCACCGCCGUCGCAUUGUCCCAAGCUACAAUCCCCGUGCUGAUGCCGUAUAUUUAGCUACUUUCGUCGGGAAGUUUAAUCGUAAUGACGGAUUCUGACAAUCCGUCUCCGGUAUGGUCUCAGUCGCUUGCUGCUACCUCGAUUCGUCGGGAACCGCACUUGUUUGAGGACUUUUGCUUGAGAAAUUAUCGCAAUUUCAUAUGAUUUAAUCCGAUAGCUGAAGCAUAUUUCUGUUCCUUCACCUUAUGUUUAGCAGCAUGGACGACAUCCUUCUAUGGCAAGAAUAUGAUUUAUGUGUGAUAGAGAGAGGAUUCAAAUAAUUGUGCCUUUUUGGUUUUAACAAAUUGUGUUUGGGUGUAUUUAUGGUAAUUUAGCAUAUUUUACUGAGUUGAUUUUUUUCUGAAAUAUCCUUUUUCCUCUUUUACCUCCCCUUGAUUUGUUUGAAUAUUUUUUCUUCCUUUGCUGCUUUCACUGUAUAAACAACCGCAAUUCCCUCCCCAUUCUUUACGACACACGACACGAAAGCUGUAAGCAAAAAGUAAAAAUUUUUACUUUAUUAUUUUUGCCUACUUACAUUCAGAGCAUUGGUCUUGACCCUUCUGUGGCAAUUCCUACUUGAAUCCUGUGCUUCUUGGUUUCUCCUUCUUCUUCUUAUUGUUUAUUAUCGUCAACCGGUAUGUCCCUAUCGACAUAAUUUUCAUUCUCUAUGUGAUAUGUUGUAAAAAUCAUUAGAAAGCAUGCCUAUAGGAGAUAAUUUGAAAAUAAUUUAUUUUCCCGCUUGAGUAUGUUGGUAUCUAGUUUUCUUUGUGUAUGCCGUGGUAUUUUGAUUAUAUUUACAGGUGUCAUUGAAGGGUAUUUCGGAAUUGGAAGAGUCGCUUUGGAAAUUUGGGAAGGGCGUUUCAAUUAUUUUUAGUUUAGUUUUAUUGGUAUGUAAUUUAUUGUACAACAAUGUAAUAAAUUAUGGGGACUGUUUGCCGAUGGGGUUUAUGCGUUUUAUGUGCUACAUGAAUCACUUAGGAAAACUUUGAAUUAGGAUUGAUAACAAACUUAUUUUUUUUCCUCCUAGUUAAAUUAACUCUCCGACGUAUAAAGCUCUAGCAUGUUAUUUUAACCGAUGACAAAAUGGUUACUGUUCAAACGUCUGUAUUUAUGUUGCUGCAUGAUUUCAAUUAAUUUCCAGCAUGUAAAUUUUAUUUUCCAGCCUCCAAGAAUCAAUUUUCAAUAAAAUCAUUGUUCAGCAGUUUAAAUACUUUGCAAACAUAAAUUGAUUCCCAGCAUAUUAAAAAAAGUAAAAAUUACACUUUUUGAAACAAAUUUCCAGAAUAGGGAAAAUGGAUUUCCAGCAUUGUUUUAUAAAUUUUCAGAGGUGAUUUCCUACAUGUUAAUUAGCCAGGUUUUGAAUCUUGUUUUCUUUACCCAUUUUUUGUUUUGGUGUUUUGUCUUAUCUGUUUUUCGUUUCCUUAAUUGGGUAUUUCUGUUUUUGGUUAAAUAUUGUGCCUUUGGUUGGAUUGUAGUUAUAUCUUGAUCAUUCUACAGUUUACUGGACAUGUUCCUUUUUGGAGUUUUUUUGGGGGGGUUUGCUUUUGAGGCAUUUCUGUGUGAAGCUGCUACUGGCAUUGGGAUUUUUUUACAAGCUAUAAGUCUAGCUUUUUAAUUAAGUGCUCUCGGAAAAAAACUAUUCUCUCCCUCUUAUUUUAUGUAACGUUAUUUUUUUUACUCCGUUCCAAAAAAUGCCAUCUUACUGUAAUUAGAAUAUUUAGACCACAUUUCAAAAGUCUUUCAUUGUGCCAAAUAAAAUAGCAUGUGCAGCAGAAUAAAGUUCCAAAUUUUUGAAUUUUAUACAUGUUAAAUAUACUUGAGUAUACUUUUUGUUGUUUUUGUAGGUAUGGGUAAACCUAAAAAAGUCUUCUCAUCAAAGGCUGAAAGUUCAGAUCUUGCGAAAAAGAAUUUCUUCAAAAAGGUAAUUAGUUAUGUAAAGAAUAUAAAUUUCUUAGUUUUGUUUUUGUCUGAGAGUGGUAAACCUACAACAACAACAACAACAAACCCAGUAUAUUCCCACAUAGUGGGGUCUGGAGAGGGUAAAAUGUACGCAGUCUAUAUCAUUACCCCCGAAGGAGUAGAGAGGCUGUUUCCGAUAGACCUCCAGCUCAAGACCCAAUAUAUUCACUGUAAAGUUGAAGAUAGCAACUCAGUUUUUGAUAGCCUAAUCACUGUAAAGAUGGAAAACUGUCAUUUUGUUUAAAAGACAAAGCAUUUAAGAUUACCAAAUAUAAGACAACAUUGAGAUAAUUCUUCACUUGCUGGUUGUUUGUGUUUUAAUUAUCAAAUUAGAAAUAACAUUGAGAUAAUCCUAUAAUCCUCCACUUUUUUUUUUAAUGUUUUAAUGAUGUCUCCUCCUCUUUCUUUCUCUGUUUUCUUGCUUUUUUGUUUUUUUCAGAUUGAAUUUAGUUGGGUGGGCAAGGAUGCACUUCUUGGUGUCCACGAUCAAGGAAGAUGUAGUAAGUGUAGCUUCUAUUAAUAAUUAUUAUUAUAUUAUUAUUAUUAUUAUUAUUAUUAUUAUUAUUAUUAUUAUUAUUAAUAAUAAUAAUAAUAAUAAUAAUAUUGUAUUAUUAUUAAUAGGUAAUUAUUCUUGUACUAUUAUUAUUAAUAAUAAUAAUAAUAUUGCAUUAUUAUUAAUAGGUUGUUGUUGGGCUUCCUCUGCCACGGGAGCAAUAGCGGCUGCCGUUGCCAUAAAAAGAAACCUACAACCUAUUGCACUGUCAAAACAACAACUCAUUGACUGCAUGUUUAACCAUUACUCAAAGCCGGAUGAGGCCAAAAAAUUGAAUAAAAAAAAGUGUUUCCCUCUUUGCUGUGAGAAGGCAUAUAUAUUUGCAAUGGAACAAGGUUUAUGUGAAGAAGAAUAUUAUCCCUUCAUCAAGGAAAGGAGUGAAUGCAAAAUGCCACAAAUAUUACAUGACACGGUGUGUAGCUGUAAUUCUUCGUAUUGUUCAUUUGUAUUGUUCAGUAAAAGUCUUAUCUUUACUGAUCUUAUCUUUACCGUUUUUUUUUUGCAGGAAAUACUCAAGAUAGCUGAUUACCAAUUAUUAGAUAUUGACAUGCUGAGUAAAAAGGAUACAGAAGAAUAUAUCAAAACACAACCUAUCACGUGUACUAUUGAUCUUUAUCCUAGUUUUCGCCGCCACACCGGACAGGUUCUCAUUUAUCUUUUUCAAUUAAUGUUCAUGUGGAUGUCUUCUAAUUUUCUUUCUUGUUUCUUAAAUACAGGGAGUUUACAUGGCCACUGAGAAAGAAGUUGAAAGAUUUCAGAAGCUAUUUGAUGAAGGAAAAAAUAUACCAGCACAUGCUAUGCUGAUAGUAGGAUAUGGGAUGGAAAAUGGUGAAGAGUUCUUUUUGGUGCAGAAUAGUUGGGGGACAAAAUGGGGUUAUUAUGGAUUUGCAAAAAUCAAGCGGCGUUUACUUUAUGAUUUACAAUAUCCUCUGAUACAUUGAUGAGCCUUGUGUUUUUUUGCUGCCAGAAACUAUUUUGUGACAUUUGUAAUAGGUAGUGGAUUGUUUCUUUCAACUGCAUAGUUAAACAUGAUAGGCACUUAUCAUAGGAUGGAUAGCUUCAUUGAUUUUGCUUUGAGAUAGAUACCCACCUCUCUUUUCACAUUUUUUUACUGGCUUUAUUUCUGGUCUCUGAAUGAGAUAAUUCUUUUAGUUUCCACAGUUUUGUUCGUAGCUGAUGUUUGAUUGCCUGUUGAAUAUUGUAUUGCUUCUAUUUGUUCUUGAGAUCUUCUCAUUGAUUUUUUCUUCUUUCGACUUUGUAAAACUAUAUAUAAAAAUAGAUGCUCUCCGAUUUUAGGUGAUUGCUUCAACUGAUGCUCAGAUGCUGUUUUCCGUUGCAAGUUCUUCAAAUGUCCCAAUCUUCGAUUAAAAUACAAUUAUAUCCUGCAUUUUGUAGAUUUAUAUGUGAUUUCUGGUUGGAAGUUUGUUGAGGGAUUAUUAUGUGAAGCUCCGUCCUUAUAGGCAGCAAGCACUCGCUGCACUUUCGGCAACACAGUAAGUUGGAAAGCAAGUACUUUGGGUCAUUUAAGGUUCUGAAGUGAAUUGGUUGAGUUGCGUGCAUAGGAACCCCGGGCAAACAAGUCACCCUUGUAGCACAUGGGCGGAGCUACCUUUGACAAAGGGUGGUCAAAUGCACACCCUUCGCUGGAAAAUUACAUAGUGAAUAGAGGUUAAAUGUUAACCAUAAUGAAUGUAUAUUCAAUUUUGCACACUCUUUAACUUAGUUGAGAAUAAAAGUUGCAUACCCUUCACCAUAUUCCUAGAUCCGCCACUGCUGUAGCAGUUACACAAUGAUAGUCCAUAGGAGAAAUUUGUAAAGAGGUAAUGUUAUGACCACGCACCAAGUGAGACACAAUGUAUGCAAGAGCACUCGGCCUGUACAUAUUAAGCUUUGAAAAUUGAACUGCUUGUGAAUUCCACAGUGAACUUUUUGCCAAAAAAUGUUAACGUGAACUUAGAUUUAUGGAAGUAAUUAACUUUGUGAAUCCAUAUUCUGGAAAUGCAUGUUGGAGUCUCAUCCGAAUCUAUCAACAAUAUCACAUCGUCCUUCGGGAAUAGAAUAGAGUCAAGGAAUAUGUUCAAGGUUCAUAGGAAUGAAGACACACGAUAAGGAGUCAUGAAGUAAAUUUCCUAAAAUGUCACUGUAGCCUCCCGAAGAUAGGUUACGGACGUCUCUGCACCGAUCCGCAGGACUCUACAAACACUUAGCUCUUGUACUAAUACACCAACGAAACCUGGCUCUGAUACCAAUUUAUCACGACCCAACUUUUCAGGUCAUGAUAGUGCCUACCAUAACCCACCAGUAGGCAAGCCAACUUGUAAUCCGGAACGGCUAGUAACGGACUACUCAAUAACUUAAGGAAAAGAAUGCGGAAUAUAUGAGAUAAAGAUCAAUACAUAGACAAAUCUCAAAGCCUGGCGGUAUCAGUACAAGAGCUUCUAAACAUAAUAAGAGUACAAAAGUGAUAUAUCAAGGAGAAAUACACCGAUUCAACUUACCUCUGAAUACAACUUAGAGGCUAGUCUAAUACAUAGGAGGGAGAUAAGUAAUACUCUGAACGUCAAAAGCUCACUCUAAGUAUCCGAAUCAGGGCUACUUGAUAUCUUGCAACCCCAAAAAGACAUAAAACACACCACAAAUGGAGAGCCCAAGGAACCAAGUCUCGGCCAAGAAUGACAACACAAGAAUGAAAAGAAAAUCCGAGAAUGAUUCAACAAUGGUGAGAUAAUAACAUGUAUAACCACACCAAAACAGCAACAACAUUACAUUAAUGUGAUGAACAACAAGCUUACAAUAACAACAACCAACGAUUACAAGAGGACAAGACACAACUACUACAAGAUGACAACAAAAGUAAAGGGAUAGAUAGUUAGACAAAGGUGGUGUAAACCCUAGCAACCAAAGAAUACAUUAAACUCUAAGACCCCUAACACCUCACACGAUCACCUAACUCUUACGAUGACACAAGAGCGGAGUCCACCACUCAAGUGCCAAGGUUUCUCAAAAACAAGAAAUCACAAGAGAUUCCACCCUUGAAUUGUUAUCCUAGUUACAAGUUUCGGUUUGCCUCAAGUAGAGAGAGGGCUUUGGUGUUUCAAAUGUCCUACAACAAUAAUCAACUAAAGAACUAAAGACAUAAAACUAGUCUAUUUAUAGACUUAUUACAAACAUAAGUGAAAUGUCUCAAAUGCCCUUAAUGAAAGGAAGACAAAAGGUGCCUAUGGAGUGUAGUGUAUUGCCCAUUCUUGGUGUGUGAUAUGGUGUUCCUUUGCACUUCACUUGCACACUUUGAGUCUUGGGUUCGACGCGCACUCUCAUAAGUUUAUCUCCGUGAUUAUUCUUGUAUCACUAGUCCACUCGAUGGACACAUCAACGGCGAUAACCCAUACUAUGAUUUGUAGGCUGCAGAGGUGUAUUAUGAGUACCAAACGAAUGGUACUCAAUAGGCAACUGCCAACUAAGCUCCAAAGAUAAAGUAGAUAUAUACAACAUAUAAACAGAAUGAAAACUACAACCAAAAGUUCAUGAAUCAUAUAAUAAGUCAAUGAGAAUAACAAGGGACAACUAUCAUAUUUAUGUCCAAGAGUCUAACAUAAGAAGACUAAGGAAGAAUCAAAGGGAACUAUCCUAUUCCGGCUACAUCCAGUAUAUGACAAUGUAAUACUGUAUAUCCCAGGUCAAUAUACAAGUAAAGAGCGAAAGAAAAAUAUAUUGUAAUAUACAAGGAUAAAGAACGACUAUACAAUAUGAACAAUGAAUGAAGGGAUAUCCGAUAGUACCAUGGCUUCAUCUCAAACAUAAACUAAACUGUCAUGUUCUCAUUUUAAGACCUCAUUAUAAUACUAUCAGGAUUCAAUAUUAUAAUACUAUCAGGAUUUAAUACCAACAUACUUAGGAUUUCUAAUCCAUAUGGCUAGACAUAGAAUAAUCGUGCAUAGUAAUGUAAUCAUAAGAUAGCAAAGGUUGAAGACAUACCUCAAUCUCAAUGCCGGAUCCAUGACCAAUCUGUCAUAAGCUAGCCAUAAUAAUGAUCAUAACCAUGAUAAUAACAAUGUCAAUAACAUCGUAAAUAAUCGGCUACUCCGGACAACCAAAUACCUAGCCGAGCCUGUGCGUACCCCCACCACCCCAGACUCAGAAGGUUCAAUCAACAAACAAUAACACAAGAUAUAUUCUUCACCCAUAUCUAUGCAACCGUCCCAUUCCGACUGAUAGACAUAGGUGCAUAGUGGUGAUAAGCGAUACACAUGCAGAAAUGAAUGCAAAAUAUACCAUCAAUAUCACAAUGCAUCAUAACUGUCCUCAUCAGGACCAUCAUCAUCGUCAUCAACCUCCGGCCUUACCGGGUAUCAAUAUCAUCUCAAUAGUAUCCUCCGAACUCGAACCGAGUAUCAAUAUUAUCACAAUAUCCUCCUUCCUUGCCGAGUACCAUUAUCAUCUCAAUAGUAUCCUCCGAACUCGAACCGGAUAUCAAUAUCAUCAUAAUAUCCUCCGGCCUUGCCGGGUAUCAAUAUCAUCUCAAUAGUAUCCUCCGGCCCGAACCGGGUAUCAAUAUCAUCAUAAUAUCCUCCGGCCUUGCCGGGUAUCAAUAUAUCAUCAUAACUUUUGACACAUAAAUAUAGGCAUAUAAUAGGUGCACAGACGCAAGCCGAUAUACUCAUAAUCGUAAAGAUAUCUAUCUUAUCAAUACACCCAAUUACUCAUUAUUAGUUAACCAACAUUUAUUAUUAUUAAACCGCUAGUUCGCUAGUCAUCACAUAACCUCUAAUUAUUAGCCUAAAUAUUAUCCUUCACAUAAUCCUUAUUUACGGGAUAACAACUACCCACUAUUCAUUUAAUAGUCUACAUCUAACAUCUAGUCUAAGUUCAUCAUUAGAUCAAAACCGUCAUUUAUCCACCAUUCAUUAUUAUCAACUAUUCAUCCUAUUUUUGUUAAUCAUUACUAGACAACACAUUACUACUUGUCGCCUAACCAUAUUUUAUUAAAUGAAAUCAUUCAUUAACUAACCAUCAUCAGCUACCAUGUUCCAACUAAGCAAGAUUCAUUAACUAAUACAUUAGCUUCUUAGCCAUCAAGUGCAAUAGUUAGCUAAUAGACAACUAGUUACCACAUAGCUUAACCGUCUAACAAGAAGAAAAAACCAUAAGAUCAUAUUUCGGCUAUAAUCACAUCAUUUAUAAUGGUAAAUAAUCAUGAACGUACCAAACCUAUACAUGCCAUCACCAGUAUUCAAUCAAUGGAAUAAUAAGCAUCAUACCGCAUCUUGCUCCGUCCCAUACCGGAGAGAUGUGUAUUCAAACAUAUACAUAUUCAUAUUCAUAAAUCGCAAUCACAUCAUUCAUAAUGAUAAAUACUUAGAUAUUUAAUCAGUACCAUAAUAACACGGCCCUUGGCCCUUGGCCCAUUAAUUUAUCCGGAAUAAUCACAACAUCAUAAUCAUGGCCUUAGGCCCAUAUACAUAUCCGAAACUCAUAUCAAUAAUCAUAUCUAUAAACCGUAGCAUAUCUAUAAUCAUCUCACAUAUAUGAGGCAUCUCACAUCUAGGAGGCAUAAUAUCAACAAGCAUAUCGCCUCUAUUAGAUAUCUCAUAUCUAUAGGUUAUGCAUCAGGACCAAGAGGAAAAUCGUCUCUAUAAGCUCAAUAAUUAUAACUAAGAGGAAAAUCAUCUCUAUGGACAAAAUAUCAUAACUAAGAGAAAAAUGCAUCUCCAUAGGCAAAAUAUCAUAAUUAAGAGAAAAAUGCAUCUAUAUGGGUCAAAUAUCAUAAUUCAAAGGAAAAUUCAUCUCUAUAGGCAAAAUAUCAUAAUUAAGAGGAAAAUGCAUCGCUAUGGGCAAAAUAUCAUAAUUAAGAGAAAAAUGCAUCUCUAUGGGCCAAAUAUCAUAAUAAAGAGGAAAAUGCAUCUCUAUGGAUCACUAAUCAUAAUCCGACAAAAAUCAUCACAAUUUAUCAAUUCACCAAGUAAUUCUCAUAAAUAAGGCUCAUUAGUCUCAACUAGGUCUACUAUCCGCAACUAAGCCCACAAGGACUAACACAAAUCUUGACCUAAGUAGGCCGGAUGAUCCCACUUCUAAUCCAUAAUUUUCAUAAUUACGCAUACUAUGCUCCAAACUAGGCUAAGGUAUCUAGUUCAGCCUCUAGAUGUCAAGCAAGCCAUAUUAACGCCAAAGACAGUAACUUUGACUAGAAACAAGGGUGCUCAAGUCAACUUUACCAAACUUACGGUUCCAAAACUAUCACACUAGCCCAAUAAGGCUAAAUAUACAAAUCAUGCUUCAAAUGCUAAACCAUAUUUUGAGCAUAGCAUUAUAUCAUAUCCAUGCUACAAAUUUACCCAAACUAGGAAGAAGGCAAUAGGAUUCUACAAGGGUAUUAAGUAAUUCAACAUACAGGUCCAAAACCCUAUCUAAUCUCCAAACUUAUAUGUAUAUUCAAUACUAAGUCAUUCUAUCCAAUAUCAAUCUUAAUAUUCACAUUCACACGCAAUAUAUAUCAUACAUCAUUCAUGAAGAAGAGUAGACAGAAGCCUACCUCAAGGCUAAACCGCAAAAUCACACUUCAAGCACCACAUGCUCGUCUUCACUUCACAAUCCUCAAAAUGCCAUCACACUAUCAAAAAUAUAAUCUACUCAUCAAUAUGAGUCUAACGAUACCCAUAUUGCACUAUUGUGCUUCGGGUCCAAAAAUAACACCAAAAACCCCAAGUGGAUCCCACAUACGGAAAUCGCAUUUCCGAGGUUAACUCAAUGUUCAUCUAUCACCAAGGAAGCAUAUCCCUCAAUUGACGGGUGCAAACAAACAAAAUUUGGGGCUAAAUCAAGCCCUAGGCUAAAUUGGGGUUUUUGGGUCAAGAACAAUGAAAUUCACCAAUAAAGUGAUGAAAUCCUACCUUAAUCCGGAUGAUAAUCAUGAUAAAAGAUGUUUACCAAGCUCCCUAGACAUCCACAAGACUCAAUUUUGAGUUAUCGUACCCAUUCAAGGGUUUAGGUUCUCAAAUGUGAAAGAAAAAUCCCCAAAAUCGCGAUCUUGGGGUCUAUUUAUAGACCCCUCGGCGAAGAGACGCGGUACCUGUGACAGCAAAGUCAAAAACUUGUUUUUGACCCUCAGAACUCAUUCGGAACCCAAAAUAUAUGAUCCAAUAGUGAAAUUUGAGUGUAAACCACAAUUCAAAUCCAUUGGAAUCAUCAAAACUUCCAUACAAGACCGUUUAGGCAAAAAGUGGGGCCCACCUAUAUAGUUUCGAUUUUAUGACUUUUCGACUAAUAGGUCGAAAUGAGCUCGGAUGCAUUGGGACCCAAACCAAAGGUCUAUCUAGACUAAAAUCGAUAUUUCGGAUACGCUGGCACAGUAAAAAUUUUCAUCCGAGAUCUUUUCGUUGAAAUUUUUGAUCGGUGGCCAAUUGGAACCAAUGAAGACUUCUAAACAGGGAAUUGACUCUAAAAAUCAAACGAACUGCCCGGUAACCGAACCCUCAGUCCCAGCAAGUCAUAAAUGACUUGGGGCAGCUAUGGAGAAGCUCGAAUGGUAAAGAUAAGCAUAAAUAUGAAAAAUGACCUGAAGGGUCAUUACAAUAUUCAUUACUAAAAGAACUUUCGUCCCCGAAAGUCAAUGAAUAGAAAGAAUCUCAAAGGCUCGAAGUGAUAAGGUACUGGGCCCGCAUGCUCCAAGAAUGACUUCCCAGGUAACCUCUACAAGGAGAGAACACAUGCAAGGGAUUUCACCACAGGUAUCCCUUUUUCAACCUGCACCCUCACUUUACUUCCCAAACAACCAAACCUCAACUUCAACCGCUAGAUUGCCUCCAACUGAACUGAAAAGACUGAUGCACGCAAAUAUGAAUCACAACACGUUGAUACCAACUCAAGUAUGUUACUCCCAUUGAGUAAAUCAUCCAAAAUUCCUAAAGAAAAUUGAAUCUUGAGGUCAAAACUGAUAUAACCAAUAUGGGGCCCAUGAGCUAUCAUCUGAACACUUAUCAACUAUAAUCCAACCGACGCCAAGAAGACCAAAUAGAUAACCACAGACCCACCCAAAAAGAUUACUAUAUCAUUUCAACUACUAGACCUUCAAAGUUUAUCACACCCACAAAGUAAUUCUUUUUUUUUUAAUAACCGUGUUGUCCAGCCAUCUUGCCCGCAGCUCAAACUAUUUUAACACGGACUACUUGCACCUCCCACCACCAAUAGUGUUAAGUGUUGCUACCAGGUAAUUCUGUCCACUCAAGGAGAAUAGAUAGGAAGAAAUCACUCAGUGUUUUGUCUCUGCUGGGAUUUGAUAUUGAGCCCUCAUGGUGCUCAACCCACUUCAUUGACCACUAGGCCAACACCCUUAGAUGCCACCCACUAACAAAUUCAUUGAGAAGCAAAAUAUAUAGAGUACAAAGCAGAGAAAGAUACCCCAGCUCAUAUAACCUGCCACAAGUCUAAGGUGAAGCCUUUGUGAUGAAACAAGUCCAAAAUGAGUCGGCCUCAAUGUAUAAUCGACCUCAACUAGUACUAAUUUUUGUAACUUAGUUAAAUCAACCAAGAACUCGUCAGCUAACUCUCAAGAAAGAAUUACUAUUCGUUUCAACUACUACCUCUGCACCCAAUGGUGUGGCCUAGCAGUCAAUAAAGUCGGGCGAGCACCAUGAGGUCUCAGGUUCAAAUCCAACAGAUAUAAGCACUACAAGCAUCCUAUGGAAUUAGUCAAGGUGAACGCAAGCAGGCCCAAACACCACAGUUAUCCAAAAAACACUCUACUAGACUAACCAAGAACUUGUCAACUAACUCUCAAGAAAGAAUUACAACUACUAGACCCCUGCACCCAAUAGUGUGGCCUAGUGUCAAUAAAGUCAGUUGAGCACCAUGAGGUCUCAGGUUCAAACCUCAACAGAGAUAAACACUACAAUGUAUCCUAUGGAAUUAGUCCAGGUGAACACAAGCUGGCUCAAACACCAUAGUUAUCCAAAAAACACUCUACUAGACCUCCAAAUUUUUUCACACCCACUAACUAAUCUUUUAGAAGCAAAAUGUAUAGAGUACAAAGCAAAGAAAGAUACCACAACUCAUAUAACCAGCCACAAGUCUAAAUAAAGGUGAAGCCUUUGUGAUGAAACACGUCCAAAUUAGUGGACUCAAUACAUACUCGACCUCAACUCGUACUAAUUAUUGCAACAUUAGUUAAAUCAACCAAGAACUCGUCAAGCUAACUCUCAAGAAAGAAUUACUAUUCAUUUCAACUACUAGACCUCCGCACCCAACGGUGUGGCCUAGUGGUCAAUAAAGUCGGUCGAGCACCAUGAAGUCUCAGGUUCAAAUCUAACAGUGAUAAACACUACAAUGUAUUCUAUGGAAUUAGUCGAGGCGAACGCAAGCUGGCCCAGGCACCACAGUUAUCCAAAAAAAACUCUACUAGACCUCCAAAUUUUUCACACCCUCGUCAGCUAACUCUCAAGAAAGAAUUAUUAUUCAUUUCAACUACUAGACCCCACACCCAACGGUGUGGCCUAGUGGUCAAUAAAGUCGAUCGAGCACCAUGAGGUCUCAGGUUCAAAUCCCAUCAGAGAUAAACACUACACAUAUCCAAUGAAAUUAGUCAAGGUGAACACAAACUAUCCCAGACACCACAGUUAUCCAAAAAACACUCUACUAGACCUCCAAAAUUUUUCACACCCAUUAACUAAUCUUUUAGAAGCAAAAUGUAUAGAGUUCAAAGCAGAGCAAGAUAACACAGCUCACCAUAAGGGUGUAGCCUUUAUGCUGAAAAGAGUCCAAAUCUAAUGAGCCACAACUAUUUUAUUACUAAUUGUUGCAACACUAAUAAAAUGCAAAAGGGUAUUAAAGGGGCUAAUAAAAUUGUACCUUUAAGCUUUUUCAACCCAUCAACAUAUAAUCAACCACAACUAUUUUACUAAUUGUGAGUGUAAAGAAUGGAUCCUGGGCCUAACUCAACCUAGCUUUGCCUAACUCAACCUCAAAAACAUCUUAGGCCUAACUCAACCUCUAAAGCUAGCUCAUGAGGGGAGGAUUGCUCAAAUCCAUAUAAGGAGAUCAAUUACCCAUUCUUUUCCGAUGUGGGAUACUUAACACUCCUUGCACGCUCAAACCUAGUUAACUGGCGCGUGGACAACAUAAUAUGGGAGCCCAACAUCGGUUAACAACGAUUUGGAAUGGACCUGACUCUAAUACCACGUAAAGAAUGGACUUUGGACCUAACUCAACCUCAAAAGUUAAGCUCACGAGGGGAGUAUUGCUCAAGUCCACAUAAGGAGACUAAUUACCCAUCCCUUUUCCGAUGUGGAUAGUUUAACAGUUACAACACUAAUAAAAUGCAAAAGGGGAUUAAAGGGGGCUAAUAAAAAUUGUACCUUUGAGCUUUUUCACCCCAUCAAUGUGUACACAAGAAAGUGAUCUUAAAGUCAUCCAUGUAAAUCCACUUAGGAAAAAAUGGUCUCUUCUAACACUAAUUUGAGCAUGACCCAUAAUUUCUUGACACAAAUAAAGAUUCUUGCUCAAUAAUUCUUGGACCAUAAAGUUUCAUUUUGGAUGUGCUUAAAAUUCUCAUUUUGUCAACCCCAUAAUUUUUUCCCUUUCAGUUUUGUGUGCUGUAAGCAAAUUGUGAAGGUUUGUUAUGGUCAGUGUAGAUGAUGAACAAGAAAAUGACCAGCUAAUUUCAAGAUUUUUUAUUUUUUUUAAUUUGUUUAUUGACUCACACAAAAUUUAAGGAAUAAAAAAAAAUUCAAUCUUGUGAUAUUAAAUUAAAAUCAUAAUAAAUGUAUUAAUUUCAUUUAUAUUUAGAUAUCGAAUAUACAAAAAUAGAUAUGCAAUAAUAUUUGUUUAGUUUGAAAAUUAAUAGAUAAUUUAUUAAAAAAUUAAUUGAUAAUUUAUUAUUUUAUAUUUAUUUUUGUUAUUAAAUAUUAGCUAAUAAUUUUAUUAAAACAUUAAAUUUAUUAUAUUCAAAAGGAUGAUAAUUAUUCUUAUUAUUUAUUGUCUCAACUUUUAAUUAUAAUGUGUCAAGUCAAUAAUCGAUAAGUAAUAAUGAAUAAAAAAAGUAUUAAAAUAUUUUUUGAUAUUGUAGUCUAUAACAUAUUAUGUAAAAAAAUGAAAUUAAAGAGUGGCUUAAAACAGAAAGAUAUAUUCUUUAAAAAUAGAUUAAAAAAAUAAAAUACUAAAGAGACGUUCUUCUUAAAUGAAUAGAAGGUCGUGUCAAAUCAAAAUCAAACAAACACAUGAAAGUUAAUUAGGUCAAUUAUCAGUUGUUCAUUUUUUUUACGUGAACUAUUAACAUCUACUCAACUAGGCGUAUUUUAAUACAUAGAUGUUGAUAGUGCAGGUUAAAAAGGGGAACUAUACUAAUAGUUAGGAUUUGAAACUCGCGAGAAAAUUGUAGUUUCGAUGUGUUUUUGACCAUUAUCUCGUUUUAAUUUGCUGUGAAUUGAUGAUUAUGGAGUGUUUUGUUAGGUUUAUAUUUGAUUAAUUAUCAAGGGAAUGUUAGGUUUUAUAUUCGAUUAAUUAUCAAGGAAGAUUCUUUGAAAACUUUGGUCUAUAAACAAACAUUGACAUAGCAUAUAAUUCAACGUUCCGAGGAACUAGUCGAGGUGCAUGCAAGCUGGCCAGCCUCCGCACCUUAGUUAUCAAAAAGAUUCAAACUUACUGAUGUUCAAAUUUUGAAUAGUUAGGAAGGGAUAUUGAAUGAUGUGUACCAAAUCUAGAAGCUUAAACUGAGAAAGAAGGGAUAUUCUUAUUUGGUUAAUUUGAGUCUGCAAUAGGCGUCUUUCUUAAAAACAACGGAGAAAAGUAAAUAAAGAGUAAAGAAGAUGGGAGUUUUUAACAAGUUUAAACAGAACAAUACAUCUAUGUAUGUCACAAAGUUUUACAGUCAAUAUUUUCUAUUUUGCAUCAUUUCUCUUGCAAGCACGAGAGAAAUGAUGAGAAAUUCUUAAGCCAAUCUGUGAAUCAAAACGACAAUCACAAAUCAACAUAAAAUUCAUACAAAAGCUAGAGGACCUUGUGCUGGUAAACCGAUUUAACAGCUGCAAGAGGAACCUCAGCAAAUUGCGUAUCAGCCAGGAUUAGUUGAUAAGUGAUCGCUGCAAUGACCUUUUGACAUAAUGAAAAGCAAAAAAGAAAAAGGAUUAGAGCAGAAUUUCAGUUAAGGCAACAUGUAGUCAGUCAUGACAAUUGAUAUAACAUGCAGACUAUAGUAUAAAACCAGCAAAUCUUUGCAAGAACACAACUUGUGCAGUUAAGUAGUACUUUUAUCCAUACAAAUCAUCUAUAUGCAUGCCAUCAAGCUCGAUGACCUUGAGGAUGGAAUAUUUGUUAUUUCCAUUUAUCCCAUCUAACACAUAAUAAAUACAAGUGCGGUAAUGCUUUAGAGUAUACCUCCCCAGGUUCUAUGCCUUUCUUGGUUUUCAGAACUAACGUGCAAUACUUCCUGCAAAAGCAAUCAACAUUCAAAAUGCAGAUUCUCAUCCAUCUGAAAAUUUUGUGAAAUCCAGCAGGCUAUAAUAUUUCUUAUUGCAAAAAUGGUAGCAACAAUGCAGGAUUGUACUAAAAGAGUGUGUAAGUAACAUAUAAACUACAUGCUUAUACCCGUUCAAUAAACAUCUUUCAAGGAACUGUGACUCUUUUCCUGUGUUUGCAGCAUAAUUCAUGUCCGGAAGUUCUUUUGAAUAAAUGUUCAAUACGUCCUGCCACAGCAUAGACAAUAGAGUGAGGACUAUACAAGGCAACAGCUUAAUGUAAGCAUUAGUAUGGCCAAUUUGUCCACUUUUACUUGUCCCGUUUUACUUCAAUAAAGUCAAUCUGACUAAACUUGGAAGCUCACUAUUCGAAAACUAUACAAAAAUGCUAUAAGUUGCAAUCGUUCUCGUGUUAAUAUGAUGAAAUAUAUAUGCUCUUGAAAAGCGAAACCUGACAAAUAAUUCUAAUGUAAACUUCCCAGCUUCCACAACAACCUCGCAAUUUCCAUAAAAUUACAAACAAAAAAUGAAAAUUAGAGAUCUCAUGAGAAAAUUACUCCCUCUAUCUACUUUUACUUGUUGCGUUUUGCUUCAAUAAAGUCAAUCUGACUAAACUUCCAAAAUCACUAUUCGAAAACUAUACAAAAAAUGCUAUAAAUUGCAAUGGUACUCGUAAUAAUAUGAUGAAACAAAAAAUAAUACAACUUCAGUCAAAAUUCAUGCAGUUUGAAUCUCAAAAAAAGAAACGUGACAAGUAAAAAUAAACCGAGAGAGCAUUUGAACCGUUACCGGAACAAUUUUGGUUCUUUCUUACCGAUUGAUAUGGGAGAAGAAGAUGAUUUCUUGGCGCCAUUGUUACUUUCCAAGUUUUUUUUUUGGGGGGGGAGAAAGGGAGAGAAAUGAGAGGUUUUGUAUUUAUAGGUGAGGAUUUUAAGCGGGAAGAGGGAUAGGGAUUUUUGAAUUUUCGAUUUAGGGAUAAUUAUACUUUUGAUUCCUUAAUUAUUGUUCCCUCCGUUCAUUAAUAUUUGUUUAUUAUUGAAAGACCCUUAAACUAAAAUCAAGCGUAAAAAAAAAAAAAUAGAAGCGUGCAAUAUACAUACAUUUUAUGGGUAUAUACUUUCUCAACCUUCAAAGGUAACAUAUCCCUCACAAUGUGCUUGAGUAAUUUAUGUUCAACAAUAUGUGAUGUUUUCUAUUUUAUAGAGCCAAUUUAGUUUUUAUUGAUUGUUUAGUAGUACACAGCUACUUUAUAGGGUGAUUUUGGUAUUUUCAAUGGCCUAUAUACGAACAGUUCUCUUGCCUAAAUUUUUGAAGUGUUGUUUCUUCACGGUCUGGGUUGACCUUUCAUUUCUUGGUUUAAGCUGCCAUUCUUAUUGCAGACUAAGCUACAGUUUCUAAAGGAGUUUCACAAAGAAGAUUGAUAAUAAAGAGAUGAACAACACAAUUGUUGAUUUUGAUCCAUCCUUCAACCUGUGGUUUCUGUCACACUGUGGAUGGAACUAGGUUGCUUGUAUGCGUAAUGUAUUUUUAUGGAGGAUUGCCCAACAACAUUUUUUAGAGUAAUACGACCCACGUCUUCAUAUACAUUGUUAUCACUAAACUAUACUAGGUAAUCAAUAAACAUGCUCAGAUUUCAAUAUCUACGAGGAUAUGGCGCUAACCCCAAGUGUCUCGCCGGCCAAUAAAAGGAAUACAAAUAUCUAUUAAGCUUCAACCAAACAAGAAGAUAUAGAAUAAUAAAACAACACAAUUAUACCGUCUUUAACUUAAAAGAGCAAUCUUUUCCAUAAAUUAUAACAAAGGUCAGCCACAGUAGUUCUUUAUACUUUUCACACUAGACUUUGAUAAUCCAUUGUCAGUUACUAGAAACUAAACCAUUGAGGCACACACUUCACAUCAAAGAUAUGCCAUCACUACCCUUCACCUACACAAAAGCACAAGAGAGUGAGUUAGUAACAUGCUCAAACUUUGUUAAUUCUUUUAAAAAAAAAAAAAAAAACUAAAAACUUUGUGGCGCAGAUCAGGUUUUGGUAAAUAAUUUCCAGGCUCCUUUAUUAAGCUUAUACCAAACUGAAUAUUAUAUUUACAUUUAUUUUCUAAUAGAAAUACCUUUUUUCCCAUUUGACUUAAUUAAGCUUUCUCAGGACAAACUUAUCUACCAUAAACUGCUAAUUCGUUCUCUGAGAUAUUUAAAGUUAUGAAACUUCAACCAAAAAAAAAAAGGAAUGAAGUAAUGAACAGAUCUCAUUACCCUUGGCCUGACGAUAAGGACCUUCAAAGAUUUAUGUAGACGGUCCACCACCUUAACUUGAAAAUAUUCCGACUCGCCAUUCUUGACCGAAAGGGUUAUAUAGUAAGUUACGUCUCUACAGCCAUCUUCGUUAACCCUGAUAAUCUCAUUGACCUCAUAUGUAGUGCCCUAACAUGAAUACACAGGAAAUUUCUCAGCUUUCUAGAGAAAAUAAGGAAAAAGAACAAGUAGACAGACAAAUGGCAAGCGUUACUAGAGCAUACAUGUUUUUUGUUGUACCGUUCAAGUGCCUGUGCGGCAUAACCCUUCAUCAAUUUAACGUUCUCGAGAUCUUCCAAGUAGUACCACAUCGGGGUUAUGGAACGGAAUGGAACCGAACUAGGAUAAUCUUUAAUGUCAAAUCCCUAUCAAAGUAAGAGUCGACCAAAUAGAGACAAACAUCACUUAUUGCAACCAACCAAUAUGUUGUAAGAAAUAAGCUUUGGAAAAAAAAUCAGUAAGUUAUAUCAUAUCAGACAAGUAUCCAAGAAUUUUAUUUGCUUGUAAGUACCACAUAAAAUGGUGUUGUUUUUCACAUUUCGUUUAUUUUCAUUAGCAUAUCCACAUAUGAUAUUCAAUCUUUCCCACGAUUCUGACAUAAGUGAGCAUAUCAAAACUAGCGAAUUCCGAUCCCCCCCCCUUUUUUUGAGAAAGUAACAUCGAUCCCCCUUUUCUUUUAUUAACAUGCUCUAUACUAAAAAAGACUCAAAAGUCACUUCCUGCCGAAUUGCACCACUUUGGUUUAGGGCCUAGAGAUUGUAACAGUUGAAAGCCAAAACAAUUGAAGGAGCAGAGAGAGCAAUCAAACUUGAUGUUUGGCAUCCACGUGGUGUUGUUUAAUGGUGGUGGUUACUGUUUGACUACCAUAUGAUGCCUUCAAAAGAAACAAGAAGAAGUAAUGCUAGAAAAAAUAUAUUUAACCCAAUGCAGAAGUUAUACGGGAUUGAAACAUGGAAUGUCAUUAGAAAUUUCAGUUCCCAAAAAUUCUUCCUUCUUUUUGCUAGUUUCAACAACAACAUCCCACAGGUUGAUUCUGAGGAGGGUCGAAGAUAAGAAGUUUUGUUUCAGAAAGACACUCGGCUGAGCAAUAAGUGAAAAAGAGACAUUAGCAACAAACGGAAACAGCAGCAAGGCGAAACAACUGGUACAUGUAUUAAUCUAAUAGUCUCCUGCGUUUCAUUAGACUGAAACUCAAUAUUAUAAUCUCCCUAACCGUACUGAUGUGCCAAGUCGUCUGAACAAGUUAUGGAUACAACACAUUAGAAAAUAUGCCAAGGAGUGGCGAACCAACACCCCUUUUUCGGAAAAUUACAUUGCGCAGCUAGGAAAAAAUGUUACAUGUAUAUACUACAUACUAACGCCCGUCGAUUCGGGCUUAAGCCAACUCGACCAAGGAGGGAGCUUAAAUCUAUUUCAAUAAUAGGAGCAUAACCUACGACUAAUGUAUGUAGACCAAGGACUUUGCUUCUUCGUGAAUUUACUUCUUUAUACCACCUUGACAUCCCUUGGUGAAAGCUGUAGCUCCGCCAAUUAGGACCCAACCACAUAAGCAAAUUCAUGUUAUAUUACCUAUUUGACGGAAAGCAGUCUAUAUAAAAGAUGAACUUGAUGGAGAAAAGGCCAUCUAUAGAACGAAAGGUCAAAAAACACAUCUAAAGUAUUCCAAUUUUUGAAUUUCAUGCCUAAACUAUCACCAAUUAGUUAGUAAAUGUUAAUUGUUUGAGUUUCAUACCUAAACGGAAACUGACACAGUUGAUAGUAUAGUUUAGGCAUGUAAGUACUGAAAAUAUCGAUCAGGAUAGUUAAGGUGUGUUUUGGACCAUUAACUCAAAUCAAUGUAUAUACAAUUAUGCAAGCGGUUUUUCUAGUCUAGGCACAUAGAUAGAUGAUAAAGCAAAUAGGUACCUCGCUCUCCUCGAUCUGAUCCACAUACUUGUUCCAGCACUCUAUAUCCCCGGGAUUCGGAAAAUACCCUACAUCUUUGUGGGGAAGAAAAUGGUGACAUUUGAUGUGGCUUCCAUCCAUAGGUAAUGGAUCCAAAGUUUUAAAAUCGCUCGAUUCUUCAUCUGCAUCUGAUUCGCUGCUCAAGAAGUUCUCCGAUUCGCUCGAGUCCGAUUCACUUUCAUUUUCACCUUGUGAUGGUGGUGAUGAUGGUGGUGAUGAUGGCAGCUGUGGCUUUUCACCUUCUGCAUCUUCCUCUUCAUUCACCUUUUGUUUCUUCACCGACGGCUCACUGUAUUUCGAUUCGCUUGAUGGCGGUGGCGACUUUGGUGGUUGCAACAUCAUGUCAAAUCGACAAAGAAUCUAAGAUUUCGGUAUGGAGUAUUGCCCCAAUAGAGCCUUUAACUAAUAUGGAUAUUAUAAAUAAUAAAAAC
RNAcentral lists this long non-coding RNA (102572 nucleotides) under Capsicum annuum. RNAcentral describes it as "long non-coding RNA (CANN_LNC007530)". The record is from RNAcentral. Lineage: Eukaryota; Viridiplantae; Streptophyta; Magnoliopsida; Solanales; Solanaceae.